RNAcentral lists this long non-coding RNA (114902 nucleotides) under Gossypium barbadense (sea-island cotton). RNAcentral describes it as "long non-coding RNA (GBAR_LNC016678)". Lineage: Eukaryota; Viridiplantae; Streptophyta; Magnoliopsida; Malvales; Malvaceae. The record is from RNAcentral.
ACAGCCACCAAGCAACAAUGUUGUGAGGUUCUUUAGUUCAGAGAUGGAAUUUGGUAAACUUUUGAUCUUCGUAGAGGAAAAAUUGAGAACACUAAGACAAGGCAUGUUUGUGAAGAAAGAAUAUGGGAUCUUCUUUAUAGGGUUAUCCUGCAAUAACAAGGUUGUGAGCAGUUGGCAUUUUGUGGGUAGCACAUCUAUGGAAAUUUCUGGUAUGGAGUUAAACAUAAGCGACACUUUCUCAAUAUCUGGACUCCAUUGCUCCUCUUUUGGUAACUCCUCUAAUUGCAAACCUGCUUGUAUCAUAUAUCGAGGAUUCAUUCUUGUGAUCGACAAUGCCAUGUCUCUCACUGCAUCAUGCAUCUUUAUACGAUGUAAACCAAAUUUAGUGGUAAUAUUUUCCAACAAGCAAUUAUCUUCUAACUUCUUCAAAAUAACAUGGCCCUUUUCUUUCAUUUCUUGUCUUGUACCCAUAUCAUCUAUGAAUCCCUCCUCAAUCCAGCACUCAAUUAGCUUAUCUUUUCCAAUUUCAUAAUCUUCAGGAUAUAAUGUGCAAUGUAAGAAACAAUGCUUCAUUUUCUCGUCUUUUAAGUGAUUGAAGCUAACUUUCAAACUCUCGAUCACUUUAUCUUCCCCUUCUUUCACUUUCCCUAUUCUCUCUUUCAAUUCCCUGAGUGUGUUUUUCCUAAUAAGAGGGUCAUCUUCUCCUCUCAAUGUACCAGCCAUGACGACAAUUGUAAGAGGCAGACCUGCACAUUCCUUGACAACAAGCUUCAAAGUUGGCAUUAAAGUUUGAUUUUGCACUAUGUUAGGUCCAACUUCACUCAAGAAUAGUAUCAAUGCCUCUUCUUCUGAAAGGGGCUUCACUUUUAUCACCUUACAGCCCAUAGACUUACAAACUUGCUCCACACGGGUUGUCAACACCAACUUGUACCCAUUGCUGCUACUUGGCUUAGGGAUCCCAAUUUCUUCCAACGAGACUUCAAUCCACACAUCAUCUAGGAUUAGAACAUGCUUUCCUGCUCUCUUCAGCAUUUCGGACAAGAUUGCUGCUCGUCUGACCUUGUUUGCUUCUUCAGGAAUCUUUCCAUUCAAUGCACUUAAAGUUAGAAGAAAGCAUACAAUGCAUUGUUAAACAUAAAAGAGUGUGAGCUUUUUCAAGCUCAGUGAGUGUUUAGAGAUUGCCACAAGUAAUCACAAUAUCCAAAGUUAGAAGAAAGCAUACAAUCACAAUUAAUCAUGGUGAGCAAUAAAGCAUAAUUCAUAGCAUUCACAAUAUUAAUAUGUUGCUACAAUGUGAUUACGAAGCAUAUGUACAAAAUAUAUAAUAAAAUAUUUUAUCAACAUAUAAAAUCAACAAGACUCAUAUCAUAUUCAGUCAUAAACACAUAACAUUUUUAUUGUCAUCUCAAUAUACAACACAUAACAUAUCACAUUUAAGCAUCAUUUGCAAAUCAUCAUUAGUUUAGGUAGAAACACUUACUCUUGAAAAUUGGAUGGUGUGGAUGUGUUUGGAUAGCUAGAAAAUCAUUAAGGAUGAGUUAAUUUUGAGAGAAAAUAUUAGAGUUGAAUUUGGGGAAAUUUUGAAUGUGAAAUUCAAUGGAGGGUACGGACGUCGGGUUCUUAAAGAAACGGGGAAGAUGAGUAGUUUUUUUUUAAAUAAGGAAAAAUUGCAUUUUAAAAACUUCCAGUUUUUCUUUAUUUUUCAAUUUAGACCUUAGCUUAAUUAAAACACAUUUUUCUCAAUUAUUUUCAAACCCGAUAUUUUAAAAAAAAUUCAUUUUAACCAAAUUAAUUCCCGAACACUCAAUUUUAAUUUCUUAAAAUAAAAUUAUUAAUGAUAUUAAUUUUAUUAUUUUAUUUAAUUACUUUCUGAUUAUUUUAAUGAUCUAACUUAAUUACGAUUUUUGAUUCACUAACCCCCGAUUUACUAUCCCGAUUUUUGGGAUGUGACAUGACAACAUUAUGUAAAUAUGAUAUAAUAAUAAUCACUGAUAGCAUACAAAUAAAUUAUUGAUUACAUACCCUAUUGUAUAAACUAAAAUAUAUUUAUACUACAAGUUCUAUAAUAUGAUAUCUAAAUGGGUUAAUUUUUAAAAUUGCAUAUUUUAAAAUUAAAAAAAAUUAUAGAAAUGUUAAUUUAUAAUUAUUUCUAACUUAUGUGCUUUUCAAUGUUAAAACUUUUACUAGAAUUAUUAGUAAAAAAUGCAUGAAUGAUUGAUAGCAUAAUCAUUUUAAAGACAUAAUUAUAAAUUAAUUAUAUAAAAAGGGUAAACACUUCGUAACAUAGUAAUAAAUAAUUUAUAAUACAUGAAUAAAUUAUGGAUAAAAUAAUAAGAAAUAAUAUAGUAUAAAAUUAAAUAAAUAAUAAUAUAAUAUAGUAAUAAAAUUUAUAAAUAAAUUUUUUAAUUAAGUAGAUAAUUUUAUAAAUAUCAGUGCAAAACGUCGAAAUCAUUAGGUUUCAUUGUAUCCUCGAGGUCAAUUUCCGAGUAACUCUUUUGCACAGCAAUAAAUAGGUGGGGGCAAAUAGAACUUUAAAAUAGUGACAUUGAUACACACAUUGGAACCUUUUUUAAUUUCUCAUAAAUUUAUUUUUAUCUCCGCACAGUAAUAGUUAUGGAAACAAUUAUCAAAGAAAACAAAAAAUAUUAUGAGUAAAUUUUUAUGGUCUUCGGGGCAACUUUCGUUUUUAUGUUCCACAAAGGUAAUGUAAAUUCGAUAUUAAUGUUUUCAAAAUUGUAUUUUUUUUAUCACUCGACUAUUUAGUGACACUUUUUUAAUUAGUAUAAUAACAAUUUUAGUCCUCAAAUUUUCUACUUUCAGUCAAUUUAAUCUUGAUAAUAUAUAAAAUGGUAAAAAUUUGAAAUUAUUUUUAAAAUUUUAGAAAAUUAUAAAAUAAAAAAUUAAAUAAAAGUAGAUAAAAAUUUUAAAAAUAAAUAAAGUGAGAGAAAAUGAGGGAUAAUUGUUUUUAAACCCUCCAGAAUUUCUCUACAUUGUAUGUAUUGAAAAUUAAAGAAUUUAUAGUACUUUCCUAACUUUUAUUGUAAAUAAAAGCAAGAUCAUAGUUUUGCCUCACCUUAAAUCAUUUUGAUUAAUAUAUGUUUAUAUUUUAUUUAAAUAUUAAUAAAAAUAAAAUAUAUUUUAAUUUUUAAUACCAUUUAAGUUUUAAUACUUUUUCAAGCCUAGGCCGGUUUUCGGCCUAACUUGGUUGAUCCCAAAAUUCUACAUUACUGUGCAAGAAUAUUUUAAAAAAUAAUUUUAUAUUAAUAUUUAUAUAUUUUUAUAAUUAAAUUAAGUUUUAAAAAUAUUUUAUAUUAUUUAAAUUGAAUUCGAGUUGGACCGACUCAAGACAUGGAGAGAUUUAUAGCCAUCUUCUAUUGUGUAUAUAUAUUUUUAUAUAAAAUUUAAAAUUUAUUAAAAUUUACAAAAUAAUAGACUAGUGUUGAAUGUGGUAAAAGACCAUAAUAAUAUUUGAUUCGAUAUCAUAUCAAAAUAAGUUUAUAACUUAAAUGUUUUAAUUAUAAAUAUGAAUAUAUUAGAGAAGAAUAAGAGAAUAGAAGGAAUGGUAAGAGAGGGACAAUGUUUAAAAAGUGUAGGCACUUUGAUUUCUUUAUUUAUUUGUGCUCUUAACCUCUUCCUUCCAUCAUUCCUGUUCUCCUCUCUUAUCCUCAAAAGGGGUUGAAGCGAAGAACAUUUUUUAAGUUUGGAUGGUCAUCCCACUCCAACCAUUCCCACCAUUCUGUGCUUGACCUGAUGGUAAGAGAAGGUGGAGCAUAUGCAAAUGGCUGCCCAUUGCCAACAAGGGGAACAAAUGGAGGAAUUCUCUUCAGUUUAUCACAUCUAGUAAUAUGGAUAAGUUGGAGAGAAUCACAAACCAUCACUCCACUUUUGCUGCAUAUGCUCUUCAAAUUUGGUAAUCUCCACAAUUCCACCUCUCCCAAUUUGGGAAGAUGGAAUUUGAUUAAUGCAUCACUCCCUUUUUCUUCAACUUCUGAUGUUGCUGCUCCCAAUAUUUCUACUAGCUGACUACAAGCACCCACAUGUAUUUCUUCCAGGUUUUGGAGGUUUGGAAGCAACCAAUGUGGAAGCAACGUCUUCAUACUUGAGCAUCUCUGUAAAUAAAAUUUCUUAAGAUGGGAAAAGGUGGUAGACGGAGCAAAUGUUGAUGUUGUUGCUGAACCAAUUCCUGCAUCAUUCAUAAUAAGGGCACUCAACUUUGGCAGAUGUUGAAGAUCCAAUAUCUCGACGCUCUGAAAUGGAUGAGCGGAAGAAGAGGCCAAAGAGGACAAGGAAACAACACACUCUAUCCCUUUACAUUCAUAAAUCCUCAACUCAAUCGCAUUUUUCAGGGAAGAAUUAUCAUCGACUAUGUUUCUCAAAUAGUCGCACUUUAUAAUAUUCAAGUGUUGAUUUUCAAUUGGGUGCGUAAUUAACUCACCUUCCCAAUUCUGGACUCCUCCAAUUGUUACUGUUUUAUCUCUUGCAGUAGGCAUAAAAGAUGAGCCCACCUGUAAAUAGUACUUGAUGAGAUUUUUCUUACUUUGUUGCAUCGAGGCGAUGAACUUAUUGAAUUCAUUGAUGUCUUCGAAACGUCCGGUAAAGCACUCCAACUUCUUCAAUGGUUCCAUCUCCUCUGCUUUUAGACUUGUUUUUUCAUUGUACACAUCAAAACUCAAGUGUUGAAGGUGAACGAGUUUUGGUAAAAGUCCAGCGGGUAUCUCUUUCAGAGUGAACACUUGAAGAUCAAGAUAUCUUAGCUUUAUCAAUAAAUCCAUGCCUUCAGGGACUUCCUCAAUUUCUGUCCAACAAAGAUCUAACUUCUUCAAUUCUUGAAGCAUCGAAAGACAUGUUGGAAUAUUUUCAAAUAUUUAUAGUAUCCCAAUAACUAUAAAUGAAUGGGUGUAAUUAAUCAAAAGAUAAAACUUUUGGUCAUUGGUCAAAAGUUAUAUCAUUUGAUUUUUUAAAAAAGAAUUAUAACUAUUCAAAAGAUAUUAUUUGAAUAGUUACAAAAUUAAAUGAAUAAUUAUUAUUAUUAUUUAUUUAUUCAUAAAGACACCUAUUGAAAGAUGUCUCUAUGAAGAGACAUGAAAAUUCCUAUAAAUAGGAAUGGGAUUUCAUUUGGAAAUGAUAUCAACAAAUUCUAAUAUUAUUUCUUCUCUUCCUUCAUUUUCUAAUAUUAUUAGAUUAUUCUAUAAAGUAUUGCUGCAGAAAUCCUUUGUAGAAAUUGAGUUUUUGUUAUACAUUACUCAGUGCAUAGUGGACUAUUCUCGUCAGUGCAAAACGCAAAUAGUCAUUGGCUUCAUUGUAUCCUCGAGGUUAAUUUGCUUGGAACUCGUUUGCACACUGAAGAUAAGUGAGGGCGAAUAUAACCUUAAAGAUAGUGGCUUGAUACACGCCUUGGAGCCUGUCCUAUUUCUUCUUUUUCUUUUCGAGUUCCGAUCGUGUGUUCGAGUUUUUUUUCCUUACCGGAGUUUUGUACUAACAAUUUUAAGGUUAUAUUUCAUGAUGACUACCACAACACAUGAAAGUGGAACACUAAGGGAGUUGGCUUCCAACUUUGUUAAACUUGAUCGUUUUGAUGGUGGCAAUUUUCGACGAUGGCAGAAAAAGAUGCACUUUUUGUUAUCAACUUUGAAGAUUGCUUAUGUUUUGGAUACUCCAAGACCUGAAGAGAAUGAAAAUGAAUCUGUUGCUGUAACCCGAGAAAGACAAAAAUGGGACAAUGCUGAUUACAUGUGCAUGGGCCACAUAUUGAAUGGUUUAACUGAUGGUUUGUUCGACACCUACCAAAACGACGUCACCGCUAAAGAAUUAUGGGACAAAUUGGAGGCAAGAUACAUGAUUGAAGAUGUUACAAGUAAGAAAUUUCUUGUCAGUCGUUUCAAUAAUUAUCAAAUGGUUGAUGGUCGUUCUGUUAUGGAACAAUUUCGUGAUAUUGAAAAGAUGCUGAAUCAAUUUAAGCAAUAUGAUAUGAAAAUGGAUGAAAUGAUUGUGGUAUCCUCCAUAAUAGACAAACUUCCUCCAUCUUGGAAAGACUUUAAAAGAAGUCUAAAACAUAAGAAAGAUGAAAUAUCUCUUGAGGCUUUGGCAAAUCAUUUUCGUAUUGAAGAAGAGUAUCGAAAACAAGAUCAGAACCUAAAUUCUGAAAAUGCCAAAGUACAUGUUACGGAGGAAGUACAGACUACUAAACCAUUCAAGAGAAAGUUCAAUCAGACUGAUAGAGCACCUAAGUUCAAAAAGAAACAAAAGGGCUCAUGCUAUCAUUGUGGAAAGCCGGGACAUUUCAAGAAUGAAUGUCGAUUUUUAAAGAAGAAAUCAUUUUCUAAGGCUGAUAAUAACGAAAAGUUCGUUGCAAUGAUAUCUGAAAUUAAUAUGGCACAAGAUGAUAAUACAUGGUGGAUUGAUACCGGAGCAACCAAACAUGUGUGCAAAGACAAAAGCAUGUUCACAAAGUUUACACAAUGUGAAAAUGACAAUGUCUUGUACAUGGGAAAUUCUUCCACCGCAACAAUUAAAGGCAAAGGGUCUGUUGAACUACAAUUCACUUCUGGAAAGGUUUUAACCUUAAAUGAUGUAUAUUAUGUACCAGAAGUUAGGAAAAAUUUAGUGUCUGGAAGUCUGUUGAAUAAGUUUGGUUUCAAACUUGUUUUUGAGGCAGAUAAGUUUAUUUUGUCUAAGGGAGGAAUUUUUGUGGGAAAAGGGUAUAUGUAUGAAAGCAUGUUCAAACUUAAUAUUAUUAAUAAGAAUAAAAAUACUAUUUCUGCUUAUAUGGUUGAAUCAUUUUGUUUGUGGCAUUAUAGAUUAGGUCAUUUGAAUUAUAGAAAAUUGAAUGACAUGUAUAAAUUAGAUUUAAUUCCUGUUUUUAAUAAUAAUAUUGAAAAAUGCAAUACCUGUAUGUUGACUAAAAUUACAAGAAAUCCUUUCCCUAAGGUUAAAAGGAAAACAAAAUUGCUUGAUUUGAUACAUAGUGAUUUAUGUGACUUGCAUAAUACUCCUACAUUAGGUGGAAAGAAAUAUUUUGUUACUUUUAUUGAUGAUUGUUCUAGAUAUUGUUAUGUAUAUUUAUUGCAUUCAAAAGAUGAAGCGCUUGAUAAAUUUAAAGUUUAUAAAUCUGAAGUUGAACUUCAGUGUGAAUCAUUUAUCAAGUGCUUAAGAUCGGAUAGAGGUGGAGAAUACUAUAAUCCAAGUUAUUUUGAACUCACUGGAAUUGUCCAUCAAGUUUCAGCCCCUUACACACCACAACAAAAUGGUGUAGCUGAAAGGAAAAAUAGAGUCUUGAUUGAAAUGGUAAAUUCAAUGUUAUCAUAUUCAGGUCUUGGACAGGGUUUUUGGGGAGAAGCUGUUCUAACAGCUUGUCAUAUAUUGAAUAGAGUUCCUAAUAAGGAAACUAAAAUAACCCCCUAUGAACAAUGGAAGAAAAGGAAACCAAACCUUAAUUAUUUAAAGGUUUGGGGUUGUAGAGCUAUUGUAAAAGUUCCAACACCUAAACGUAAAAAGUUAGGUGAAAGAGGAAUUGAAUGCAUAUUUAUAGGUUAUGCACAUAAUAGCAAGGCAUAUAGGUUCAUAGUAAUUGAACCAAAUGAUUCAAUUUCAAUUAAUACGGUUAUUGAAUCAAGAGAUACUAUUUUUGAUGAAAAUAGAUUUAAUUCUAUAUCAAGACAAUUACAACCACAACAAUUGAUUCAUUCUUCAAAUGAGAAUGAGAUUCCAUUGAAACAAAUUGAUAAUAAUGAUGAAUCUUGUCAAGAAUUAAGAAGAAGUAAGAGGAUUAAAAAGGUCAAAGAUUUUGGACCAGAUUUCAUUAUGUUUCUUGUAGAAGGAAAAGGUGAAAGUAUAUGCAAUAAGAAACCUUAUUGUUAUAAUACCGAAUCUGAUCCUAUUACAUUUGAAGAAGCAGUGAAAUCUCAAGACUCUGCUUUUUGGAAAGAAGCAAUAAAUGAUGAAAUGGAUUCAAUAAUGGGAAAUCAAACUUGGAUCUUAGUUGAUCUUCCACCAGGUUCCAAACCAAUAGGUUGUAAAUGGAUCUUCAAAAAGAAAAUGAAGGUCGAUGGAACCAUUGAUAAAUUUAAAGCAAGGUUGGUAGCAAAAGGUUUUACACAAAGACAAGGUAUUGAUUACUUUGAUACCUAUGCUCCAGUAGCAAGAAUUGCUACAAUUAGACUAUUAAUAUCACUUACCUCUAUAUAUAAUUUGGUUCACCAAAUGGAUGUUAAAACUGCAUUUUUAAAUGGUGAAUUGGAAGAGGAAGUGUACAUGGAGCAACCGGAAGGAUUUAUUGUUCCAGGACAAGAGCAUAAGGUAUGUAAGCUUGUUAAAUCUUUAUAUGGGCUUAAACAAGCACCAAAACAAUGGCACCAAAAGUUUGACAAGGUUGUUUUAGCUAAUGGCUAUAAAAUAAAUGAAUCCGAUAAGUGCAUAUAUAGUAAAUUUGAUAAUGGAAAGGGUGUUAUAAUUUGCUUAUAUGUAGAUGACAUGCUCAUUUUUGGCACGGAUUUGGAACAAAUAGAAAACACAAAGAAAUUCUUGUCAAACAACUUUGCUAUGAAGGAUAUUGGUGUAGCAGAUGUUAUUCUUGGGAUUAAAAUAACCCGAGAUGAAAGCACUAUAGCUUUAUCACAAUCACAUUACAUUGAAAAUGUGCUUAAAAAGUUUGAUCUUUUCAACUGUAUACCAGCAUCUACACCCAUGGAUCCUCAAUUAAAAUUAGUAUCUAAUGCUGGUAGGAAAAUUGAUCAAUUGAAAUAUGCAAGUCUAAUUGGUUGUCUUAUGUACAUAAUGACUUGUACAAGACCAGAUAUUGCAUAUGCUAUUGGAAAAUUGAGUAGAUACAUAAGUAAUCCAAGUAGUUUGCAUUGGCAAGCUUUAAAUAGAGUACUUAGGUACUUAAAGAAAACUAUUAACUAUGGAUUGUGUUAUAAUGGAUAUCCUCCAGUUUUAGAAGGGUAUUCGAAUGCUAGUUGGAUUACAAGUUUGGAAGAUCAUGCAUCUACUAGUGGGUGGAUCUUCAUUCUUGGUGGAGGAGUCAUUUCUUGGGGUUCCAAGAAACAAACAUGUAUUACUGAUUCCACCAUGGCAGCAGAAUUUAUUGCAUUAGCCGCUGCAUCUAAAGAAGCAGAAUGGUUAAGAAAUUUGCUUUAUGAUGUACCUUUAUGGCUUAAGCCAAUUUCACCUAUUUCUAUCCGUUGUGAUAGUGAGGCUACUCUAGCAAAGGCAUAUAGCCAAGUAUAUAAUGGAAAGUCUAGACACAUUGGAUUAAGACAUAGUUAUGUCCGACAAUUAAUCUCUGAUGGAGUGAUCACUAUUAAUUAUGUGAGGUCAAGUGAAAAUUUGGCAGAUCCUUUGACAAAAAGUCUUGCUAGAGAUGCAGUAAAAAGGACCUCAAAAGGGAUGGGACUCAAGCCUAUUAAUUAGAGUCACCCAUGAUGGAAACUCGACUCAACGCUUGGUAUAACGUCAAGUCUUGAGUUCAAUGAGACAAAGUACAUCAUUAGUAUGUGACUGUUAGCACUAUAAAUAAAUCCAUCCUAAGAUUAAAGUGCUAGGUACUCGUAAUGAUAAGGGAAGGAUGAGUAAUGUACUCUUAAUGGACCCAUAACAUAAAUAUGUUAGAGUGUUAUAAUUACGGGAACACUUUUGAUGGGAUCUACCUAUGUGAGUGGAAGUGUGGCCGCUUCUAGGAGCUUAAGGGCUUGGCUCUGACAGCACUCAUGAAAAGAGGACAUAGACACAUAGCUAUAAUAGUGUCCCUAGAUACUAUGCAUUGACUGAUGUUGAAAUCAUUGUGUGAGAUGUGUUCAGUUAAUCAAAUGGAAUAGUUGGUUCAAAGCUUAGUCUACCAUAAAAUUUCAAUUAACUUUAACAUGUUUUCACUAAGUGAAGGUUCAAUCGUAAGACACCUUUAUUUAUACAAAUUGAUUUCCAAGAAUAUCAAAAUCUAAUUAUUUUGAAAAUGGGGGGGGAUAAUUGUUGGAAUAUUUUCAAAUAUUUAUAGUAUCCCAAUAACUAUAAAUGAAUGGGUGUAAUUAAUCAAAAGAUAAAACUUUUGGUCAUUGAUCAAAAGUUAUAUCAUUUGAUUUUUUAAAAAAGAAUUAUAACUAUUCAACAAAUAUUAUUUGAAUAGUUACAAAAUUAAAUGAAUAAUUAUUAUUAUUUAUUUAUUCAUAAAGACACCUAUUGAAAGAUGUCUCUAUGAAGAGACAUGAAAAUUCCUAUAAAUAGGAAUGGGAUUUCAUUUGGAAAUGAUAUCAACAAAUUCUAAUAUUAUUUCUUCUCUUCCUUCAUUUUCUAAUAUUAUUAGAUUAUUCUAUAAAGUAUUGCUGCAGAAAUCCUUUGUAGAAAUUGAGUUUUUGUUAUACAUUACUCAGUGCAUAGUGGACUAUUCUCGUCAGUGCAAAACGCAAAUAGUCAUUGGCUUCAUUGUAUCCUCGAGGUUAAUUUGCUUGGAACUCGUUUGCACACUGAAGAUAAGUGGGGGCGAAUAUAACCUUAAAGAUAGUGGCUUGAUACACGCCUUGGAGCCUGUCCUAUUUCUUCUUUUUCUUUUCGAGUUCCGAUCGUGUGUUCGAGUUUUUUUUCCUUACCGGAGUUUUGUACUAACAAGACAUGGCAGAUCUCUUAAUUGAUAACAGCCACGAAGAAAUAAUGUUGUGAGGUUCUUUAGUUCAGAGAUGGAAUUUGGUAAACUCUCGAUCUUUGUAAAAGACAAAUUGAGAACACUAAGACAAGGCUUGUUCAUGAAUAAAGAAUAUGGGAUUUUCUUUACAGGGUUCCCCCGCAAUAACAAGGUUGUGAGCAGUUGACAUUUUGUAGGCAGCACACCUAUGGAAACUUCUGAUAUGGAGUUAUACAUAAGUGACACUUUCUCAAUAUCUGGACUCCAUUGCUCCUUUUCUGGUAACUCUUCUAAUUGCGAACCUGCUUGUAUCAUAUAUUGAGGAUUCAUUCUUGUGAUCGACAGUGCCAUGUCUCUCACUGCAUCAUGCAUCUUUAUGCGAUGUAAACCAAAUUCAGUGGUAAUAUUUUCCAACAAGCAAUUAUCUUCCAACUUCUUCAAAAUAACUUGGCCCUUGCCUUCCAUUUCGUGUCUUGUAGCCAUAUCAUCUAUGAAUCCCUCUUCAAUCCAGCACUCAAUUAACUCAUCCUUCCAAAUUUCAAAAUCUUCAGGAAAUAAUGCGCAAUGUAAGAAACAAUAUUUCACUUUCUCGUCCUUUAAGUGAUCGAAGCUAAAUUUCAAACGCUCUAUCACUUUAGCUUCCACUCCCUCCACUUUUUCUACUGUCUCUUUCAAUUCCCUGAGUGCGUUUUUCCAAAUAAGGGGUUUCUCUUCUCCUUUCAAUGUACUAGCUACAACAACAAUUAUAAGAGGCAGACCCGCACAUUCUUCGACAACAAGCCUCAAAAAUUGGCAUUAAAGUUCGAUUUUGCACUAUGUUAGGCCCAACUUUACUCAAGAAUAGUGUCAAUGCCUGUUGUGCUGAAAGGGGCUUCACUUUUAUCACCGUGCAAUCCAUAUACUUACAGACAUGCUCCGAACGGGUUGUCAACACCAACUUACAGCCAUUGCUGUCACUCGGCUCAGGGAUCCCAACUUCUUCUAGAGAGACUUCAUCCCACACAUCAUCUAGGAUUAGAACAUGCUUUCCUACUUUCUUCAGCAUUUCUGACAAGAUUGCAGCUCGUCUGAGCUUGUCUCCUUCUAUGGCCAAAUCUUCCUUCAACUUCAAAGCACUUGCAAUAUCAUCUUGUACCUUCAUUACACUGGACUCCUUUGAUAUGGCAUCCCAGACUACUCUUUCGAAUCUUUGUUCUUUCAAAAUAUCAUUGUGGAUGUGCUUCAUGAUCGUGGUUUUACCCACACCGCCCAUCCCCCAAACCCCAAUCUUUUUUACCUCCUCUUGCAUCAAACAUGCCCAAAUCUCUUUUCUGGCAGCUUCCUCCCCAACUAGUUCUGAUGUUGGCAGUGGCAACCCACCACUUGGACCAUCCAUGGCAAGAGCUUCAGAGGCAUUAGGAGCUUUAUCAAGAAAUUCCUUCAUUUCUCGAGUCUUUUCAUCAACCAGCUUUUCGUUCCAAGCACGACAGAGAUAUCUCCCGUUUCUGACUUUAAUUUCUACAUCCUGUGCUUCCGCAAUCAUCUCUUUCGCAUCUUUCAACCAAUUUUCAACUCCCUGCUUUGGUAUCUUCCCCCCAGGAGAAAGAAGCUCUGCUUUCAAUUGCCGCUCUAUGUCUGCCAUUUUACAAUUCAAUUCAUCUCUGAUCCUUCCGAAGUUUCUCACAUAAUCAUUCAGCUUUCUGUGAUAUUUCAAGUAUUUACAAAGAGGAGGUCCAAGACAAUUUGCAAUGCCAACACCGGGCUCUACGUAUUCCAUUUGCUCUGGCCCUGCAACGCAAUCAUAUAUGUUAGUGUAUUGGAUUUUUGAAUAAUUUUUUAUAUGUUAGUGUAAGCAUGAAAAGGAAUCAUAAAUGCAAUGGCCUUUAUUAGAUGGAGCUAUGGAUAGGUGGCAGACAGAAACAGGAUGAAAAUCAUUGCCUUAUUACCUGACUUAGUGGCUGAAAUGUGUUGAGAGAUUAGAACUGAAAAUGAAGCAGUGAAGUUGACUUCCUUGACUAUCUUACAAAGCUAGCAGAUAAUAAAAAACAAUCAUUGCAUAGUCAUGGAUGAAGCAAAUGAAAGAAAAUUACCUUUGACGGGAUGCUUGAAAUUUGGUGAUAGACCUUGGAGAUGAAAACAAAUUAAAAACAGUGAAGAAGAAAGAAUGUUGUGGGCAGAAAGGCAGAACUAUUAAGCAAAGAAAAGCAUGUAAUGAAAUAAGCAAAUGAAAGAAAAGUAGGUAGAGUGGAUGGUUGAAAUCAGUAGAGGAAAUCAUUGCCUUAUUACCUGACUUAGUGGCUGAAAUGUGUUGAGAGAUUAGAACUGAAAAUGAAGCAGUGAAGUUGACUUCCUUGACUAUCUUACAAAGCUAGCAGAUAAUAAAAAACAAUCAUUGCAUAGUCAUGGAUGAAGCAAAUGAAAGAAAAUUACCUUUGACGGGAUGCUUGAAAUUUGGUGAUAGACCUUGGAGAUGAAAACAAAUUAAAAACAGUGAAGAAGAAAGACUGUUGUGGGCUGAAAGGCAGAACCAUUAAGCAAAGAAAAGCAUAUGUAAUGAAAUAAGCAAAUGAAAGCAAAGUAGGUUGAAAUUUUGUGAAAGAAGAAAGUGUUGCGGAAGCGACGAUAAUAUUAAUAACAAUAUUAUCAGAAAUAUUUAGAUAAUUAUUAUGCCAACAAUUAUACUAAGAAAAUUCCCAGUUAAAUUGGAGGGGUCACAAAUGGUCCCGCUUAAAACCCAACAACUAGACAGAACUCACUUAGAUAUUUAUAGCAAUAAUAACUAAAUAAAUAUAACCAACAUAAAGCUAUUAAAUAUAAGCAAACAAAUAAGAAAUAAAAUACCAGAGAUUUAACGAGGUUCGGCCAAUUUAGCUUACAUCCUCGGACACUACCAAAUUAAUAUUUCUUCUAGAAAUAUUACAAAGGAGAAGAUUUUGGGAUGAUACAACCAAAGGGGGAGGGGUUCUAUAUAUAACAAACCAAGCCCCCUCCCUUUCUAUCUUUUCCUAAUGUGGGAUAUUGCCAAUAUUCAACAAAUCUCCACCUUGGCGAUAUUCCACAUCUUCGAACAUCUUCUCAUAACACUAACUUCAAUAGUGUCUUCAAAUUUGCAACCAAUCGCCUUCUUCCCUUUUGGUAGUUGUGCCAGCUUCCACGUCUUGUUUUUCUCUAGAGAUUGCAUUUCCUCUUCCAUUGCACCUAACCAUCUAUUAUUCUCUAAACUCUGAAUGGCUUUGGUGUGAGUGGAUGGAAUAUUAUCAACAACUGGAAGUGCAUAAGCUACCAUGUCAGUGAAACGAGCAGGUUUCUGAAUUUCUCGUCUCUGCCUUCUGACUGCAAUUGGCUCUGAUUGCUAUUGAGGUUCUUGGGUAGAAACCUCUUCCUCAUCUGACUCUGCAUCUGCCAAUGAAGAAUCACUAGUGGUACCUUCUGCUGGAAUUACCACACUCUGCUCAAACUCCACCUGCUGCGGAGUACACUCCACCUGCUGCGAAGUACUACUCACUCCUUCUGGAUUUACCUUAUUCAACAUGGCAGAUUCAUGAAAGGUAACAUCCCUACUGAUUAUCGUCUUCUUUGCCUCUAGACACCACAAACGAUAUCCCUUAACACCAGCAUUGAAGCCCAUGAAUAGAGCCUUCUUUGCUCUUGGAUCUAACUUUGAUUCUUUCACAUGAUAAUAUGCAAUAGAACCAAAAAUGCGCAAGGUGUCAUAAUCAGUAGCAGGUUUUCCAUACCAUUUCUCCAAAGGAGUCUUGCCAUUUAUAGCAGAUGAUGGCAAAUGAUUGAUGAGAUGUUGAGCGUACGUCACAGCCUCAGCCCAAAACUUUCUAUCUAAUCCAGCAUUAGAUAACAUACAUCGAACUUUCUCCACAAGCGUUCGAUUCAUACGCUCUGCCACCCCAUUCUGUUGCGGUGUUCCACCUACGGUGAAGUGCCUUACUAUGCCACAAUCUUGGCAUAUCUUCAGGAAUAGAUCGCUUUUAUAUUCUCCACCGUUGUCUGAUCGGAGAACCUUAAUCUUCCUUCCUGUCUGAUUUUCAACUUUAGUUUUCCACUUAAGGAAAACUUCAAGCACCUCAUCUUUGUUCUUCAUAGGAAACACCCAAACUCGUCUGGAAAAAUCAUCAAUAAAGGUGACAAAAUAACGUCUUCCUCCAAGUGAUGGAGUCUUGGACGGUCCCCAUACAUCAGAAUGCACAUAAUCCAGAAUACCUUUAGUAUUGUGAAUCCCAGUGCCAAAUUUCACCCUUCGUUGUUUUCCCAGAACACAAUGCUCGCAAAAUUCAAGUUUGCAAGUCUUUGUACCUUUCAAUAAUCCUUGCUUGGCUAGAGUUUGCAAGGAUUUUUCACCAGCAUGGCCCAAACGCAUAUGCCACAGCUGUGUUGCCUCAGCGUCCUUCUUGGUACUCGAAAUUGCUGCUGCUGUUGUCCCGACCACUGUACUACCUUGGUAGUAAUACAGAUUGUUCUUUCUUAUGCCUUUCAACAUCACCAAUGCUCCUGAAGUUGCUUUAAGAACUCCAUCUCGUAUUGUCACAACUAGGCCUUUAGAUUCUAACGACCCCAAAGAGAUGAGAUUCUUCUUCAACUUUGGGACAUAUCGUACAUCCCGCAAAAUUCUAGUAGAUCCAUCAUGACUCCUCAAUUUAAUUGAACCUAUCCCGGCUAUUUUACAUGUGUUAUCAUUACCCAUGUAAACAACCCCUUCAUCUAGUUUUUGAAAUUCAAAGAACCAUUCCCGAAUGGGACACAUAUGAUAGGAACAACCAGAAUCCAUGAUCCACUCAUCUGCAUAUAAUGUUGAAGAUGUCAUACUAAGAGAAAAGUCUGACUCUGCUUCACUAUUGCAUUCUGCAACAUUUGCAUCUUGCGGAGUCUUCCCUUUUUUCUUCAAUUUUGGACAAUCUUUCUUCCAAUGUCCUUUUUCUUUGCAAAAGGAACAUUCAUCUUUGGCAACAGCUCGACCUUUGGACUUUCUUCUCUUCCCAUUAGACUGACUUUGCUGACGACCUCUUGUUACCAAUGCUUCCACUGCUGCUUCACCUGAACCUUUCAACUUAUCCUUUCGGCGUAGUUCAUAGCUAUACAAUGCAGCAGUUACUUCAUUGAAAGUUACUUCCGAUUUUCCAUGAAGUAGAGUAGUUUCAAGGUACUCAAACUCCUCAGGAAGCGAUCCCAACAACAUUAACGCCAAGUCUUCGUCUUCAAAAGUCACAUCCAAAUUCAACAAAUCAGCCACCAGCUGAUUAAAAUUGGUAAUGUGCUCGUUCAUCGUGGUACCAGGAACAUAAUUGAAACGAAACAGUCUUUUCUUCAUAUGCAACUUAUUUUGACUGUUCUUCUUCAAGAAUUUCUCCUCCAAUGCUUUCCACAAUUUACUUGCAGAAGUCUCUUUACUGAAUGUAUACUUCUGCUCUCUGGAAAGACAUGAUCGAAUUGUACCACAUGCCAAUCGGUUGAUGGUCUUCCAUUCUUUAUCAUCAACCCCUUCUGGUUUUUCUUCCUCAAUGGCAAUAUCUAGACCCUGUUGAAAGAGGGCAUCUAGAAGCUCACUUUGCCACAUGCCAAAAUGACCUGUUCCAUCAAAAAUUUCCACUACAAAUCUCGUAUUUGCAGUUCCAAUCCUCGGCAAAAUGUACGAAGUGGAAGUUGUUGAUAUGGAUGGUUUUUCUUCUGUCAUUUUUGCCAUAGCUUCUACUUAAUAGCCACCAAAUGCAGAAUACCCACAAGCUUUAGGAAAUGUUUCUGAUGUGUAAGAUCAGACUAAGCUGCAAACACAGAGCAUACUACAAAACCUUGGCUCGGAUACCAAUUGUUGCGGAAGCGACGAUAAUAUUAAUAACAAUAUUAUCAGAAAUAUUUAGAUAAUUAUUAUGCCAACAAUUAUACUAAGAAAAUUCCCAGUUAAAUUGGAGGGGUCACAAAUGGUCCCGCUUAAAACCCAACAACUAGACAGAACUCACUUAGAUAUUUAUAGCAAUAAUAACUAAAUAAAUAUAACCAACAUAAAGCUAUUAAAUAUAAGCAAACAAAUAAGAAAUAAAAUACCAGAGAUUUAACGAGGUUCGGCCAAUUUAGCUUACGUCCUCGGACACUACCAAAUUAAUAUUUCUUCUAGAAAUAUUACAAAGGAGAAGAUUUUGGGAUGAUACAACCAAAGGGGGAGGGGUUCUAUAUAUAACAAACCAAGCCCCCUCCCUUUCUAUCUUUUCCUAAUGUGGGAUAUUGCCAAUAUUCAACAGAAAGAAUGUUGUGGGUACAAAGGCAGAAGUAUUAAGUAAGGAAUCCCAUCUUUUUUUACUUUUCCUUUGCUUCUGCCCUGAUUUACAAUUUGAUUCUUCUUUAAAUCUGUAUAAAUCACUAAUCUGCCAUGUCCUUUCCAUUCAUUCUGGACAUUACUAACAAGUUUUGAAGUCAUCUUGGUGCUCAAUUGUAACAACAACAUCAGCAGCAGCAGCAGCAUAAUAAUGGGAAAGUAUGGUCUAAGAAUGCCUAAUUAUAUGUUACAACUUGAAAUAAAUAUUUAGUUACGUACAUAUAAAUUCCUUCAUAAGUUACACUUUUAAAUCCAAAUUGUGGUUUAUUGAUUGGGUGUUCCCUAUUAGAAAUAGCCGAAAUUCAAAUUAUCAUUGUACCCAAAUUUGAAAUUGUUUUAAAAUUUUAGAAUAUUAUAAAAUUUAAAAGUAAAUAACAGUAGAUAAACAUUUCAAAAAUAGAGAAAAUGAGGGAAAAACAUUUCAAUAUUUUUUUUUCUACAAUUUUUAUAUACAUUUUUCUAUUUUAUAAAUAAUUUUGAGUUUUUUUUAUAAUCUUUAUACAAAAUUAAGAUCAAAUUGAUAGAAAAUAUAAAAAUUGAGAGCAAUAAUUAUUAUUAUACCAAUUGAAACAAAUUCCAAUUAACAGUUGGGUGACAAAAAAAAAAUUCAAAAACAUUAGUGAUGAAAUUGUAAUUUUUUUAGUUAAGUGAUAAAAAUAAAAAAACUUACCCAUAAUUGGAUCACUAAUGGUCUAAUUUACCCUAAAUUCUUUUAAAAUUUUUAGUUUAAAACUUUUUUUUAUAAAUACUAUGUAUUAAGCCUUUUAUGUUAGUGCCGCUAUCAAUCAAAUCACAACUCAAUAAGAAAGUUAUCAAAAAACUAUUUUAUUUGAAAAGUAAAAUAUAUGAUUAUGAGAAUGUUUUCGUCUUUUUAUACUUUUAUAAAUUAAUAAAAAAAAUUAUCCAUAAUGAGAUUUGAACUAAUGACAUUCACUUGAAACUUUAAUAAUUAUAUCUAUGUUCUAAAUUUUUAUUUAUUUGUGUAUAUAAAAAAUGUUGUUGAUUUAGUGUCACAAAUGAACACGGCACCAACUCAGAAUUGAAAACAAAACAAUGAUAAUCAAUUGUAUUCAUUUAGUAUUUUUAAUCUGAUGUGUUUUUUUUGUUGUUUAGAUUUCGUUUUACUCACAAUUUAUUCUAAUUUUUAUUUUAAUAUAGUGCAUAUUUUAUAUGGUAUUAUUAAUUAGUUCCAAAUUUGAUAGCAAGUUACUUUAAUAUAUUUAAUAUACCCAAUUUUGGUAAACUUUUUAAUAGAAUUCUACUAAACUUGUGAUUUAUUGCCCAAAUUUUAUCAUGGACACAAUUGGAGUGCCGAAGUUCAAAAACAAACAAAUUGAGCUAAAUUGGAACAAAAAACAAGUUGGGGAGCUGAAUUGAAAGUUGCAAAAUUAAUUUUGGGAUGAUAAAAAAUAUUAGAUUUUUUACUUUGACUAAUUCUAUAUUUAGAAAAAUUUGAUUUAGUGGUUGCUUGUUAAGCAUAAUUCUAAGAGUAAAAUGAUGUGAAAUUGAUUCUUUGAGAUCCGUAUAUAAAGGUUUUUAAUUGUGGCACGAAUACACACUUUGAAUUUAAAAAGACAGUUUAGCACAUUCUUGCGUCUAUUGCAUUUGAAGCAAUCUGCCAUUGUUUUUCUCUUUUUAUGUUUUGGUGCAAUUUCCCUUUUAGUUCUCUCCUUUCUUCACCUAUUAUCUUUCAUUAAAAUUCACUCUCAUAAUCCAAUCAAGUAUGAUUAAUUCAUGUUCAACCAAUCUUCGUUUAGCUUUAGACCGGUUAUCAUUUCGACCAAGAAACAUGAGAAAUGAACCCACGCUAAAACCUUACAAUACGGUAUUCAUUAUCUUUCCGUAAUAUGAGAAAGUUACAAUUAUCCCUUAAAGUUAAUUCAAUUUCAACUCAAAAAGUGUGGAUUUGAGUUGCUUGGUGUACAGUUAAGAAAAUGAGUUGUUAUUCUCUUUGUCAAUUUGAUGUUGAUAAUAUAUAAAUUGGUAAAAAAAUUAAAAUUAUUUUUAAAAUUUUAUAAAAUUAUAAAAUUAAAAAUUAAAUAAAAAUAGAUUAAAAAUUCAAAAAUAAAUAAAGUGAGAGAAAAUUAGGGGUAAUUGUUUUUAAACCCUCCAAUAUUUCUCUAUAUUAUCUGUAUCAAAAUAUUCAAUACCCAUUAUUUUAAAAAAAACAUAGAAAAGAAAAACAUUAAUCAAAAUUAUUUGAUCUCUGUUUUUUACUUCUUCUGUUUCUUGACAUAACUUUUACGUUGUAAGCAAAGAUAAAUUUCUGAAUAUAAUUUAUUUUUACAAUUUGGGUUUUGAAAAAUAAUUUAUAGGUAAUGAAAUUUUGAAUUGAGUUUGAAAAAAAAUUUGUGGUAUAUUUUGUAUUCUUCUAAAUAAAAAAAUGGCAUUAGGGUCAAUUUUAUAAGCCUCAAAAAAUAUCAAAUCUAGAUGUCAUUUAAGACCAUGAAACUCAACUUGAUAAUAGUAAUGAUUUGAUUUCAAGAAAUAUUGAGGAAUCAUGUAAUGAUCUAACUCUUUUUUUUUGGGGGGUUUUGUUCUCUUUUUAAUUUGUUAUCGAAUUCUAUUCUCCAUCUUCUAAUAUUCCUAGAUUGUUUUAUGAGAAAUUACUGUAGAAGUUCUUUAUAGAAAUUGGUAUUCUUGCUAUGCUCCAUUCAAUGCUCAGUGAAUUAUUUUUGUCAGUGCAAAACAUUGACAAUCAUUAGGUUUCAUUGUAUCCUCAAGGUCAAUUUGCGAGUAACUCUUCUGCACAACAAUAAAUAAUUGGGGGCGAAUAGAACUUUAAAAUAGUAGCAUCAUAAAACCUUUUUUAAUUUCUCUGAAAUUCAUUUUUAUCACCAAUAGCAAUUAUGGGAACAAUAAUCAAAGAAAACAAACAAUAUUAUGAGUCAAUUUUUAUGGUGUUCAGGGCAACUUUCGUUUUUAAGUUCCACAAAGGUAAAGUAAAUUCCAUCUUUUCUUAUUAUUAGUUUUUUCCUUUGCAGUAUUCCAUUAUUGUUGGCACUAUUGUUCUCUACAAUGAUUCUAAAAUAUAAUAUUUAUAAUUAAUCAUAUGUAUCUAAAUUAGAGCAAAUAGCAGUCUUAUGAUUUACAUUAAUGCAACAUUUCAUGUUGCCUCUGAUUCCAAUUCUUUUAGUCCCCUCCAUGUUCCACCUUCAAGAAAAAACAAGAGAGAAUGAACCUAAAUUUGGAUACCUAAUCCUUCCUCUAUGAAAUCAGAGUUACCUUCAGAUUUUAAUUCCAAUACCGACAUUGUAACGCCCUGAUUAUUUAACUUUAUUUCUGUGAAUUUUUUCACAAAUAUGUGUCUACUUCAGUGGCUAAGUGUUUUGAUUGUGUUUGAUGUUUUGGGUUCAAGUCCCAUUUUUUGAAAUUUUUGCUAUUUGUGAUUCUAGCCUAUUCCUUGGCGGUUUGACUUAUAUUCUAUUGCUAGUCAGAUCAUAUUAGAAUGAGCUUGCUGGUUUGAGUGGUAAGGUGUUAACUUGCCCUGAGGUCUUGUGUUCAAAUAUUUGUAUGAUUGUGAAUGAUAAUUUUUGUUGCAGGUGUCUGAUAGGGGUUCAGUAGAGUUUAAAUUCUGAGGUAGUUGGAUGUGGAUGGAAGUGUCGGAUUUGAUGAGAUGAGUGGGGAGUUGGGGGAAAUUAGUGAUAUUUUAUUAAAAAUUUAAUUUUAAUUUUAAUUUUCUUUUCACAAAAAAAUCUCCUAUCUUACUAUUUUAUUUUUAGUUUUAUUUUAUUCAAAAUAUCCAUUAAAACCAUUUUAAGAAAUUGAAGUUACCAUAUUAAAAUUUAAUAUACAAAAUCAAGUUAUGUAAAUUUUCAAAGCAUUUCGUGUUGUUUAAGGAUUCUAAUUUUAUUGUGUAAAAAUCAGAACUUAUUUGCAAAAGUUUCAAAAUAUGCCCAAAACUCUCUGAUCACCGUGUCGCGACCUCAUGAUUCCCAUGUUGCAACAUCGACCCAAUAUCAGUAUCACGAUAUGGACUUGAAAACUUGCAGGAAAAUUUCAGUACUUGGGUUGGACACUUUCACACCCUCGUACACAUACCAAAUCGAGAUUUCAUGCUAUUCUCCCUAUUUUAACAUGUCAUAUAACUUACAUUAACAUGUUUUGACGUCUCAAGUAAAUUGCUAUUCUAUCAUUCAACCCUAAAGUCACAAUUCAAUUACUCAAAAUGUAAUUUUUGUAUUUUAAGCAUUUCUAAGUGUAUAAUUGAUACAUAAAAUACUAUAUGGUCAUUUUGGACUUACCUCAAUACGCAACAAGCCAGUCCAGCAGCAAUUUACAUGUUAGCCAAUAAACAAGUACACAACACCUUACUAAUUCAACCAAUAACAUGCAUUCUCAAAUCUUCCAUUGAAACCGUUCAUUCGAACCAAUUUUAAAAGUUCUAAAAACCAUUUUAAACAACCCAUAUUGUCCAUUAAUAAAUCAUUAACAGUUCAAAGUCUAAAACCCUCUAGAUUAGUCCCACAUUGCCUUCCUUAUUGAUUUAAAAACACACCAAACGUAGUCAAGUUAAAUUGUCUUGCUUUGGAUCACUUGGCAGCUCACUUCUCCUCCUCGUUUCAGCUAUAUCUCUGCACUGUUAAAUAUAAAAGAGUGUGAGCUUUUUCAAGCUCAGUGAGUGCUUAGAGAUUGCCACAAGUAAUCACAAUAUCCAAAGUUAGAAGAAAGCAUACAAUCACAAUUAAUCACGGUAAGCAAUAAAGCAUAAUUCAUAGCAUUCACAUUAAUAUGUUGCCAGAAUGUGAUUAUGAAGCAUAUGUACAAAAUAUAUUGCAUUGGGUAACCAGAUUUCCAAAUACAACCAAUAUAAUGUGUAGCGUAAAGCUAUCACCCUCCAAACACAUCCACUUAAACAUGUAUACUUAUUGUUUUAUGCACACUUUCACAUAUCACACAACUCAUGUUCAUAUCACAUAUUCAAGUCUCAUAUCAUGCACUUACAAGUGCUCACAUUAUGCUCAAAUAGUCACAACAUAUAGAUCUCAUAUAGUGUAUAUAAAAUCAGCAAGACUCAUAUCAUAUUCAGUCAUCAACACAUAACAUUUUUUAUUGUCAUCUCAAUUUACAACACAUAACAUAUCACAUUUAAGCAUCAAUUGCAAAUCAUCAUUAGUUUAGGUAGAAACACUUACUAUUGAAAAUUGGACGGUGUGGAUAUGUUUGGAUAGCUAGAAAAUCAUUAAGGGUGAGUUAAUUUUGAGAGAAAAUAUUAGAGUUGAAUUUGGGGAAAUUUUGAAUGUGAAAUUCAAUGGAGGGAAGGGACGUCGGGUUCUUAAAGAAAUGGGGAAGAUGAGUAGUUUUUUUUUUUUUAAAUAAGGAAAAAUUGCAUUUUAAAAACUUCCAGUUUUCCUUUAUUUUUCAAUUCAGACCUUAGUUUAAUUAAAACGCAUUUUUCUCAAUUAUUUUCAAAUCCGAUAUUUUUAAAAGGUCCAUUUUAACCAAAUUAAUUCCCGAAUACCCAAUUUUAAUUUCUUAACAUAAAAUUAUUAAUUAUAUUAAUUUUAAUACUUUAUUUAAUUAAUUCCUAAUUAUUUUAAUGAUCUAACUUAAUUAUGAUUUUUGAUUCACUAACCCCGAUUUACUAUCUCGAUUUUUGGGAUGCGACAUGACAGCAUUAUGUAAAUAUGAUAUAAUAAUAAUUACUGAUAGCAUACAAAUAAAUUGUUGAUUACAUACCCUAUUGUAUAAACUAAAAUAUAAUUAUACUACAAGUUCUAUAAUAUGAUAUCUAAUGGGUUAAUUUUUAAAAUUGCAUAUUUUAAAAUUAAAAAAAAAUAUAAAAAUGUUAAUUUAUAAUUAUUCCUAACUUAUAUGCUUUUCAAUGUUACAACUUUUAUUAGAAUUAUUAGUAAAAAAAUGCAUAAAUGAUUGAUAGCAUAAUCAUUUUAAAGACAAAUAAUUAUAAAUUAAUUAUAUAAAAGUAAGUGAUAACAUUUUGUACUUUGUUAAUAUAAAAAAGGGUAAACACUUAAUAACAUAGUAAUAAAUAAUUUAUAAUACAUGAAUAAAUAAUAAAGAAAUAAUAUAGUAUAAAAUUAAAUAAUUAAUAAUACAAUAUAGUAAUAAAAUUUAUAAAUAUCAUUAUUUUUAAUGCCUAAUCGUAUAUACAUCAUUUUAAUUAAUAAAAAUUUAUAAUAUUGUAAAUAAUACCAUGAUGAUAGUUUUUUCUCACCUUAAAUUAUUUUGAUUAAAAUAUGUUGUUUUUAGACAUUAAAUACGUGAUUUCCAAGGUAUAUGCGUGUGAUAAAAUUUUUAGUAUUAUUUUAACCUUUCAGACAAUAAAAUUUUUAAUUAUUAGACUCUUGAUAUACUCUUAAAAACAAUCUACAUUUUUUUCUAAAUCUAGACCCAUUUUUGGCCUAGCUCGGUCAAUCCAAAAAAUAACUCAUUUUCCUGUUCAAAAAUAAUAAAAUAAUUUUAUAUUAAUAUUUUUAUAUUUAAAUAUAAAUUUAUAAAUAUUUUUACUUUAAAAUUUGAAGCGAAUAUAUAUUAUUAUAUAAAAUUUGAAAUUUAUUAAAAUUUACGAAAUAAUAGAUUAGUGUUAAAUGUGAUAAAAGGUCAUAAUAAUAUCAAAAUAAGUUUAUAACUUAAAUGUUUUAAUUAUAAAUAUGAAAAUUUAGAAGGUUAUUUUGGGAAGUGUAUAUAUAUAUAUUAGAGAAGAGAGAGAAUAGGAGGAACGGUAAGAGAGGGAAAAUAUUUAAAAAGUGAAAGUUUGAUUUCUUAUUUACCUUUGCCUCUCAGCCUCCAUGCUCUUCCAUCAUUCCUUUUCUCCUCUCUUUUGCACUAUCCUGCCCCCUACUUCUUUCCAACAACCCUACUUCCAUCAUUCCAUCUUUCUCUUCAACAUCAUCACAAAUAUACAUCAAAUUUUAUUAAUAUGGAGAAAUUAGAUUUAUCAAAAAAAAAAACCAUAAAUGGUUCAUACCUCUUAUCCUCGACGGGGGAUUAAAGCGAAGAACAUUUUUAUAGUUUGGAUGGUCAUCCCACUCCAACGAUUCCCACCAUUCUUUCCAUGACCUGAUGGUAAGAGAAGGUGGAGCAUAUGCAAAUGGCUGCCCAUUGCCAACAAGGGGAACAAAUGGAGGAAUUCUCUUCAGUUUAUCACAUCUAAUAAUAUGGAUAAGUUGGAGAGAAUCACAAACCAUCACUCCGCUUUUGCUGCAAAUGCUCUUCAAAUUUGGUAAUACACUGAACGACAAUUUUCUCAAUUUGGGAAGAUGGAAUUUGAUUAAUGCAUCACUCCCUUUUUCUUCAACUUCUGAUGUUUCUGCUCCCAAUAUUUCUACUAACUCAUCACAAUGAUCCACUGACAUUUCUUCCAGGUUUUGGAGGUUUGGAAGCAACCAAUGUGGAAGCAACAUCUUCAUACUUGAGCAGCUGUAUAUCGUAAUUUCCUUAAGAUGGGAAAAGCUGGCAGACGGAGCCACUGUUGAUGUUGUUGCUGAACCAAUUCCUGCAUCUUUUAUAAUAAGGGCACUCAACUUUGGCAGAUCUCCAAGAUCUAACACCUCGAGGCUCUGAAAUGGAUGAGCGGAAGAAGAGACAAAAGAGGACGGGGAAGCAACACACUCUAUCCCUUCACACCCCCAAAUACUACAAACCCUCAAGUCAAUCGCAUUUUUGAAGGAAGAAUUAUCAUCGACUAAGUUUCUCGAAUAGUCGCACUUUAAAAUAUUCAACUCUUGAAUUUCAAUUGGGUACAUAAUUAACUCACCUUCCCAAUUGUCGACUCCUCCAAUUGCUACUGUUUUAUCUCUUGUAGGAGGCAUAAAAGAUGGGCCCAGCUGUAAAGAGGACCUGAUGAAAGAUGAGCCCACCUGUAAAGAGUACUUGAUGAGAUUUUUCUUACUUUGUUGCAUUGAGGAGAUGAACUUAUUGAAUUCACUGAUGUCUUCGAAAUGUCCGGUUAAGCACUCCAACUUCUUCAGUGGUUCCAUCUCCUCUGCUUUUAGACUAAUUUGUUUAUCAAAACCCAAGUGCUGAAGGUGAAUGAGUUUUGGUAAAAGUCCAGCGGGUAUCUCUUUCAGAGUGCGCACUUGAAGAUCAAGAUAUCUUAGCUUUAUCAACAUAUCCAUUCCUUCAGGGACUUCCUCAAUUUUAGUCCCAGAAAGAUCCAACUUCUUCAAUUCUUGAAGCAUCGAAAGACAUGGUAGGUCUCUUAAAUCAUAACAACCACGAAGCAACAAUGUUGUGAGGUUCUUUAGUUCAGAGAUGGAAUUUGGUAAACUUUUGAUCUUCGUAGAGGACAAAUUGAGAACACUAAGACAGGGCAUGUUUGUGAAGAAAGAAUAUGGGAUCUUCUUUAUAGGGUUACCCUGCAAUAACAAGGUUGAGAGCAGUUGACAUUUUGUGGGCUGCACAUCUAUGGAAAUUUCUGAUAUGGAGUUAUACAUAAGUGACACUCUCUCAAUAUCCGGACUCCAUUGCUCCUUUUCUGGUAACUCUUCUAAUUGCAAACCUGCUUGUAUCAUAUAUCGAGGAUUCAUUCUUGUGAUCGACAAUGCCAUGUCUCUCACUGCAUCAUGCAUUUUCACGGUUACACUCGAGACAUUUUCCAACAAGCAAUUAUCUUCUAAUUUCUUCAAAAUAACAUGACCCUUAUCUUUCAUUUCUUGUCUUGUACUCAUAUCAUCUAUGAAUCCCUCAUCAAUCCAGCACUCAAUUAGCCCAUUCUUCCAAAUUUGACAAUCUUCAGGAUAUAAUGCGCAAUGUAAGAAACAAUGCUUCAUUUUCUCUUCUUUUAAGUGAUUGAAGCUAACUUUCAUACUCUCGAUCACUUUAUCUUCCCCUUCUUUCACUUUCCCUAUUCUCUCUUUCAAUUCCCUGAGUGUGUUUUUCCAAAUAAGAGGGUCAUCUUCUCCUCUCAAUGUACCAGAUAUGACGACAAUUGUAAGAGGCAGACCUGCACAUUCCUUGACAACCAGCUUCAAAGUUGGCAUUAAAGUUUGAUUUUGCACUAUGUUAGGUCCAACUUCACUCAAGAAUAGUAUUGGAAAUUGGCCAACCAUGCUGCUGUUACAUUUUGUGGUUGAAGUGCAUGCAGCUUGAUGACAUGCUGCAGCACAUAUGCUUGCUGUAACAGCAAGGUUUCUCUUUAGUUUCAUUCUAAUUAAUCUAGUUUAAAAUGGACAAGUUGAUGACAACUUGAUGCAUUAGGUGUUGAAUGACUAGUUUAGGUGGCUUGUUUAUGUGUACAAGCAAUGUUUUAAUAGUCCCAAUGCUGAUUAGUGGGGUUAGUUGACUAUUUGGUGAUGUAUUUGACUAUAAAUGUAUGUUUUUUCUAGUUGAAUGAAUGAGCUGAAUGAGCUAUCAGCCAUUAGCUCCCUUGCUGCACAUUUGUGAGCAAGUAAAAAUGCUUCUUGCACCUUGCUUCAUGUUCUGUGCUCUUGUUCUCUCUUUUGUUGCUGCCUCUUGCACCAACAAAUAGUAUCAAUGCCUCUUCUUCUGAAAGGGGCUUCACUUUUAUCACCUUACAGCCCAUAGACUUACAAACUUGCUCCACACGGGUUGUCAACACCAACUUGUACCCAUUGCUGCUACUUGGCUUAGGGAUCCCAAUUUCUUCCAACAAGACUUCACUCCACACAUCAUCUAGGAUUAGAACAUGUUUUCCUGCUCUCUUCAGCAUUUCGGACAAGAUUGCUGCUCGUCUGACCUUGUUUGCCUCUUUGGGAAUCUUUCCAUUCAAUGCACUUGCAAUAUCAUUUUGUAACUUCACAAUAUUGAACUCCUUUGAUAUAGUAACCCAAACCACCCUUUCAAAUCGCUGUUCUUUCAAAAGAUCAUUGUGAAUGUGCUUCAUGAUGGUCGAUUUACCCACGCCGCCCAUCCCCCAAACCCCAAUCUCGCUUACCUCCUCCUGCAUCAAACAUGCCCAAAUCUCUUUUCUGACAGCUUCCUGUCCAACUAGUUCUGAUGUUUCCAGUGGCAACCCAGCACUUGGACCAUCCAUGGCAAGACCUUCAGAGGCAUUAGGAGCUUUAUCAAGAAAUCCCUUCAUUUCUCGAGUCUUUUCAUCAACCAGCUUCCCGUUGCAAGCACGACAGAGAUAUCUCCCGUUCCUGACUUUGUUUUCAACAACUUGUGCUUCCGUAAUCAUCUCUUUCACAUCUUUCAACCAAUUUUCAACUCCCUUCUUCGGUAUCUUCCCCAGAGGACGAAGAAGCUCUGCUUUCAGUUGCAGCUCUAUAUCUUCCAUUUUGCAAUUCAAUUCAUCUGUGAUCCUCUUGAAGUUUCUCACAUAAUCGUUCAGCUUUCUGUGAUAUUGCAAAUAUUUACAAAAAGGAGGUCCGAGACAAUUUGCAAUGCCGACAACAGGCUCUACGUACUCCAUUGCUAUGUCCCUGCAAUGCAAUCAUAUAUAACAGUAGCAGAGAAUGAAAAUUUGUGAAUGAAUUGGAUAUUUUAUGAAGUAUUGAUAUGUCAGUGUAAGCAUGAAAAGGAAAACAUGAAUGCAAGUUCCAAGCAAUGGCGUUUAUUAGAUGGAGCUAUGGAUGGGUGGCAGACAGAAACAUGAUGAAAUUCUGGUCACCAUUGUAUAUCCAGAAUCAACCUCUCAAACUAUAUAACAUGCUAGAUUCAAGUGUGCAAGAGUUCAUUACAUAAUAUUAAGAGGUAAAAUGUUCAACAGCAUGAGAUUUCAACAUUAUAUUGCUUCUGGGUAGCGCUUUUCGUAUUAAUUUGUAUCUGUAGUAGACUAUGUCUGCUGAUCAUCCUGUCUUAAAAUUGAUAAUCAGUAGAGGAAAUCAUUGCUUCAGAUCGUAUUACCUUGACUAUCUAACAAAGCAUAGCUUUUUUCGUAUUAAUUUGUAUCUAUAGUAGAUUAUGUCUGCUGAUCAUCCUGUCUUAAAAUCCAAAACUGUUGAUAAUCACUAGAGGAAACCAUUGCUUGAGAUCUUAUUACCUUGACAAUCUUACAAAGCUAGCUGCUAUAACAGUAGCUGAUAAUAAAAAAACAUUGUAUAGUCAUGAAUUAAGCAAAUGAAAGAAAACUACCUUGACUGGAUGCUUGAAAAUUAGUGAUAGACGUUGGAGAUCAAAAGAAAUUAAAAAGAGUGAAGAAGAAGGUGAAAACAGAAAUAAGCAAAAUUGUGAUAGGAAUUACUGGGAAAGUAUGUGAAGAAGAAGAAGAUAGAGAAAAUAAUUAAUAAUUAAUGGGAAAGCAUCAUUACAUGGAUAUGAGUAAGAAAUCCAUCUUUUUUUUUACUUUUUUCUUUGCUGUCACCCAUUAUAAUUGGCAUUAAAUAAUAAUAAUUAUAAUAAUUAGGCUUAAUGAUAAAUUUGAUCACUAACUUUUACUUGUUUUGUCAAAAUGACCCUAAUUCUAUUUUUGAACUUUUAUUUACCAUCUACCUUUGUUUCAAUAUUUCUUUUCUUUCAAAAAAUUUUCAAUCUUUCGUAUGUUUGUUUACUGAGAAGUUAUUCUACCGAGGUAAUUUUUUUUUUUAAAUAAUUACUCAGCAACAAUCGUAAGCGAAGGUUUUGGUAUGUGACUUCCCAAAUAAACCUUUGUUUUGCUUUUACCCUUCUUUGGGUUUGUUGAGAAAUUUUGUGUGAUUUUGUUGAUAUCAUUUUUCAGGUUAUGCAGCGAAUAGGUAAAGAUGAAUGGAUAAAUACUUCUGGGUUUCUUGUUUUCUUAAUUAGCGUUUAGGGUUUAAUUAAAAAAAUUGUGUUUUUGUUUAACAUUUUAUAGAAUCGACCCAGAAGAGAGUUUUGUCAAAGUAGUGAAGAAAUAUGGGCUUCCCCAAGAUGAAGGUGUAAAAUCCUUCAUUUCCAACCCGCCAGCCCAGCCUUCUGGUAAAAUGUUUUUGGAUAUUUUCUUAUAAUAAGAGUGUACAUUCUGGAAAUGUAUUGGGAAAAGAAAGGGUUGUGUUGGUUAUGAUGAGUAAGGCUACCAUGAGGUGCUGGAGAGGAGAGGUGGAAUUUUAGCAUUGAAACAGAUAGUGAGGGUAAUAGUUGAUCCUCUUCUGCUUUAAUGUUUUACUUGACACAUCAGUUAAUUUGAAACGUAGGAGAUUUUGCAGUGUGUCACGAGUACAGAGUGACAAAGAAAUUAUGAGAGAAGUACAGGCAAUCAUGGCACGAAUUGUUUCAACUAAUACUUACUUGUCAUGCCUUGAUGAACCAUGUAGAGCACUAUUUGAGUUCAAUUUUUUAAAAGCUUUCCCAUGCCCCAAUAUGUGUUAAUGAUGUAUGAUUUGUUAGGGAUGAUACAUUAGUUUUUAAAUAAUAUUUAAAGCAACAAUGUCGUGAGGUUCCUUAGUUCAGAGAUGGAAUUUGGUAAACUAUCGAUAUUCGUAGAGGACAAAUUGACACAAAGGUAAGGCAUCUUUCUGAAGAAAGAAUAUGGGAUCUUCUUUAUAGGGUUAUGCUGCAAUAACAAGGUUGUGAGCAGUUGACAUUUUUUGGGCAGCACAUCUAUAGGAAUUUCUAAUAUGGAGUUAAGCAUUAGCGACACUUUCUCAAUAUCCGGACUCCAUUGCUCCUUUUUUGGUAACUCUUCUAAUUCCAAGCCUGCUUGUAUCAUAUAUCGAGGAUUUGUACUUGUGAUCGACAAUGCCAUGCGUCUCACUGCAUCAUGCAUUUUCACUUUUGCACUCGAGACAUUUUCCAACAAGCAGUUAUCUUCCAACUUUUUCAAAAUAGUAAGGCCCUUAUCUUCCAUUUCUUGUCUUCUAUCCAUUUCAUCUAUGAAUCUCUCAUCAAUCCAACACUCGAUUAGUUCAUCCUUACUAAUUUCAAAAUCUUCAGGAUAUAAUGCACAAUACAAGAAGCAAGAUUUUACUUUCCCAUCUUUCAAGUGAUCAAACCUAAAUUUCAAAUGCUUGACUACCUCAGCUUCCACUUCUUCCACUUUCGCUAUUCUCUCUUUCAAUCCCUUGAAUGCAUUUUUCCAAAUGCGAGGGUCAUCUUCUCCUUUCAUGGUCCCAGCUACCACAACAAUUGGAAGAGGUAGACCCGCACAUUCGUUGACAACAAGCUUCAAAGUUGGCAUUAUAGUUGGAUUUUGAACUAUGUUAGGUCCAACUUUAUUCAAGAAUAGUAUCAAUGCCUCUUCUUCUGAAAGGGGCUUUACUUUUAUCACCUUUCAACCCAUAUACUUACGGACAUGCUCUGAAUGGGUUGUCAGCACCAACUUGCAGCCAUUGCGGCCACUCGGCUCGGGGAUCCCAACUUCCUCUGGAGAGACUUUAUCCCACACAUCAUCUUGGAUUAGAGCAUGUUUUCCAGCUCUCUUCAGCAUUUCCGAUAAGAUUGCUGCUCGUCUAACCUUGUUUCCUUCUUUGGCCAAAUCUUCCUUCAAGUUCAAGGCACUUGCAAUGUCAUCUUGUAACUUGAUAACAUUAAAAUCCUUUGAUAUAGUAACCCAGAUUACGCUUUCGAAUCUUUGUUCUUUCAAAAGAUCAUUGUGGAUGUGCUUCAUGAUAGUGGUUUUACCCACACCGCCCAUUCCCCAAACCCCAAUCUUGCUCACCACCUCCUGCAUCAAACAUAACCAAAUCUCAUCUCUCACAGCUUUCUCACCAACUAGUUCUGAUGUUUCCAGUCGCAACCCACCACUUGGACCAUCAAUGGCAAGACCUUCAGAGGCAUUAGGAGCUUUAUCAAGAAAUUCCUUCAUUUCUCGAGUCUUUUCGUCAACCAGCUUCCCGUAGCAAGCAAGACAGAGAUAUCUCCCGUUACUGACUUUGUUUUCAACAACUUGUGCUUCCCUAAUCAUCUCUUUCACAUCUUUCAACCAAUUUUCAACCCCCUUUUGGUAUCUUCCCGGGAGGCCGAAGCUCUGCUUUCAAUUGCAGCUCUAUAUCUUCCAUUUUGCAAUUCAAUUCAUCUCUGAUCCUCUUGAAGUUUCUCACAUAAUCAUUCAGCUUUCUGUGAUAUUGCAAGUAUUUACACACAGGAGUUCUGAGACAAUUUGCAAUGCCAAGAACAGGCUCUACGUACUCCAUUGCUAUGUCCCUGCAAAGCAAUCAUAUACAACAGUAGCAGAUAAUAAAAACCGUGAAUGUAUUGGAUUUUUUAUGAAGUUUAGAUAUGUCAGUGUAAGCAUGAAAAGGAAACAUGAAUGCAACUUUCAAGCAAUGGCAGACAGAAGCAUGAUGAAACUCUGGUCACCAUUGUAUAUCGUUUACCGAAUCAAUAAUUAAUAAAAAAAUUUAAAUCUAUAAAAUCAUUUAAUAAAACAACAACAACAACAACUUAAGGGUAGUCUUCUGCUUUCAUAUUUAUUUGCAAAUUAAUAUAAUAUAAUUACUUAUAAUUAUAAUGAAUUCAUUGGUAAUGCUUUUAUGGGUUGCCUACCGUUCAAUUAAGGGAUGGACUUUAGGUUUUGGCUCAUAGGCUUGGGUUUGGGUCUAAAAUUAGGCCAUGCCUUCACAUUUAGAAAAUAAUUUGUCUUUAUUUAUUUAUUAUUUCAUAUAGCAUUUGGUGGAGAUUUUUAAAUUUAUUAGAUUCUAAUGUAACAUGAAUUGAAUAUGAUUUGAAGUAUUUAAUAUUCAGUUCAUUUUUAAAUAUUUUAUUUUUAACAUAUAUUAAUUCAACUAUUAUAAUAGAAAAUGUUCAAAUUAUAAUUAAAUUAUUUUUAUCAUAUUCAACAUAUAAUAUAACUUUACUUUAUGUGAUUAAUGCAAAGUAACAUUACUCACAAUAAUAACUCUAUUUUAUAUCAAUAAAAUUAGCACAAACUUUUUUACGUCUAAAGUUUUUUAACUAAUAAUUGUAAUUAUUGAUUAUAAUUAUAAUUGUAAUGAUCAUAUUUUUUAUAUAUUAUAUGUUUAGUGUUUCAAGUAAUAACUCUAUUUUAAAAUUAGCGCAACUUUUUAACUAAAAAUUGUAAUUAUUUUUAAAUGUGUAAUUAUCACGACUUCUAUUUUAAUUCAAUUUUUUAUUUUUAAAUAUAUUUUUUUAAUAUGAUGAAAAACAAAAAAAUAUUCUCCUCUAUUAAAAACAAUUUCUAAACUCGUGAUUUUAUAUUAUUUAUAUAUAAGCGUGUUAAAUAUUUUUUAUAUGGAUUUUAUUUCUUUUAAAGGCAUCAAUUUAAAAUAUUUGGUGAUUUCUUAUGACAUGUUCAUCAUAUAUGUAUUUAAAAGUAAACAUUUAUUUAUUCAAAAAUUUCUAAUACUUUUUUUCAUGAUUAUAAAUUUAAAUCUUAACAUUUAUUUAUUUUUUGUAAAUUUGACCUUUAUUCUUUUUUUUAGUAAGCUUUCAAAAAAAAAUCAAAUUUAUUUUUUCCUAAUGAAAAUGCUGACUAAAAUAUUAAUUUUUAACAAUGUGGUGUGGCAAACCGCAUGACAGUACAUGUGUAUUUCAUGUUGACAUAGCAUAUGUCACAUCAAUAAAUAAUUUAAAAAUUAUAAAAAUAUACAAAAACAAAAAUUUCAAAUUUCAAAAUUCAAAAAAUAUAUAUAUAAGGUUCAUGAAAAUUUUUAAAAAUAGCAUAAAGUACACGUGAAUUGCUAUACGGGCUAUCAUGUUUAAAAUUUUAACAUUUUAGGUAGUAUUUCCAUUAAAAAAUAACAAUUCGACUCUUUUUGAAAUGUUAAUAAUCAAAAUUGACUCUUUUUAAAAGGAAGAAUGCCAAAUUUAGCUUUUUAAAAAAAAAAGAAUAAGAGUCAAAUUGAAAAAAAUAUAAACGUUAAAUAUUAACAUAAUUUUAAAAGUUUUUGUUCCUACAAUUAGUUAUCAUAAAACAUUUAAACAUGUUCAUUAUUCCAUAAAUAAAUCUUGAUUAAGUCUUUAUACUUUAUAUUUAUCUAAAAUUUUUAAUUUUUUUUUUAUAAAUCACAAAGUGUCCUUGUCCAUUUUACAAUUUGGAUAUAGACUGUUCGGGUUGGGAGUGGUAUUCAAGUAAUUUGUAGCGUGAAGUGCAAUUAGAGAUUCAUUUCAUUUUUUUGGGCUAUCCAGAUUAAUAUUUUCAUUUAGAAUGAUUUAUGGUUGGCUUGGUUGAACCGAUAAAAUGAAGCAUCCAGGCUCCGUUUAAAAAAAAAAUCCAAUUGGUAAUACAUUUAUGAUUACCACACCUAUAUCAUAAUCAUAAAUCUUUUUUAUGACAAGUUCUAAAUAGAAAUAAGAAUGAUUUCAAACUACUAAUCAAUCAAAUAAUACUACUAAUCAAUCAAAUAAUAUAAGAAAUACGUUGAAUAUCUUGUGGAAAACAUGAAAGAAAAAGGAAUUAAAUUAAAAUAAAAAAGGAAAUGAAAUCAUAGCAAAAAGAUGUGGUAUUGGGUCAUUUGUCUUAUAUUCGCAAAUCAAAAUCUGGCGAAUCUUUAUUCGGAGUAGAGCAUAAACCUAAAAAAAUUGAAUAAAAAAUUGAUGGAAUCCAUCCAGGAACAAGAAAAUGACAUUGAGAUUUGGAUUGAAUCCCAAUGAAAAAAAUAGAUCAAUGAAAAGUUUGUACGAUAAAUUUAGCGAAUUUUUUUCUAUAUGAAUUUUUUUCUAUAUUAUAGAUUAUAGGAAAACGAGCCAAAACUUAGCUUUCUUUAAUUUCAUUUUGAAUUUCAGUUUAUUUAAAAAAUGUAAGAAAAAGUCCCUUCAUCAAAAAUUAAAAGUUAGAAAAGGCACACUAGAAAAAACUAAGGAUGGCUGGAAUCUACACUUUGAUUUUUUUUUUCACAAUUUUUAUUGAAUCGUAUGCAUCAAAAGAUGCCUGUACAGCUACUAAGAGAUACAAUUUUAUCCUAAUCAACUAACUUUAUCGAUAAAAAUUACUUUUUUUAGGCCUAGAGUUUGAUAGCGAGAUCUCGAGUCAACAUAUUGGCGUCUUAUGGUAUAUCUUAGUAUAGAGAACGAUACCAAAGAUCUAUAUUUGUUUAUAAACUCUCCUGGUGGAUAGGUAAUACCCAGAGUAGCUAUUUAUGAUACUAUGCAAUUUGUGCAACCAGAUGUGCAUAGAAUGUGCAUGGGAUUGGCUGCUUCAAUGGGAUUGUUUCUGCUGGUCGGAGGAAAAAUUACCAAACGUCUAGCAUUCCCUCACGCUCAGUGCCAAUGAGUUCUUUAUGUGAUGAAAAGGAAAAAUAAGUUUAUACCUUUGACAUAUAAAAUAUGAAAUAGUAAGUAAUAAUAUCUUGGCACUUCGAAUUCGAUAUGAAAUUUUUAUUUUUUUUCAAAAUAAUAAAUUAUGUAUCAAAAGAGUAGUAUGAGAGAAAGGGCAUUUCCAAUUUUAUCUUAGCUGUCGUGGGCUCAUCUGAGCGUCACAAACCUUUUUUUUUCUUCUCACACCAAAGGCUAUUAACAAUAUUUAUGUUAUAAAUAAAAGAGUAUAAAAAAAAGACUAUUUCUUUCUUUCUUUCUUUCUUCAAAAAAAAUAAAAAGAAAUUUUGGGAUUGUUGAAUCAUAGACGAAAUAAAUAUAUAAAGCAACGGAGCCAUCAUAGUAUUUUUGAACUUGUCCGAAUAAAAAAAGAAGGGUAGUAAUUGGAUUAUUUAGUGAUCUGGGUCUAAUAGACGCUCUCUAUAUUUUCUCUUUUUCUUUUUUCGAUGAAAGAAAAAAAGAGAAUUCCAUCGUAAAGUCGUAUGUAAUGCGCAAAAUAUGCUUUCAAUCACUUUAGCGGUUCAGCUGAUUGGAUACCUAAUCUGCCAUGAAAUUUCAAAUUUGUUCUUGAACAAUCUGAAUUUCCUUCAGAUGUUAUCCCUUAGAUUCCCUUGGAUAAUUGAAUUUUAAUUCCGAUACCUGACGUCGUUAUAAAAUCCUUCAUCAUAGUAUAGUAAGUUGAUGUUUUGGUUCUUAAGAUUGGUAACAUAAGCUGAUUAUGUCUGCAAUGACUCCCUUUCGAUUGCGGGCAAAUGCAUCCGAUAAACUGAGCUUGGAUUUUUCGACUUGAGAAGAAGGCUGUGACAAGCCAUCACUGAACCCUACCUUCCCAUAGCAACCCUUCUUCUUCUUGGUCAUCUUCCCUGUCAUUGUCAAGUUCUUGAGCUAUGAAAUCCUUAUUUAUGGCAGCUCUGAAACCUGCAGCUUCCAUUGCAGGAGAAGGAGAUAUAAAUAAUGGAGAGUGGUACUGAAAUGUUGAAAUCAGAGUAAGAUGGAAGUGGAAAAAGUCGAAGGACCACAAGCUAACAUUAAUUUGUCUCACGUUUUUUCUUUAUGCAGUUUAGGAUUUAAUCCAAAAAGAAACAGAUGUAAGAUAACAUUAAUUUAAUAAAUCCUAGCAGUCAACUACCUAUACCUAUACCUAAAUUCUUAAUUAACUAUUAGUGUUGUUAAGUUAUCGGAUAAUUACUUCCUCUCAUCUUAAAUAAAAAAAAAAUCAUUAUCUCCAGUUUUUUUUUUUUUCAUUUAGUUUAAAUCAUUCUCUGUUUUUCAAAAAUCUGAGGUAAAAUCAGAUCUUACAUGUGUCGUGGACGAGAACUAUUUGGUUGUAUUUUUCUUAUAAAAAUUGUGGUAAUUUACAAAUAUUUAGAAUUGUGUUGGGGCACUGCAAUUGUUCAUUAGUGUUUAAAUUAUUAUAACGUUGAAGGUAAAGCAAUCGUUUGAAAUCAAGCUAAUCUCAGAGGCGAUAGAAACUAUUUAAGACUACGCUAAUGUAAUAAAGCGAGCUAUUGUUCGAUAAAUGAUCUUUAGUGAAUUGGAAAUGAACCCUUGCUGGAAGGGUGCCUUUACUGUGAAUAAAUGCCUUUAUGAGUCAUACCGUGGAUUGUACUACUGAACUGAAUCCAAGUCUUGACUUAAAUUUUUUUUAUUGGUAUAUUGAUGGAUAGUGCUUUCGUCUGGCUUAUAUGAACUUUACUUUGUAGUUUGAUGGAUGGUAGUCAUUGACUUGACAAUAUACAAUGACUAAUGAGAUUUUUGAAAUUCAUGCCUUUUUAACUUUUUUAAGGCAAUAGUGUUUUUAUUCAUAGUUGACUUGUAUAAAUUUCACUUUGUGAUUUAGUGAGUAGUGUGUCUAUUGGCCCAACAAUCGAGGAAUAUAUAAUGCAUAUUAUCACGAGUUGUAUAGUUGUUGAUUGAAUGAUCUAGAGUUAUAUUUUUGGAGAUACAUAUGUCUCACUUUUGUAGAGAGCUACUAAAUGGUUCACAAAGGGGCCCUACUGUCGUUUUUUGGAGAUAUGCUUCAUCUCUAUGGAGAGUGAUUAAACGGUUUAUGGGGGGCUUGAUUGUCAAUUUUUGGUGUUAUGCCUCACCUCUAUGGAGAGCUGUUGGACAGUUCAUGAAGGGCCUUGACUGCUAAUUUUUGGAGAUAUGUCUCACCUUCGUGGAAAGUCGUAGAACGGUUCACUGAAAGACCCAACUAUCAAUUUUUGGAGAUAUGUUUCACCUCCAAGAAGAGCCAUUGAAUGGUUCACGGAGGGGCCCAAAGGUGCCUAAAUAUGAAAAGUUGAGAAAUCUAAAAGACUGCUAAACUAAAAUUUGAAUUUCAAAGUUUGAUAACUAAAAUAUAACUUCUUGAAAACUUAAUGGUUAAAAUUAUAGUUUAUCUUUUUUUUAAUUUAAAAAUAAUAAAAAUGUACAAUGCUAUGUAAUGUAUAAGAUGACAUGGCAAUUUCACAAGUUAUUGACAAGUGUUUGGUAUUGCCAUGUCAUCUUAGUCACUAACUAUUGGGUGGCUAAUCAUUAGUAUUGAUGUCUAAAUAUAUAAUUUUAAUAUUUGGGUCAUCAAAUUCAAAUAUAUAAAAUAGGCAACUUUAUGUAAAUAUGAUAUAAUAGUAAUGACUAUAGCAUAAAAAUAAUUUAUUGAUUACAAUCCCUAUUUUAUAAACUAAAAUAUAAUUGUACUACAAGUUCUAUAAUUAUAAAUAGUUAAUUUAUAAUUUUAUAUUAUUUAAAUUAAAUUCGAGUUGGACCAACUCGAGAUAUGGUGAGGUCUGUAGUCAACUUGUAUUCCAUAUUAUUUACUUUAAAAGUGGAAGCGUAUAUAAAUUUACGAAAUAAUAGACUAGUGUUGAAUGUAAUAAAAGACCAUAAUAAUAUUUGAUUCGAUAUCAUAUCAAAAUAAGUUUAUAACUUAAAUGUUUUAAUUGUAAAUAUGAAUAUAUAGAAGGUUAUUUUGGGAAUUACAUAUAUAUUUUAAAAGAAAUAAAGUUAAUUUUAAGAGAAGAAAAAGAAAAUAGAAGGAAUGAUAAGAGAGGGAAAAUGUUUAAAAAGUGGAGGCAGUUUGAUUUCUUGUUUACCUUUGCCUCUUAACCUCUUCCUUCCAUCAUUCCUUUUCUCCUCUCUUUUGCACUAUCCUUCUUUCCCACCUACACUUUCAUCUUUCUCUUCAACAUCAUCACAAUUAUACUUCCAAUUUUAUUCAUAUUGAGAAAUUAGAUUUAUCAAUAUGAAAAAAUAAAGUAUACCAUACACGGUACAUACACAUACCUCUUAUCAGGUCGAAGCGAAGAACAUUUUUAAAGUUUGGAUGGUCAUCCCACUCUAACGAUUCCCACCAUUCUGUGUUUGACGUGAUGGUAAGAGAAGGUGGAGCAUAUGCAAAUGGCUGCCCAUUGUUGAAGUAAUGGUCAGCAUGCAGCAACCAAGACUGUCAAAGGCACUACAUGCAGAAGCUGCUGGUUCACCUAGUCAGCAAGCUGUUUAUGUUUCAUUUUGUAAUUUUAAGUUAGAGUAAUGUAACUUAGUUGCUUUAUAACUAUGUUAGGUUUAUGUUUGAUGUAAUUUUGAUGUUGACUGAGCUGAUAAAUCAGCUUUGUUUGUUUAUUCAAGCUAAUUAGCACAAGUUACUAUGUGUAUUAGUGGUAGUAGGUGAAGUUUAGGUCAACCUACUGUUUUGUCAAGAUUGUAAACUUGUUUUAUGUAUUGGCUUUAUGCCAUAUUUAGUAUGAUGAAUGAAUUCAAGAAGUUAUCAUCCAUAUGCUCUCCAUUUUUAGUUUUUCUUAAAAAUCCAUUUGAGUUUUCUGCUUUGUUUCUCCUACAAGUCACGAGACUUGUCAUACAAGCAUUCUGCUGAAGCUUGCUGCUGCUGCCUCUUGCUCCAACAAUUGGUAUCUAGAGCCACAUUCUUAGAGGACCUGUUGUAGUUCAGUAUCAAAACGAUGGCAUCAUCAGGUUUUUCACCAGCUUCACCACCUAUCUUCAAUGGAGAGGGCUUCAACAUUUGGGCAGUUAAGAUGAGGACUUACCUGCAGGCAUUCGACCUAUGGGAAGUUGUUAACUCAGAUGCUGAGCCAGCACCUCUUCGAGCUAAUCCAACAGUUGCUCAAAUAAGGCAACACACUGAUGAAAGGACAAAAAGGCACAAGGCCAUGUCAUGCAUACAGAAUUGUGUGACAGAUGUGAUCUUUAUGAGGAUCAUGGCCUGUGAGACACCAAAGGAGGCUUGGGACAAGCUGAAAGAAGAAUUUCAAGGGACUGAGAAAACAAGGCAACAACAGCUGCUCAAUUUGAGAAGAGAUUUCGAAAAUCUCAAAAUGAAAGAGGAAGAAACAGUUAAGCAGUACUCAGACCGGAUUAUGGCUGUUGUAAACAGCAUAAGGCUCCUAGGAGAGCAAUUCAGUGAAGCUAGAAUGGUUGAGAAAGUCAUGUCCACUCUACCAGAGAGGUAUGAAGCUAAAAUUUCAUCCCUCGAAGACUCAAGGGACUUGACAACUAUCUCCUUAACUGAGCUAAUCAAUGCCUUGUAUGCACAAGAGCAAAGAAGAGCUAGCAGACAAGAGGAGCACCAGGAAGGGGCUUUUCAAGCCAAAGAAGCCUCGAGCAUCAAAACUCAUAAAGGCAAAAAGUUCUGGAAAAACAGGCCUAAGCCUGAUGCUGCUAAGAGCAGUGACCAACUCUGCAUACAUUGUAAAAGAGCUGGUCAUCCAGAAGAUAGAUGCUGGUUUAGACCAGAUGCAGUAUGCCAACACUGCAAGAAAAAAGGCCAUGUUGAAAAGGUUUGCAAGAAUAGAAGCAAACCAAGACAGAAUCAAUUUCAGCAACAAAAGGUGGAAGCUCGAGUAGCUGAAGAAAGCAGUGAUCAAGAAGAACAUGUUUUUGCUGUGUCAUGUGCAGCAAAUCAGAAGAAGGGUUCAAAGGGCUGGCUUUUAGACAGUGGGUGCACAAACCACAUGUCACCAGAUGCAACUAUCUUCAAAACCCUGGACAGAACCUGCAAAACCAAAGUAAAAAUUGGAAAUGGUCAGUUAAUCAAUACUGAAGGAAGAUGAGAUGUGCUGAUUCAUACUUCUACAGGUGGCAAAAUCAUUUCAAAUGUACUUUUGGUACCUGAAAUCGAUAGGAACCUUCUCAGUAUAACUCAACUACUUGAGAAAGGUUACUCAGUUGUUUUCAAGGAGAAAGAAUGUCAAAUUUUUGAUCCAAGUGGAUCAAAUCUUAUAACAGUCACCAUGACUGAUAAAUGUUUUGAAGUAGACUGGCCAAAUGACUCACAUUCAGCCUGCAUAGCCUCCACUGAUGACUCGAGACUCUGGCAUCAGAGGCUUGGACAUGCAAACUACAAAUCCAUAGCCCGCAUGGUCAAUGAAGGUCUGGCAGAAAAUUUCAUUGAUUCAGUGAAGAAUGAUGAGCUUUAUGAGAUAUGUCAGCAAGGAAAAUUGGCAAGAUUGCCAUUUCCAACAAGCACAACAUGGAGAGCAUCAGAGAAGCUCCAGCUUGUGCAUACAGAUGUGUGUGGACCAAUGAAGACUGAGUCUCUCAAAGGAAGCAGGUACUUUAUUUUAUUUAUUGAUGACUUAACAAGAUACUGCUGGAUUUAUUUUCUAAAACAGAAAUCAGAAGUACCAUCUAUGUUCCUGAAGUAUAAGGCUGCUGUUGAAACUGAGUCUGGUUGCAAACUUAGAGCAAUGAGGUCAGAUAAUGGAACUGAGUACACCUCAGCUCAGUUCCAAGUCUACUGUGAAGAAGCAGGUAUCAAACACCAGUUGACUAAUGUGUAUACACCCCAACAGAAUGGGGUCAGUGAAAGGAAAAAUAGAAGCUUGAUGAACAUGGCAAGAUGUCUUCUGUUUGAGAAGAAUUUGCCCAAAAGUCUGUGGGCUGAAGCUGUUAACACAGCAGUUUAUCUCCAAAACAGGCUCCCAACCAAGGCUCUGGCUGAGAAGACUCCAUUUGAAGCCUGGUUUGGGUUUAAGCCAUCACUGGCUCAUCUCAGAACCUUUGGUUGUCUGUGCUAUACUCAAGUUCCAGCUGAGAAGAGAAGCAAGCUAGAUAAAAGAGCUCAAGCAGGGAUCCUGAUCGGCUACAGCUUGGUUAAGAAGGGCUACAGAAUUCUAGAACCUGCUACAAACAAGAUAUUGGUUAGCAGGGAUGUUUUCAAUGAAAAAGGACACUGGAAUUGGGAGAAGGCUGAACCAGAGGCAGUGGCUGAAGAUCUGGCAGUGGACCAAGUUGAAAAUGAUGAAAACACACCUGAAAUGGAUGUAGAUGAUGUUCCAAUCAGAGGCACUCGAUCACUGACUGAUGUUUAUGAAAGAGCACAAGUGGCUACUGUUGAACCAAGUUGCUUUGAAGAAGCAGAAAACCAGGAGGACUGGAAGCAAGCAAUGAUUGAAGAAAUCAGAAUGAUUGAAAAGAAUCAGACCUGGAGUCUGGUUGAUAAACCAACAAACAGGAAGAUUAUUGGUGUCAAAUGGGUUUAUCGAGUAAAGAACAAUGCUGAUGGUAGCCUAAACAAGUUAAAGGCUAGAUUGGUUGUGAAAGGCUUCAGUCAAAGGUAUGGAUCAGACUACCUGGAAACCUUUGCACCAGUGGCCAGGCUAGACACUAUUAGACUGCUAGUUGCCUUAGCAGCACAAAAACAGUGGCUGAUACACCAACUUGAUGUAAAAUCAGCAUUUCUGAAUGGAUUCCUUGAAGAGGAGAUUUAUGUGGAGCAACCUCAAGGUUUCAAGGUGUCUGGCAAAGAAGAUAUGGUGUACAAGCUCAACAAAGCCUUGUAUGGCUUGAAACAGGCUCCAAGGGCCUGGUAUAGCAGAAUAGAUGGCUAUCUGACCAGUCAAGGAUUUGAAAGAAGUCUUAGCGAGCCAACUCUGUAUGUUAAAUCAACUAGUGCUGAAACUCAGCUCAUUGUCUCAAUAUAUGUCGAUGACCUACUGGUGACAGGAGGAGAUCAUGAGAUGCUAAGCAGUUUUAAAGUCAAAAUGCAACAGCACUUUGAAAUGUCAGAUUUGGGAUUGAUGUCUUACUUCAUAGGCAUGGAAGUAACUCAAGCUAAGAAUGGGAUUUGGCUAAGUCAAAAGACCUUUGCUAUGAAGGUUCUCAACAAAUUCUCAAUGGAGAAUUGCAAAGCAACCAGCACACCAGUUGCUGUUGGAGAAAAACUCUCGAGCCAAGACAAGCAUGAAAAGGUUUGUGAAACAACCUAUCGAAGUCUAGUUGGAUGUUUGUUGUAUUUGACUGCUACUAGACCUGACAUAACGUAUGCUGUGAGUCUACUCUCGAGGUUUAUGCAUUGUUCAAAUGAAAGUCAUUUUAGAGCUGCAAAAAGGGUUCUAAGAUACAUCAAAGGAACUUUGUCCUAUGGAAUGCAGUUUACCAAGGCUGAGAACUUGAGGCUAGUUGGAUAUUGUGACAGUGAUUGGGCUGGUUCUUUGGAUGACAUGAAGAGCACUACAGGUUAUGCAUUCAACAUAGGCUCUGCUAUGAUAUGCUGGAGCUCAAAGAAGCAAGGAGUAGUGGCUCAGUCGACUGCAGAAGCAGAAUAUGUGGCUGCUGCUGCAGCAGUCAAUCAAGCCAUAUGGCUUAGAAAAAUUUUGAAAGAUAUCAAUCAUGAGCAAAAGGAAGCAACUGAGAUAAUGUGUGACAACCAAUCAGCAGUUGCUAUUGCAAAGAAUCCUGUUUUUCAUGGAAGGACCAAGCACUUCAACAUCAAACUUCAUGCAGUUCGGGAAAUGGAACAAGCUCAUGUUGUUAAGCUGAUACAUUGCAGUUCUGAAGAGCAAAUUGCUGAUAUUUUAACAAAAGCACUAAGUGUUUCCAAGUUUCAACACCUGAGAACUAAUAUGGGAGUUUGCAACAUGCUAACCAAGGAGGAGUGUUGAAGUAAUGGUCAGCAUGCAGCAACCAAGACUGUCAAAGGCACUACAUGCAGAAGCUGCUGGUUCACCUAGUCAGCAAGCUGUUUAUGUUUCAUUUUGUAAUUUUAAGUUAGAGUAAUGUAACUUAGUUGCUUUAUAACUAUGUUAGGUUUAUGUUUGAUGUAAUUUUGAUGUUGACUGAGCUGAAAAAUCAGCUUUGUUUGUUUAUUCAAGCUAAUUAGCACAAGUUACUAUGUGUAUUAGUGGUAGUAGGUGAAGUUUAGGUCAACCUACUGUUUUGUCAAGAUUGUAAACUUGUUUUAUGUAUUGGCUUUAUGCCAUAUUUAGUAUGAUGAAUGAAUUCAAGAAGUUAUCAUCCAUAUGCUCUCCAUUUUUAGUUUUGCUUAAAAAUCCAUUUGAGUUUUCCGCUUUGUUUCUCCUACAAGUCACGAGACUUGUCAUACAAGCAUUCUGCUGAAGCUUGCUGCUGCUGCCUCUUGCUCCAACACCCAUUGCCAACAAGGGGAACAAAUGGAGGAAUUCUCUUCAGUUUAUCACAUCUAAUAACAGCGAUUAACUUGAGAGAAUCACAAAUCAUCACUCCACUUUUGCUACAAAUGCUCUUCAAAUUUGGUAAUUUCCGGAAUGCCAACACUCUCAAUUUGGGAAGAUGGAAUUGGAUUAAUGCAUCACCCCUUUUUUCUUCAACUUCUGAUGUUGCUGCUCCCAAUAUUUCUACUAUCUCAUCACAUUCUGACACCCAAAUUUGUUCCAGGUUUUGGAGGUUUGGAAGCAACCAAUGUGGAAGCAACGUCUUCAUACUUGAGCAUCUCUGUACAUCAAUUUCCUUAAGAUGGGAAAAGGUGGUAGACGGAGCCAAUGUUGAUGUUGUUGCUGAACCAAUUCCUGCAUCUUUCAUAAUAAGGGCACUCAACUUUGGCAGAUCACGAAGAUCCAAUAUCUCGAGGCUCUGAAGUGGAUGAGCGGAAGAAGAGGCAAAAGCGGACAGGGAAACAACACACUCUAUCCCUUUACAAUCAUAAAUCCUCAAGUCAAUCGCAUUUUUCAAGGAAAAAUUAUCAUCGACUAAGUUUCUCAAAUAGUGGCACUUUACAAUGUUCAACUGUUGAAUUUCAAUUGGGUGCAUAAUUAAAUCACCUUCCCAAUUCUGGACUCCUCCAAUUGUUACUGUUUUAUCUCUUGCAGCAGGCAUAAUAGAUGAGCCCAUAUGUAAAUGGUACUUGAUGAGAUUUUUCUUACUUUUUUGCACUGAGGAGAUGAACUUAUUGAAUUCACUGAUGUAUUCGAAACGUCCGGUGAAGCAUUCCAACUUCUUCAAUGGUUCCAUCUCCUCUGCUUUUAGACUUGUUUUUUCAUUGACCACAUUAAAACUCAAGUGCUGAAGGUGAACGAGUUUUGGUAAAAGUCCAGCGGGUAUCUCUUUCAGAGUGCCCACUUGAAGAUCAAGAUAUCUUAGCUUUAUCAGCAUAUCCAUUCCUUCAGGGACUUCCUCAAUUUUAGUCCCACAAAGAUCCAACUUCUUCAAUUCUUGAAGCAUCGAAAGAUAUGGCAGAUCUCUUAUUUGAUAACAGCCACGAAGCAACAAUGUUGUGAGGUUCUUUAGUUCAGAGAUAGAAUUUGGUAAACUCUCGAUCUUUGUAAAAGACAAAUUGAGAACACUAAGACAAGGCAUGUUUGUGAAGAAAGAAAUUGAGAUAUUCUUUAUAGGGUUGUUCUGCAAUAACAAGGUUGUGAGCAGUUGACAUUUUGUGGGAAAUACAUCUAUGGAAAUUUCUGAUAUGGAGUUAUACAUAAGUGACACUUUCUCAAUAUCCGGACUCCAUUGCUCCUUUUCUGGUAACUCUUCUAAUUGCAAACCUGCUUUUAUCAUAUAUCGAGGAUUCAUUCUUGCGAUCGACAAUGCCAUCUCUCUCACUGCAUCAUGCAUCUUUAUGCAAGGUUGACCAAGUACAUUGGUAAUAUUUUCCAACAAGCAAUUCUCUUCUAACUUCUUCAAAAUAACAUGGCCCUUUUCUUCAUUUUCUUGUCUUGUAUCCAUAUCAUCUAUGAAUCCCUCGUCAAUCCAGCACUCAAUUAGUUUAUCCUUUUCAAUUUCAAAAUCUUCGGGAUAUAAUGCGCAAUGUAAGAAACAAGAUUUCACUUUCUCGUCCUUUAAGUGAUCGAAGCUAAAUUUCAAACGCUCUAUCACUUUAGCUUCCACUCCUUCCACUUUUUCUAUUCUUUCUUUCAAUUCCCUGAGUGCGUUUUUCCAAAUAAGAGGGUCCUCUUCUCCUUUCAAUGUACCAGCUACGACGACAAUUGUAAGAGGUAGACCCGCACAUUCCUUGACAAUAAGCUUCAGAGUAGGCAUUAUAGUUUGAUUUUGCACUAUGUUAGGCCCAACUUUACUCAAGAAUAGUGUCAAUGCCUGUUGUUCUGAAAGGGGCUUCACUUUUAUCACCGUGCAACCCAUAUACUUACAGACAUGCUCCGAACGGGUUGUCAACACCAACUUGCAGCCAUUGCUGUCACUCGGCUCAGGGAUCCCAACUUCUUCUAGAGAGACUUCAUCCCACACAUCAUCUAGGAUUAGAACAUGCUUUCCUACUUUCUUCAGCAUUUCUGACAAGAUUGCAGCUCGUCUGAGCUUGUCUCCUUCUAUGGCCAAAUCUUCCUUCAACUUCAAAGCACUUGCAAUAUCAUCUUGUACCUUCAUUACAUUGAACUCCUUUGAUAUGGUAACCCAGAUUACUGUUUCGAAUCUUUGUUCUUUCAAAAGAUCAUUGUGGAUGUGCUUCAUGAUCGUGGUUUUACCCACACCGCCCAUCCCCCAAACCCCAAUCUUUUUUACCACCUCUUGCAUCAAACAUGCCCGAAUCUCUUUUAUGGCAGCUUCCUCCCCAACUAGUUCUGAUGUUGGCAGUGGCAACCCACCACUUGGACCAUCCAUGGCAAGAGCUUCAGAGGCAUUAGGAGCUUUAUCAAGAAAUUCCUUCAUUUCUCGAGUUUUUUCAUCAGCCAGCUUCCCGUUGCAAGCACGACAGAGAUAACUCCCGUUACUGACUUUGUUUUCAACAACUUGUGCUUCCCUAAUCAUCUCUUUUACAGCUUUCAACCAAUUUUCAACUCCUUUCUUUGGUAUCUUCCCCUGAGGACGAAGAAGCUCUGCUUUCAAUUGCAGCUCUAUAUCUUCCAUUUUGCAAUUCAAUUCAUCUCUGAUCCUCUUGAAGUUAAUCACAUAAUCGUUCAGCUUUCUGUGAUAUUGCAAAUAUUUACAAACAGGAGGUCCAAGACAAUUUGCAAUGCCAACACCGGGCUCUACGUAUUCCAUUGCUCUGCCCCUGCAACGCAAUCAUAUAUGUUAGUGUAUAGGAUUUUUGAAUAAUUUUUUAUAUGUUAGUGUAAGCAUGAAAAGGAAGCAUAAAUGCAAUGGCGUUUAUUAGAUGGAGCUAUGGAUAGGUGGCAGACAGAAACAUGAUGAAAUUCUGGUCACCAGAGUUAACCUCUCAAUGUAUAUAAAAUGCUAGAUUCAAGUUUGCAACAGUUCAUUACGGAAUACUAAGAGCUAAAAUGUUCAACAGUCUGAGAUUUCUAUCUAUGAUAGAUUAUGUUUUCCGGUCAUCCUAUCCUGUCUUAAAAUCUAAAACUGUUGAUAAUCAGUAGAGGAAAUCAUUGCCUUAUUACCUGACUUAGUGGCUGAAAUGUGUUGAGAGAUUAGAACUGAAAAUGAAGCAGUGAAGUUGACUUCCUUGACUAUCUUACAAAGCUAACAGAUAAUAAAAAACAAUCAUUGCAUAGUCAUGAAUGAAGCAAGGAAAAGCAUGUCAUGAAUGAAGCAAAUGAAAGAAAAUUACCUUUGACGGAAUGCUUGAAAUUUGGUGAUAGACCUUGGAGAUCAAAACAAAAUAAAAACAGUGAAGAAGAAAGAAUGUUGUGGGUAGAAAGGCAGAACGAUUAAGCAAAGAAAAGCAUGUCAUGGAAGAAGCAAAUGAAAGGAAAGUAGGUAGAGUGGAUGGUUGAAAUUUUGUGAAAGAAGAAAGAAUGUUGUGGGUAGGAAGGCAGAAGUAUUAAGUAAGGAAUCCCAUCUUUUUGUACUUUUCCUUUGCUUCUGCCAUUGUAGUUGGCAUUUUGGGUAUUUGAUUCUCAGCAGUUGUGUCGAUCAGCUGAUUUACAAUUUGAUUCUUCUUUAAAUCUGUAAUAAUUCACUACUUGAUAAUAAAACCUCUAAUCUGCCAUGUCCUCUCCAUUCAUUCUGGACAUUACUAACAAGUUUUGCAGUCAUCUUGGUGCUUAAUUGUAACAACAUCAGCAGCAGCAGCAGCAUCAUAAUAAUGGGAAAGUAUGGUAUAAGAAUGCCUAAUUAUAUGUCACAACUUGAAAUUAAAUAUACUAGUCGGCAUCCUAUAAAAAAAAAAUUAAGCAAAAUCAUUUGUUUUCUGUUUUUUACCUCUUCUAUUUCUUGACAUAGCUUUUACAUUAUAAGAAAAGAUAAAAUUUUAUAUAAAAUUUAUUUUUACAAUUUGGUUUUUGAAAAAUAAUUUAAAUGUAAUGAAAUUUUGAAUUGAGUUUGAAAAAGAUAAUUUUUUGGUAUAUUUUGUAUUCUUUUUACUAAAAAAUGGCAUCCGGUUAAAUUUUAUAAGCCUCUGUAAUAUGAGUUCUAGAUGUUCUUCAAGGGCAUGAUACUCAACUUGAUAAUAUUACUAUUUUAGUUUCGAGAAACAUUGAGAAAGCAUGUAAUGAUUUAACUUGUUUUGGUUUUGUUUUGUUUUUAAUUUGUUAAUGGAUUCUAUUGAAUGGUAAUUUUCUUUAUUUUUCAUACAAUUUAGUUCUUCAGCAACAUAUUCAAGAUUUUAUUUUUCUACAAUUUUUAUAUACAUUUUUUAUUUUAUAAAUAAUUUUGAGUUUUUUUUAAUAAUCUUUAUAAAAAAUCAAGGUCAAAUUGAUAAAAAUAUAAAAAUUGAGAGCUAUAAUUAUUAUACCAAUUGAAACAAAUUCCACUUAACAGUUGGGUGAAAACAAAAUUUCAAAAACAUUAGUGACGAAAUUGUAAUUUUUUCUAGUUAAGUGAUAAAAAUAAAAACUUACCCAUAAUUGAAUCACUAAUGGUUUAAUUUACCCUAAAAUUCUUUUAAAAAUAGAAAAGAAAAACAUUAAGCAAAAUUAUUUGAUCUCUGUUUUUUACCUCUUCUGUUUCUUGACAUAACUUUUACAUUGUAAGAAAAGAUAAAAUUCUGAAUAUAAUUUACUUUUACAAUUUGGGUUUUGAAAAAUAAUUUAUAGGUAAUGAAAUUUUGAAUUGAGUUUGAAAAAAAAUUGUGGUAUAUUUUGUAUUCUUCUAAAUAAAAAAAAUAGCAUUAGGGUCAAUUUUAUAAGCCUCUAUAAUACCAAUUCUAGAUGUCGUUUAAGACCAUGAAACUCAACUUGAUAAUAGUAAUGAUUCGGUUUUGAGAAAUAUUGAGGAAUCAUGUAAUGUUCUAACUCUUUUUUUUUUUGGUUUUGUUCUCUUUUUAAUUUGUUAUCGAAAUCUAUUCUCCAUCUUCUAAUAUUCCUAGAUUGUUUUAUGAAAAAUUACUUCUUUAUAGAAAUCGGUAUUCUUGCUAUGCUCCAUUCAAUGCUCAGUGAAUUCUUUUUGUUAGUGCAAAACGUUGACAAUCAUUAGGUUUUAUUGUAUCCUCAAGGUCAAUUUAUGAGUAACUCUUUUGCACAGCAAUAAAUAGGUGGGAGUAAAUAGAACUUUAAAAUAGUGGUAUCGAUACACGUAUUGAAACCUUUUUUUAAUUUCUCAUAAAUUCAUUUGUAUCACCACACACUAACAAUAGCAGUUAUGGGAACAAUAAUCAAAGAAAAAAAGCAAUAUUAUGAGUCAAUUUUUAUGGUGUUCGGGGCAACUUUUAUUUUUAAGUUCCACAAAGGUAAAGUAAAUUCCAUCUUUUCUUAUUAUUAGUUUUUUCCUUUGCUGUCUUCCAUUAUUGUUGGCCCCAUUCUUCUCUACUAUGAUUAUAAAAUAUAAUAUUUAUAAAUCAUAUGUAUCUAAAUUAGAGCAAAUAGCAGUCUUAUGAUUUAUAAUGCAACAUUUCAUGUUGCCUCAGAUUUCAAUUCUUUUAGUCUCCUCCAUGUUCCACCUUCAAGAAAAAACAAGAGAGAAUGAACCUAAAUUUGGAUACCUAAUCCUUCCUCUAUGGAAUCGGAGUUACCUUCAGAUUUUAAUUCCAAUACCGACAUUGUAACGCCCUGAUUAUUUAACUUUGUUUUUGUGAAUUUUAUCACAAAUAUGUAUUUGCUUCAAUGGCUAAGUGUUUUGAUUGUGUGUUUGAUGUCUUGAGUUCAAGUCCUAUUUUUAGAAAUUUUUGCUAUUUGUGAUCCUAGCCUAUUCAUUGGCGGUUUGGCUUAUAUUCUAUUGCAAGUCAAGUUAUAUUAGAAUGAGCUUCUAUGUUUGAGCAGUAAGGUGUUAGCUUGUCUUGAGGUCUUGUGUUCAAAACUCUGUAUAAAUGUGAAUUGGAUGUGGAUUGAAGUGUCGGAUUUGGUGGGAUUAGGUUGAUUAGUGGGUUAGUGGAGAGUUGGGGGAAAUUAGUGAUAUUUUAUUAAAAUUUUAUUUUUAAUUUUUUAAUUUUAAUUUUAUUCUUCUUUUCCGCAAAAAAUUUCCUCUCUUUCUAUUUUAUUUUAUUUUAUUUUAUUCAAAAUAUCCAGUAAAACUAUUUUAAGAAAUUGAAGUUACCAUAUUAAAAUUCAAUAUACAAAACAAAGUCAUGUAAAUUUUUAAAGCAUUUCAUGUUGUUUAAGGCUUCUAAUUUUAUUGUGUAAAAAUAAAAACCUAUUUGCAAAAGUUUCAAAAUAUGCCCAAAACUCUUUAAUUACCGUGUUGCGACCUCAUGAUUCCCAUGUGGCAACAUCGGCCCAAUAUCGGUAUUGCAAAUUUUCAAGUACUUGUGUUGGACACUUUGACACCCUCAUACACAUACCAAAUCGAGAUUUCAUGCUAUUCUCCCUAUUUUAACAUGUCAUAUAACUUACAUUAACAUGUUUUGACAUCUCAAGUAAAUGACUAUGCUGUCAUGCAACCCUAAAGUCACAAUUCAAUUACUCAAAAUGUAAAUUUUGUAUUUUAAGCAUUUCUAAGUGCAUAAUUGAUACAUAACAUACUAUAUGGUCAUUUUGGACUUACCUCAAUACGCAACAAGCCAAUCCACCUGCAAUUUACAUGUUAGCCAAUAAACAAGUACACAACACCUUACUAAUUCAACCAAUAACAUUCAUUCUCAAAUCUUCCAUUGAAAGCAUUCAUUCGAACCAAUUUUAAAAGUUCUAAAAACCAUUUUAAACAACCCAUAUUGUCCAUUAAUAAAUCAUUAACAGUUCAAAGUCUAAAACCCUCUAGAUUAGUCCCACAUUGCCUUCCUUAUUGAUUUAAAAACACACCAAACGUAGUCAAGUUAAAAUGUCUUGCUUUGGAUCACUUGGCAGCUCACUUCUCCUCCUCGUUUAAGCUAUAUCUCUGCACUGUUAAAUAUAAAAGAGUGUGAGCUUUUUCAAGCUCAGUGAGUGCUUAGAGAUUGCCACAAGUAAUCACGAUAUCCAAAGUUAAAAGAAAGCAUACAAUCACAAUUAAUCACGGUGAGCAAUGAAGCAUAAUUCAUAGCAUUCACAUUAAUAUGUUGCCAGAAUGUGAUUAUGAAGCAUAUGUACAAAAUAUAUUGCAUUGGGUAACCAGAUUUCCAAAUACAACCAAUAUAAUGUGUAGCGUAAAGCUAUCACCGUCCAAACACAUCCACUUAAACAUGUAUACUUAUUGUUUUAUGCACACUUUCACAUAUCACACAACUCAUGUUCAUAUCACAUAUUCAAGUCUCAUAUCAUGCACUUACAAGUGCUCACAUUAUGCUCAAAUAGUCACAACAUAUAGAUCUCAUAUAGUGUAUAUAAAAUCAGCAAGACUCAUAUCAUAUUCAGUUAUAAACACAUAACAUUUUUAUUGUCAUCUCAAUAUACAACACAUAACAUAUUACAUUUAAGCAUCAUUUGCAAAUCAUCAUUAGUUUAGGUAGAAACACUUACUCUUGAAAAUUGGACAGUAUGGAUGUGUUUGGAUAGCUAGAAAAUCAUUAAGGAUGAGUUAAUUUUGAGAGAAAAUAUUAGAGUUGAAUUUGGGGAAAUUUUGAUUGUGAAAUUCAAUAGAGGGAAGGAUCGUUGGGUUCAUAAAGAAACGGGGAAGAUGAGUAGCUUUUUUUUUUUUUAAAUAAGGAAAAAUUGCAAUUUAAAAACUUCCAGUUUUCCUUUAUUUUUCAAUUCAGACCUUAGUUUAAUUAAAAUACAUUUUUCUCAAUUAUUUUCAAACUCAAUAUUUUAAAAAAAUCCAUUUUAACAAAAUUAAUUCUCGAACACCCAAUUUUAAUUUCUUAACAUAAAAUUAUUAAUUAUAUUAAUUUUAAUAUUUUAUUUAAUUAAUUCCUAAUUAUUGUAAUAAUCUAACUUAAUUACGAUUUUCGAUUCAUUAACCCCCGAUUUACUAUCCCAAUUUUUGGGAUGUGACAUGACAACAUUAUGUAAAUAUGAUAUAAUAAUAAUCACUGCAAGUUCUAUAAUAUGAUAUCUAAUGGGUUAGUUUUUAAAAUUGCAUAUUUUAAAAUUAAAAAAUUAAAAAAAUGUUAAUUUAUAAUUAUUUCUAACUUAUAUGCUUUUCAAUGUUAAAACUUUUAUUAGAAUUAUUAGUAAAAAAAUGCAUAAAUGAUUGAUAGCAUAAUCAUUUUAAAGACAAAUAAUUAUAAAUUAAUUAUAUAAAAGAGAUAACAUUUUGUACUUUGUUAAUAUAAAAAGGGUAAACACUUCAUAACAUAGUAAAUUAUGGAUAAAAUAAUAAGAAAUAAUAUAGUAUAAAAUUAAAUAAUUAAUAAUAUAAUAUAAUAUAGUAAUAAAAUAUAUAAAUAUCAUUAUUUUUAAUGCCUAAUCGUAUAUACAUCAUUUUAAUUAAUAAAAAAAUUAUAAUAUUAUAAAUAAAACCAUGAUGAUAGUUUUGUUUCACCUUAAAUCAUUUUGAUUAAAAUAUGUUUAUAUUUUAUUAAUAUAUUAAUAAAAAUGGAAUAUAUUUUAAUUAAUACAUGAUCUUAUUUAUUAUUUAUUAUAUGUUAUUUUUAGACAUUAAAUACAUGACUUCCACACGCAUAUGCGUCUGAUAAGAUUUCUAGCGUUAUUUGAACCUUUCAGACAAUAAAAUUUUUAAUUAUUAGACUCUUGAUAUACUCUUAAAAACAAUCUACAUUUUUUUUUCUAAAUCUAGACCCAUUUUUGGCCUAGCUCGGUCAAUCCAAAAAAUAACUCAUUUUCCUGUUCAAAAAUAAUAAAAUAAUUUUAUAUUAAUAUUUUUAUAUUUAAAUAUAAAUUUAAAAAUAUUUUUAUUAUUUAAAUUGAAUUCGAGUUGUACCGUCUCAAGACAUGGAAGGGUCUAUAGCCAACUUCUAUACCAUAUAUAUAUUUUUUUACUUUUAAAAUUUGAAGCGAAUAUAUAUUAUUAUAUAAAAUUGAAAUUUAUAAAAAUUUACGAAAUAAUAUAUUAGUGUUAAAUGUGAUAAAAGAUCAUAAUAAUAUCAAAAUAAGUUUAUAACUUAAACGUUUUAAUUAUAAAUAUAAAAAUUUAGAAGAUUAUUUUGGGAAGUACAUAUAUAUAUAUAUAUAUAUGAGAAGAAAAAGAGAAUAGAAGAAAUGGUAAGAGAGGGAAAAUGUUUAAAAAGUGGAGGCAGUUUGAUUUCUUAUUUACCUUUGCUUCUUAACCUCUUCCUUCCAUCAUUCCUUUUCUCCUCUCUUUUGCACUAUCCUCCCCCCUCCACCAACCCUUUCAUCUUUCUCUUCGCCAACAUCAAAAAUAUACAUCAAAUUUUAUUAAUAUGGAGAAAUUAGAUUUAUCAAAAUAAAAAAAUAAACAAAACCAUAAAUGGUUCAUACCUCUUAUCCUCCUCAGGGGCUGAAGCGAAGAACAUUUUUAAAGUUUGGAUGGUCAUCCCACUCCAACGAUUCCCACCAUUCUAUGUCUGACCAGAUGGUAAGAAAAGGUGGAGCAUAUGCAAAUGGCUGCCCAUUGCCAACAAGGGGAACAAAUGGAGGAAUUCUCUUCAGUUUAUCACAAUAUUCAACAACUUGGAUAAGUUGGAGAGAAUCACAAACCAUCACUCCACUUUUGCUGCAUAUGCUCUUCAAAUUUGGUAAGUUAUUUAGUCUCAAUUCUCUCAAUUUGGGAAGAUGGAAUUUGAUUAAUGCAUCAUUCCCUUUUUCUUCAACUUCUGAUGUUGCUGCUACCAAUAUUUCUACUAGCUGACUACAAGCACCCACCCUAAUAUCUUCCAGGUUUUGGAGGUUUGGAAGCAACCAAUGUGGAAGCAACGUCUUCAUACUUGAGCACCUGUAUACUUCAAUUCGCUUAAGAUGGGAAAAGGUGGCAGACGGAGCCACUGUUGAUGUUGUUGCUGAACCAAUUCCUGAAUCUUUCAUAAUAAGGGCACUCAACUUUGGCAGAAAUUGAAGAUCCAACACCUCGAGGCUCUGAAAUGGAUGAGCGGAAGAAGAGGCAAAAGAGGACAAGGAAACAACACACUCUAUCCCUUCACAAUCAUAAAUCCUACAAACCCUCAAGUCAAUCGCAUUUUUGAAGGAAGAAUUAUCAUCGACUAAGUUUCUCAAAUAGUCGCACUUUAAAAUAUACAACUCUUUAAUUUUAAUUGGGUGCAUAAUUAACUCACCUUCCCAAUUCUGGACUCCUCCAAUUGUUACUGUUUUAUCUCUUCUACGAGGAAUAAAAGCUGGGCCCACCCUAUAUGAGCCCACUUGUAAAGAGUACUUGAUGAGAUUUUUUUUACUUUGUUGCAUUGACGAGAUGAACUUAUUCAAUUCCUUGAUGUCUUCGAAACGUCCGGUAAAACACUCCAACUUCUUCAAUGGUUCCAUCUGCUCUGCUUUUAGACUUAUUUGUCUAUUAAAACCCAAGUGCUGAAGGUGAACGAGUUUUGGCAAAAGUCCAGCGGGUAUCUCCUUCAGAGUGCGCACACUAAGAUCAAGAUAUCUUAGCUUUAGCAGCAUAUCUAUUCCUUCAGGGACUUCCUCAAUUUCUGUCCCAGAAAGAUCCAACUUCUUCAAUUCUUGAAGCAUGGAAAGACAUGGUAGAUCUCUUAAUUCAGAACAACCACAAAGCAACAAUGUUGUGAGGUUCUUUAGUUCAGAGAUGGAAUUUGGUAAACUUUUGAUCUUCGUAGAGGACAAAUUGAGAACACUAAGAUAAGGCAUGUUUAUGAAGAAAGAACUUGAGAUCUUCUUUAUAGGGUUCUCUUGCAAUAACAAGGUUGUGAGCAGUUGACAUUUUGUGGGCAGCACAUCUAUGGAAAUUUCUGAUAUGGAGUUAUUCAUAAGUGACACUUUCUCAAUAUCCCGACUCCAUCGCUCCUUUUCUGGUAAUUCUUCUAAUUGCAAACCUGCUUGUAUCAUAUAUCGAGGAUUCAUUCUUGUGAUCGACAAUGCCAUGUCUCUUACUGCAUCAUGCAUCUUUAUGCAAGGUUGACCACAUCCAUCGGUAAUAUUUUCCAGCAAGCAAUUCUCUGCUAACUUCUUCAAAACAACAUGGCCCUUUUCUUUCAUUUCUUGUCUCGUACCCAUAUCAUCUAUGAAUCCCUCCUCAAUCCAACACUCAAUUAGCUCAUCUUUUCCAAUUUCAUAAUCUUCAGGAUAUAAUGCGCAAUGUAAGAAACAAUAUUUCACUUUCUCGUCCUUUAAGUGAUUGAAGCUAAAUUUCAAACGCUCUAUCACUUUAGCUUCCACUUCUUCCUCUUUUUCUAUUCUCUCUUUCAAUUCCCUGAGUGCGUUUUUCCAAAUAAGAGGGUCCUCUUCUCCUUUCAAUGUACCAGCUACGACGACAAUUGUAAGAGGUAGACCCGCACAUUCCUUGACAACAAGCUUCAGAGUAGGCAUUAUAGUUGGACUUUGAACUAUGUUAGGUCCAGCUUUAUUCAAGAAUAGUAUCAAUGCCUCUUCUUCUGAAAGGGGCUUCACUUUUAUCACCUUACAACCCAUAUACUUACAGACAUGCUCCGAACGGGUUGUCAACACCAACUUGCAGCCAUUGCUACCACACGGCUCGGGGAUCCCAACUUCCUCUAGAGAGACUUUAUCCCACACAUCAUCUAGGAUUAGAACAUGCUUUCCUGCGUUCUUCAGCAUUUCUGACAAGAUUGCUGCUCGUCUGAGCUUGUCUCCUUCUCUGGGCCAAUCUUCCUUCAACUUCAAAGCAGCUGCAAUAUCAUCUUGUACCUUCAUGACAUUGAACUCCUUUGAUAUGGUAACCCAUAUUACCCUUUCGAAUCUUUGUUCUUUUAAAAGAUCAUUGUGGAUGUGCUUCAUGAUAGUGGUUUUACCCACACCGCCCAUCCCCCAAACCCCAAUCUUGCUCACCUCCUCCAGCAUCAAACAUGCCCAAAUCUCUUUUCUGACAGCUUCCUCUCCAACUAGUUCUGAUGUUGGCAGUGGCAACCCAGCACUUGGACCAUCCAUGGCAAGACCUUCAGAGGCAUUAGGAGCGUUAUCAAGAAAUUCCUUCAUUUCUCGAGUCUUUUCAUCAACCAGCUUCCCGUUGCAAGCACGACGGAGAUAUCUCCCGUUACCGACUUUGUUUUCAACAACUUGUGCUUCCCUAAUCAUCUCUUUCACAGCUUUCAACCAAUUUUCAACUCCCUUCUUCGGUAUCUUCCCUAGAGGACGAAGAAGCUCUGCUUUCAAUUGCAGCUCUAUAUCUUCCAUUUUGCAAUUCAACUCAUCUCUCAUUCUCUUGAAGUUUCUCACAUAAUCAUUGAGCUUUCUGUGAUAUUGCAAGUAUUUACAAGCAGGAGUUCCAAGACAAUUUGCAAUGCCGAGAACAGGCUCUACGUACUCCAUUGCUAUGUCCCUGCAACGCAAUCAUAUAUAACAGUAACAGAUAAUGAAAAUCUGUGAAUGUAUUGGCUUUUUGAUAUGUCAGUGUAAACAUUAAUGCAAGUUUCAAGCAAUGGCGUUUAUUAGAUGGAGCUAUGGAUGGGUGGCAGACAGAAACAUGAUGAAAUUUGUAUAUCCAGAAUUAACCUCUCAAUUAAUAGAAAAUGCUAGAUUCAAGUGUGCAACAGAAUAUGAAGAGGUAAAAUGUUCAAUAGUUUGAGAUUUCAACAUUAUAUUGCUUCUGGGAAGCUCUUUUUGUAUUAAUUUCUAUCUAGAGUAGAUUAUGUGUGCUGGUCAUCCACUCUUAAAAUCUAAAAUUGUUGAUAAUCAGUAGAGGAAAUCAUAGCUUCAGAUCUUAUUACCUGACUUAGUGGCUGAAAAGUGUUGAGAGAAUAGAACUGAAAUUGAAGCGGUGAAGUUGACUGUCGUACAAAGCUAGCUGCUAAGAGUAGCAGAUAAUCAGAAACAACCAUUGCAAAGUCAUGAAUGAAGCAAAGAAAAGCAUGUGAUGGAUUAAGCAAAUGAAAGAAAAUUAGCUUGAAAUUUGGUGAUAGACGUUGGACAUCAAAACAAAAUCAUUGUAGUUGUCAAGAAAUAAUAUUUAAUAAUAAUAGUUGGCAUGGUAUAAGAAUGCAUAAUUAUUAUGUAUAGUUAUUCGCACCCUAUUAGUAAAUUAUUUGCAUUGUUGAAGUUGUCAGAAUUCAAUUUUGGACAAUUUCUUACAUAUGGACAUUAGUAAGAUGUGAAUAAAUCUAUUUAAACUUUUUAUAUAAGUAAGUUUAUUCAACUUAAAAUAAAUUUUUAAUUACAUACAAAUUUCUCGAUAUGCUAUAUCAUUGAAUCUAAGUUGGUUUUAAAAUUAAUUUUUUUGUCAUUUGACUGUUGAGUGGUACUUUUUAAAUUGGUAUAAUAACAAUUUUAGUUUUUAAAUUUUAUACUUUCACUCAAUUUGAUCUUGAUAAUAUAUAAAAUAGAAAUAAGCAAAAGUGUAAUAGGUUCCACGAAGGCAGAAUUAUGAUUAAGAAAUCCCAUCUUUCUUUUAGUUUUUUUUUCCUUUGCUGUUCGCCAUUAUAGUUGGCAUUAAACUAUGGGAUACCCUCCUGUUGCUAUUUCAAUUUCAAUUUUUUAUUUUUGUAAUAAACAUAGACAUGCCUGGGAGGGGGUGUUGCACCUCUCGUGAGAUUCCCUUCAAUUGCUAGUUCAAUUUCUUUUUAUUUUUAUUUUUAUAAUAAACAUACACAUGCCUGGGAGGGGGUGUUGCACCCCAUGUGAUCGAGGGUUGCAAUAACGUUACUGCGAAUGUCUUACUUGAUAGUUACUGAGUGGUUGAUGAUAACCAAUUAAAACUCAAAACAUUCUAACAUUUCACAUCAUGCGCAUGUUGACAAUUAUUUUUUAUAAUUAAACUAUAAAAAUGCUUAUCUAUGCUUUUCAUUUUAUGUUGGUCAUCCAACUAUUAAUUUUUUUCGAUUUAGUCAUUAAACUUUUCGGAAUUAAAUAUUUUAAUCACUCCAAGCUGAUUGGGCUUUCUUUUAUUGGUCUAGUAACUAAAUUAGUCCUCUAAUAGUUAUACGUUCUAUUAAUUUGAUCUUAAAUAUAAAAAAUUCAAUAAAUCUAGCCUCAAUGCUCACAAAAUUUAUCAUUUUAGUUUUAAUUCUAAAACUUAAUUGCGAUUUUUAAUUCACUAACCCCCGAUUUACUAUCCCAAUUUUUGGGAUGUGACAUGACAGCAUUAUGUAAAUAUGAUAUAAUAAUAAUCACUGAUAGCAUACAAAUAAAUUAUUGAUUACAUACCCUAUUGUAUAAACUAAAAUAUAAUUUUACUACAAGUUCUAUAAUAUGAUAUCUAAUGGGUUAAUUUUUAAAAUUGCAUAUUUUGAAAUUAAAAAAAAUAAAAAAGUUAAUUUAUAAUGAUUUCUAACUUAUAUGCUUUUCAAUGUUAAAAAUUUUAUUAGAAUUAUUAGUAAAAAAAUGCAUAAAUGAUUGAUAGCAUAAUCAUUUUAAAGACAAAUAAUUAUAAAUUAAUUAUAUAAAAGAGAUAACAUUUUGUACUUUGUUAAUAUAAAAAGGGUAAACACUUCAUAACAUAGUAAUAAAUAAAUUAUAAUACAUGAAUAACUUAUGGAUAAAAUAAUAAAGAAAUAAUAUAGUAUAAAAUUAAAUAAUUAAUAAUAUAAUAUAGUAAUAAAAUUUAUAAAUAUCAUUAUUUUUAAUGCCUAGUCGUAUAUACAUCAUUUUAAUUAAUAAAAAAUUAUAAUAUUGUAAAUAAAACCAUGAUGAUAGUUUUGUCUCACCUUAAAUCAUUUUGAUUAAAAUAUGUUUAUAUUUUAUUAAUAUAUUAAUAAAAAUGGAAUAUAUUUUAAUUAAUACAUUAUCUUAUUUAUUAUUUAUUAUAUGUUAUUUUUAGACAUUAAAUACGUGACUUCCACAUGCAUAUUCGUGUGAUAAGAUUUCUAGCGUUAUUUGAACCUUUCAGACAAUAAAAUUUUUAAUUAUUAGACUCUUGAUAUACUCAUAAAAACAAUCUACAUUUUUUUCUAAAUCUAAACCCAUUUUGGCCUAGCUCAGUCAAUCCAAAAAAUGACUCAUUUUACUGUUCAAAAAUAAUAAAAUAUUUUUAUUAAUUAAAUUGAAUUCGAGCUGUACCGUCUCAAGACAUGGAGGGGUUGAUAGCCAACUUCUAUACCAUAUUUUUUUUACUUUAAAAUUUGAAGCGAAUAUAUAGGGAAAAUUAUAAAAAUAGUCACUUUUGUUUACCUCAUAUUACAUUUUAGUCAUUUACGUUAUCGUUUUGUUACGAAGCGGUCACUCUACCAUUAAGCUUUUUACCUCCCUAACAACAGUCCUAUGUGGUAGUCCAAAUGGGUUUUAAAUGCUAACUUGGAUGUUUUACAUGACAGUCCAAAUUAAAUUUUUUAAUUAAAAACUUAUUUUCAUCCCAACAAAUGGACAUCCAAGUUGACAUUUAAAACCCAUUUGGAUUGCCAUGUAAGACUAACGUUAAGGAGGUAAUAAAGUUUAAUGAUAAAGUGAUUAUUUCGUAACAAAGAGAUAACGUAAGUGACUAAAACGUAACAUUUCAAACAUAAGUGACUAUUUUUGUAGUUUACCCGAAUAUAUAUUAUUAUAUAAAAUUUGAUAUUUAUUAAAAUUUACGAAAUAAUAUAUUAGUGUUAAAUGUGAUAAAAGAUUAUAAUAAUAUCAAAAAAAGUUUAUAACUUAAAUGUUUUAAAUGUAAGUAUGAAAAUUUAGAAGGUUAUUUUGGAAACUACAUAUAUAUAUAUAUAUAUAUAUAUAUUAGAGAAGAAUAAGAGAAUAAGAGAGGGAAAAUGUUUAAAAAGUGGAGGCAGUUUGAUUUCUUAUUUAUGCUUUUAACCUCUUCCUUCCAUCAUUCCUUUUCUCCUCUCUUUUGCACUAUCCUCCCCCCUCCUUUCCCACCAACCCUUUUAUCCUUCUCUUCAUCAACAUCAAAAAUAUACCUGAAAUUGUAUUAAAAUGGAGAAAUUUCGUUUAUAAAAUAAGAAAAUAUAAACUAAACUAUAAAUGGUUGAUACCUUUAAAAGCUUUCUAAGGGUUUCAAUAGAAAAACAUUUUUAAAGUUUGGAUGGUCAUCCCACUCCAACGAUUCCCACCAUUCUGUGCUUGACCUGAUGGUAAGAGAAGGUGGAGCAUAUGCAAAGGGCUGCCCAUUGCCAACAAGGGGAACAAAUGGAGGAAUUCUCUUCAGUUUAUCACAAUCUCCAUCAACUUGGAUAAGUUGGAGAGAAUCACAAACCAUCACUCCACUUUUGCUGCAUAUGCUCUUCAAAUUUGGUAAUUCCCAGAAUGACAACUCUCUCAAUUUGGGAAGAUGGAAUUUGAUUAAUGCAUCACUCCCUUUUUCUUCAACUUCUGAUGUUGUUGCUCCCAAUAUUUCUACUAGCUGUCUACAAGCCUCCAGGUGUAUUUCUUCCAGGUUUUGGAGGUUUGGAAGCAACCAAUGUGGAAGCAACGUCUUCAUACUUGAGCAGCUGUCUAUCUUAAUUUCCUUAAGAUGGGAAAAGGUCGUAGACGGAGCCAAAGUUGAUGCUGUUGCUGAACCAAUUUCUUCAUCUUUCAUAAUAAGGGCGCUCAACUUUGGCAGAUAUUGAAGAUACAACACCUCGAGGCUCUGAAAUGGAUGAGCGGAAGAAGAGGCAAAAGAGAACAGGGAAACAACACACUCUAUCCCUUCACACCACCAAAUCCAACAAACCCUCAAGUCAAUCGCAUUUUUGAAGGAAGACUUGUCAUCGACUAAGCUUCUCAAAUAGUCGCACUUUAAAAUAAUCAACUCUUGAAUUUCAAUUGGGUGCAUAAUUAAAUCGCCUUCCCAAUUCUGGACUCCUUCAAUUGUUACUGUUUUAUCUCUUGUAGCACGCAUAAAAGAUGAGCCCACCUGUAACGAGUACUUGAUGAGAUUUUUCUUACUUUGUUGCAUUGAGGAGAUGAACUUAUUGAAUUCAUUGAUGUCUUCGAAACGUCCGGUAAAGCACUCCAACUUCUUCAAUGGUUCCAUCUCCUCUGCUUUUAGACUCGUUUUUUCAUUGUUCUCAUGAAAACCCAAGUGCUGAAGGUGAAUGAGUUUUGGUAAAAGUCCAGCGGGUGUCUCUUUCAGAGUGAGAAGUGGAAGAUCAAGAUAUCUUAGCUUUAUCAGCAUAUCCAUUCCUUCAGGGACUUCCUCAAUUUUAGUCCCACAAAGAUCCAACUUCUUCAAUUCUUGAAGCAUCGAAAGACAUGGCAGAUCUAAGACAUUUUUAAUCACUUAAUUUUAAAUAAUUUUUAAUCUAAGACAUUUUAUUUUGGAUAAUUAUUUGCAAUUUAGUAUUAACACUAGCAUGUUUACGACAUUGGUUUUGUUUUUUUCUAAAUUUGCUAAGGAAUACAAUAUUUUAUCAAGAUACUUAUGAUCACAAGUCACUUUGGGUUGGAACAUAUGCAAAGGGGAGAUUUAAAGACUUGAAUGUGGGAAAGGGGAACAACUCCAUCAAUGUCCCAAUGAAUUUUAUUGACAUUAAUUUAACUACUAUUAUAUCUAUUUUCAUUUUUCAAGGUUUGAUAAUCAUCUUGCUCAAAUUAAUUAAAGAAACUCAUGAAUUAUCAAAUGUUAAUAUUGGUGUAUUAAAUUCUUCUUGAUCUCUACUGAUUGUAUUAUCUGCCAUUAUUUCUUGACUGUUAUCUCCAUAUGGAUACUCAAUAUAUGUUGUUCCUUUCUUCAUUUUUAUAUUAGAGACUUAAAAUCCUCAAAGCAAGUUUGUUGAAUAUGUCCCGUCUUUCUCAUUCAUUCUCUCGCUCUUUGACAUGAACCUAUUCCUCUAUAUUUUUUAGCUUUUUUCUCCAAUCAGGAGAGCCUUUUGAUUGAACGUUCAAUGGCACUAGAGAUAUAGACUUGUUAAAAUCAUUUUAUAAACAAAAAAUAGUGAACCGAUACCAAAAUAUAUUUACAUUCUAAAACUCUAAUUAGGAAAUUAUUACCUUUGCAAUUAAGUAUGAAAACCUCCUUAAUUAAUAUGAAUUAAUCAAUUAGUUAAAAAGUCUCAUAUAAUCAUUUUACUCUAAUUAUAAUCUCCCACAAAUGAUUCCUCCACUGAGACUAUUUCUCCCCAUGGAUCAACAAAGUUUGUGUUACUUUUACGAUGAAGUGGAUAGAAGUGGAAAAAGUAAAAAGGACCACAAGUUACAUUAAUUUGUCCCAUGUUUGCUUUGUGCAGUUCAGGAUUUAAGAGAUGUAAGGUAACAUUAACUUGAUAGAUGUAUCAUAACACAAAUAAUACGAUCCCGAAUCAUAAAAGUACAAAUUGUAGGCUUGCGUCACUCGUCAACAACUCUCGCUUUUCCUUUUCCUUUCGAAUGCACGUUAGGUACGUACAAUCACAAAGCUGUUCACCAUAGUUAACCUCACAAUGUAUAUAAAAUGCUAGAUUCAAGUGUGCAAGAGUUCAUUACAGCAUAUUAAGAGCUAAAAUGUAUAGAUUAUGUCUGCUUAACAUCCUAUCCUGUCUUAAAAUCUAAAACUAUUGAUAAUCAGUAGAGGAAAUCAUUGCCUUAUUACCUGAACUAGUGGCUGAAGAUAAGUGGGGGCGAAUAUGUGGGGGCGAAUAUAACCUUAAAGAUAGUGGCUUGAUACACGCCUUGGAGCCUGUCCUAUUUCUUCUUUUUCUUUUCGAGUUCCGAUCGUGUGUUCGAGUUUUUUUUCCUUACCAGAGUUUUAUACUAACAAGACAUGGCAGAUCUCUUAAUUGAUAACAGCCACGAAGCAAUAAUGUUGUGAGGUUCUUUAGUUCAGAGAUGGAAUUUGGUAAACUCUCGAUCUUUGUAAAAGACAAAUUGAGAACACUAAGACAAGGCUUGUUCAUGAAUAAAGAAUAUGGGAUUUUCUUUACAGGGUUCCCCCGCAAUAACAAGGUUGUGAGCAGUUGACAUUUUGUAGGCAGCACACCUAUGGAAACUUCUGAUAUGGAGUUAUACAUAAGUGACACUUUCUCAAUAUCUGGACUCCAUUGCUCCUUUUCUGGUAACUCUUCUAAUUGCGAACCUGCUUGUAUCAUAUAUCGAGGAUUCAUUCUUGUGAUCGACAGUGCCAUGUCUCUCACUGCAUCAUGCAUCUUUAUGCGAUGUAAACCAAAUUCAGUGGUAAUAUUUGCCAACAAGCAAUUAUCUUCCAACUUCUUCAAAAUAACAUGGCCCUUGCCUUCCAUUUCGUGUCUUGUAGCCAUAUCAUCUAUGAAUCCCUCUUCAAUCCAGCACUCAAUUAACUCAUCCUUCCAAAUUUCAAAAUCUUCAGGAAAUAAUGCGCAAUGUAAGAAACAAUAUUUCACUUUCUCGUCCUUUAAGUGAUCGAAGCUAAAUUUCAAACGCUCUAUCACUUUAGCUUCCACUCCCUCCACUUUUCUAUUGUCUCUUUCAAUUCCCUGAGUGCGUUUUUCCAAAUAAGGGGUUCCUCUUCUCCUUUCAAUGUACUAGCUACAACGACAAUUGUAAGAGGCAGACCCGCACAUUCUUCGACAACGAGCCUCAAAAAUUGGCAUUAAAGUUCGAUUUUGCACUAUGUUAGGCCCAACUUUACUCAAGAAUAGUGUCAAUGCCUGUUGUGCUGAAAGGGGCUUCACUUUUAUCACCGUGCAAUCCAUAUACUUAUAGACAUGCUCCGAACGGGUUGUCAACACCAACUUGCAGCCAUUGCUGUCACUCGGCUCAGGGAUCCCAACUUCUUCUAGAGAGACUUCAUCCCACACAUCAUCUAGGAUUAGAACAUGCUUUCCUACUUUCUUCAGCAUUUCUGACAAGAUUGCAGCUCGUCUGAGCUUGUCUCCUUCUAUGGCCAAAUCUUCCUUCAACUUCAAAGCACUUGCAAUAUCAUCUUGUACCUUCAUUACACUGGACUCCUUUGAUAUGGCAACCCAGACUACUCUUUCGAAUCUUUGUUCUUUCAAAAGAUCAUUGUGGAUGUGCUUCAUGAUCGUGGUUUUACCCACACCGCCCAUCCCCCAAACCCCAAUCUUUUUUACCUCCUCUUGCAUCAAACAUGCCCAAAUCUCUUUUCUGGCAGCUUCCUCCCCAACUAGUUCUGAUGUUGGCAGUGGCAACCCACCACUUGGACCAUCCAUGGCAAGAGCUUCAGAGGCAUUAGGAGCUUUAUCAAGAAAUUCCUUCAUUUCUCGAGUCUUUUCAUCAACCAGCUUUCCGUUCCAAGCACGACAGAGAUAUCUCCCGUUUCUGACUUUAAUUUCUACAUCCUGUGCUUCCGCAAUCAUCUCUUUCGCAUCUUUCAACCAAUUUUCAACUCCCUGCUUUGGUAUCUUCCCCCCAGGAGAAAGAAGCUCUGCUUUCAAUUGCCGCUCUAUGUCUGCCAUUUUACAAUUCAAUUCAUCUCUGAUCCUUCCGAAGUUUCUCACAUAAUCAUUCAGCUUUCUGUGAUAUUUCAAGUAUUUACAAAGAGGAGGUCCAAGACAAUUUGCAAUGCCAACACCGGGCUCUACGUAUUCCAUUUGCUCUGGCCCUGCAACGCAAUACGUAUUCCAUUUGCUCUGGCCCUGCAACGCAAUCAUAUAUGUUAGUGUAUUGGAUUUUUGAAUAAUUUUUUAUAUGUUAGUGUAAGCAUGAAAAGGAAUCAUAAAUGCAAUGGCCUUUAUUAGAUGGAGCUAUGGAUAGGUGGCAGACAGAAACAGGAUGAAAAUCAUUGCCUUAUUACCUGACUUAGUGGCUGAAAUGUGUUGAGAGAUUAGAACUGAAAAUGAAGCAGUGAAGUUGACUUCCUUGACUAUCUUACAAAGCUAGCAGAUAAUAAAAAACAAUCAUUGCAUAGUCAUGGAUGAAGCAAAUGAAAGAAAAUUACCUUUGACGGGAUGCUUGAAAUUUGGUGAUAGACCUUGGAGAUGAAAACAAAUUAAAAACAGUGAAGAAGAAAGAAUGUUGUGGGCAGAAAGGCAGAACUAUUAAGCAAAGAAAAGCAUGUAAUGAAAUAAGCAAAUGAAAGAAAAGUAGGUAGAGUGGAUGGUUGAAAUCAGUAGAGGAAAUCAUUGCCUUAUUACCUGACUUAGUGGCUGAAAUGUGUUGAGAGAUUAGAACUGAAAAUGAAGCAGUGAAGUUGACUUCCUUGACUAUCUUACAAAGCUAGCAGAUAAUAAAAAACAAUCAUUGCAUAGUCAUGGAUGAAGCAAAUGAAAGAAAAUUACCUUUGACGGGAUGCUUGAAAUUUGGUGAUAGACCUUGGAGAUGAAAACAAAUUAAAAACAGUGAAGAAGAAAGAAUGUUGUGGGCAGAAAGGCAGAACUAUUAAGCAAAGAAAAGCAUGUAAUGAAAUAAGCAAAUGAAAGAAAAGUAGGUAGAGUGGAUGGUUGAAAUCAGUAGAGGAAAUCAUUGCCUUAUUACCUGACUUAGUGGCUGAAAUGUGUUGAGAGAUUAGAACUGAAAAUGAAGCAGUGAAGUUGACUUCCUUGACUAUCUUACAAAGCUAGCAGAUAAUAAAAAACAAUCAUUGCAUAGUCAUGGAUGAAGCAAAUGAAAGAAAAUUACCUUUGACGGGAUGCUUGAAAUUUGGUGAUAGACCUUGGAGAUGAAAACAAAUUAAAAACAGUGAAGAAGAAAGACUGUUGUGGGCUGAAAGGCAGAACCAUUAAGCAAAGAAAAGCAUAUGUAAUGAAAUAAGCAAAUGAAAGCAAAGUAGGUUGAAAUUUUGUGAAAGAAGAAAGAAUGUUGUGGGUACAAAGGCAGAAGUAUUAAGUAAGGAAUCCCAUCUUUUUUUACUUUUCCUUUGCUUCUGCCCUGAUUUACAAUUUGAUUCUUCUUUAAAUCUGUAUAAAUCACUAAUCUGCCAUGUCCUUUCCAUUCAUUCUGGACAUUACUAACAAGUUUUGAAGUCAUCUUGGUGCUCAAUUGUAACAACAACAUCAGCAGCAGCAGCAGCAUAAUAAUGGGAAAGUAUGGUCUAAGAAUGCCUAAUUAUAUGUUACAACUUGAAAUAAAUAUUUACUUACGUACAUAUAAAUUCCUUCAUAAGUUACACUUUUAAAUCCAAAUUGUGGUUUAUUGAUUGGGUGUUCACUAUUAGAAAUAGCCGAAAUUCAAAUUAUCAUUGUACCCAAAUUUGAAAUUGUUUUAAAAUUUUAGAAUAUUAUAAAAUUUAAAAGUAAAUAACAGUAGAUAAACAUUUCAAAAAUAGAGAAAAUGAGGGAAAAACAUUUCAAUAUUUUAUUUUUCUACAAUUUUUAUAUACAUUUUUCUAUUUUAUAAAUAAUUUUGAGUUUUUUUUAUAAUCUUUAUACAAAAUUAAGAUCAAAUUGAUAGAAAAUAUAAAAAUUGAGAGCAAUAAUUAUUAUUAUACCAAUUGAAACAAAUUCCAGUUAACAGUUGGGUGACAAAAAAAAAAUUCAAAAACAUUAGUGAUGAAAUUGUAAUUUUUUUUAGUUAAGUGAUAAAAAUAAAAAAAACUUACCCAUAAUUGGAUCACUAAUGGUCUAAUUUACCCUAAAUUCUUUUAAAAUUUUUAGUUUAAAACUUUUUUUUUAUAAAUACUAUGUAUUAAGCCUUUUAUGUUGGUGCCGCUAUCAAUCAAAUCACAACUCAAUAAGAAAGUUAUCAAAAAACUAUUUUAUUUGAAAAGUAAAAUAUAUGAUUAUGAGAAUGUUUUCAUCUUUUUAUACUUUUAUAAAUUAAUAAAAAAAUUAUCCAUAAUGAGAUUUGAACUAAUGACAUUCACUUGAAACUUUAAUAAUUAUAUCUAUGUUCUAAAUUUUUAUUUAUUUGUGUAUAUAAAAAAUGUUGUUGAUUUAGUGUCACAAAUGAACACGGCACCAACUCAGAAUUGAAAACAAAACAAUGAUAAUCAAUUGCAUUCAUUUAGUAUUUUUAAUCUGAUGUGUUUUUUUGUUUAGAUUUCGUUUUACUCACAAUUUAUUCUAAUUUUUAUUUUAAUAUAGUGCAUAUUUUAUAUGUUAUUAUUAAUUAGUUCCAAAUUUGAUAGCAAGUUACUUUAAUAUAUUUAAUAUACCCAAUUUUGGUAAACUUUUUAAUAGAAUUCUACUAAACUUGUGAUUUAUUGCCCAAAUUUUAUUAUGGACACAAUUGGAGUGCCGAAGUUCAAAAACAAACAAAUUGAGCUAAAUUGGAACAAAAAACAAGUUGGGGAGCUGAAUUGAAAGUUGCAAAAUUAAUUUUGGGAUGAUAAAAAAUAUUAGAUUUUUUACUUUGACUAAUUCUAUAUUUAGAAAAAUUUGAUUUAGUGGUUGCUUGUUAAGCAUAAUUCUAAGAGUAAAAUGAUGUGAAAUUGAUUCUUUGAGAUCCGUAUAUAAAGGUUUUUAAUUGUGGCACGAAUACACACUUUGAAUUUAAAAAGACAGUUUAGCACAUUCUUGCGUCUAUUGCAUUUGAAGCAAUCUGCCAUUGUUUUUCUCUUUUUAUGUUUUGGUGCAAUUUCCCUUUUAGUUCUCUCCUUUCUUCACCUAUUAUCUUUCAUUAAAAUUCACUCUCAUAAUCCAAUCAAGUAUGAUUAAUUCAUGUUCAACCAAUCUUCGUUUAGCUUUAGACCGGUUAUCAUUUCGACCAAGAAACAUGACAAAUGAACCCACGCUAAAACCUUACAAUACGGUAUUCAUUAUCUUUCCGUAAUAUGAGAUAGUUACAAUUAUCCCUUAAAGUUAAUUCAAUUUCAACUCAAAAAGUGUGGAUUUGAGUUGCUUGGUGUACAGUUAAGAAAAUGAGUUGUUAUUCUCUUUGUCAAUUUGAUGUUGAUAAUAUAUAAAUUGGUAAAAAAAUUAAAAUUAUUUUUAAAAUUUUAUAAAAUUAUAAAAUUAAAAAUUAAAUAAAAAUAGAUUAAAAAAUUCAAAAAUAAAUAAAGUGAGAGAAAAUUAGGGGUAAUUGUUUUUAAACCCUCCAAUAUUUCUCUAUAUUAUCUGUAUCAAAAUAUUCAAUACCCAUUAUUUUAAAAAAAACAUAGAAAAGAAAAACAUUAAUCAAAAUUAUUUGAUCUCUGUUUUUUACUUCUUCUAUUUCUUUUCAUAACUUUUACGUUGUAAGCAAAGAUAAAUUUCUGAAUAUAAUUUAUUUUUACAAUUUGGGUUUUGAAAAAAAAUUUGUGGUAUAUUUUGUAUUCUUCUAAAUAAAAAAAUGGCAUUAGGGUCAAUUUUAUAAGCCUCUAUAAUAUCAAAUCUAGAUGUCGUUUAAGACCAUGAAACUCAACUUGAUAAUAGUAAUAAUUCGGUUUCAAGAAAUAUUGAGGAAUCAUGUAAUGAUCUAAUUCUUUUUUUGGGGGGGGUUUUGUUCUCUUUUUAAUUUGUUAUAGAAUUCUAUUCUCCAUCUUCUAAUAUUCCUAGAUUGUUUUAUGAGAAAUUAUUGUAGAAGUUCUUUAUAGAAAUUGGUAUUCUUGCUAUGCUUCAUUCAAUGCUCAGUGAAUUGUUUUUGUCAAUGCAAAACAUUGACAAUCAUUAGGUUUCAUUAUAUCCUUAAGGUCAAUUUGUGAGUAACUCUUAUGCAUAGUAAUAAAUAAUUGGGGGCGAAUAGAACUUUAAAAUAGUAGCAUCAUACACAUAUUAAAACCUUUUUUAAUUUCUCAGAAAUUCAUUUUUAUCACCAGUAGCAGUUAUGGGAACAAUAAUCAAAGAAAACAAACAAUAUUAUGAGUCAAUUUUUAUGGUGUUCGGGGCAACUUUCGUCUUUUAAGUUCCACAAAGGUAAAGUAAAUUCCAUCUUUUCUUAUUAUUAGUUUUUUUCCUUUGCUGUCUUCCAUUAUCGUUGGCACUAUUGUUCACUACUAUGAUUCUAAAAUAUAAUAUUUAUAAAUCAUAUGUAUCUAAAUUAGAGCAAAUAGCAGUCUUAUGAUUUACAUUAAUGCAAUAUUUCAUGUUGCCUCAGAUUCCAAUUCUUUUAGUCUCCUCCAUGUUCCACCUUCAAGAAACAAGAGAUAAAUUUGGAUACAUAAUCCUUACCCUAUGAAAUCAGAGUUACCUUCAUAUUUUAAUUCCAAUAUCGACAUUGUAACACCCUGAUUAUUUAACUUUGUUUCUUUGAAUUUUAUCACAAACAUGUAUUUGUUUUAGUGGUUAAGUGUCUUGAUUGUGUAUUUGAUGUUUUGGGGGCGAAUAGAACUUUAAAAUAAAUAAUUGGGGGCGAAUAGAACUUUAAAAUAGUAGCAUCAUAAAACCUUUUUUAAUUUCUCUGAAAUUCAUUUUUUAAGUGCGUAAUUGAUACAUAACAUACUAAGUGGUCAUUUUGGACUUACCUCAAUACUCAACAAGCCAAUCCACCUGCAAUUUACAUGUUAGCCAAUAAACAAGUACACAACACCUUACUAAUUCAACCAAUAACAUGCAUUCUCAAAUCUUCCAUUGAAAGCAUUCAUUCGAACCAAUUUUAAAAGUUCUAAAAACCAUUUUAAACAACCCAUAUUGUCCAUUAAUAAAUCAUUAACAGUUCAAAGUCUAAAACCCUCUAGAUUAGUCCCACAUUGCCUUCCUUAUUGAUUUAAAAACACACCAAACGUAGUCAAGUUAAAUUGUCUUGCUUUGGAUCACUUGGCAGCUCACUUCUCCUCCUCGUUUCAGCUAUAUCUCUGCACUGUUAAAUAUAAAAGAGUGUGAGCUUUUUCAAGCUCAGUGAGUGCUUAGAGAUUGCCACAAGUAAUCACAAUAUCCAAAGUUAGAAGAAAGCAUACAAUCACAAUUAAUCACGGUAAGCAAUAAAACAUAAUUCAUAGCAUUCACAUUAAUAUGUUGCCAGAAUGUGAUUAUGAAGCAUAUGUACAAAAUAUAUUGCAUUAGGUAACCAGAUUUCCAAAUACAACCAAUAUAAUGUGUAGCGUAAAGCUAUCACCCUCCAAACACAUCCACUUAAACAUGUAUACUUAUUGUUUUAUGCACACUUUCACAUAUCACACAACUCAUGUUCAUAUCACAUAUUCAAGUCUCAUAUCAUGCACUUACAAUUGCUCACAUUAUGCUCAAAUAGUCACAACAUAUAGAUCUCAUAUAGUGUAUAUAAAAUCAGCAAGACUCAUAUCAUAUUCAGUCAUGAACACAUAACAUUUUUAUUGUCAUCUCAAUAUACAACACAUAACAUAUCACAUUUAAGCAUCAUUUGCAAAUCAUCAUUAGUUUAGGUAGAAACACUUACUAUUGAAAAUUGGACGGUGUGGAUAUGUUUGGAUAGCUAGAAAAUCAUUAAGGGUGAGUUAAUUUUGAGAGAAAAUAUUAGAGUUGAAUUUGGGGAAAUUUUGAAUGUGAAAUUCAAUGGAGGGAAGGGACGUCGGGUUCUUAAAGAAAUGGGGAAGAUGAGUAGUUUUUUUUUUUUAAAUAAGGAAAAAUUGCAGUUUAAAAACUUCCAGUUUUCCUUUAUUUUUCAAUUCAGACCUUAGUUUAAUUAAAACGCAUUUUUCUCAAUUAUUUUCAAAUCCGAUAUUUUUAAAAGGUCCAUUUUAACCAAAUUAAUUCCCGAACACCCAAUUUUAAUUUCUUAACAUAAAAUUAUUAAUUAUAUUAAUUUUAAUACUUUAUUUAAUUAAUUCCUAAUUAUUUUAAUGAUCUAACUUAAUUAUGAUUUUUGAUUCACUAACCCCGAUUUACUAUCUCGAUUUUUUGGAUGCGACAUGACAGCAUUAUGUAAAUAUGAUAUAAUAAUAAUUACUGAUAGCAUACAAAUAAAUUGUUGAUUACAUACCCUAUUGUAUAAACUAAAAUAUAAUUAUACUACAAGUUCUAUAAUAUGAUAUCUAAUGGGUUAAUUUUUAAAAUUUCAUAUUUUAAAAUUAAAAAAAAUUAUAAAAAUGUUAAUUUAUAAUUAUUCCUAACUUAUAUGCUUUUCAAUGUUACAACUUUUAUUAGAAUUAUUAGUAAAAAAAUGCAUAAAUGAUUGAUAGCAUAAUCAUUUUAAAGACAAAUAAUUAUAAAUUAAUUAUAUAAAAGAGAUAACAUUUUGUACUUUGUUAAUAUAAAAAGGGUAAACACUUCAUAACAUAGUAAUAAAUUCUGGAUAAAAUAAUAAGAAAUAAUAUAGUAUAAAAUUAAAUAAUUAAUAAUAUAAUAUAAUAUAGUAAUAAAAUAUAUAAAUAUCAUUAUUUUUAAUGCCUAAUCGUAUAUACAUCAUUUUAAUUAAUAAAAAAAUUAUAAUAUUAUAAAUAAAACCAUGAUGAUAGUUUUGUUUCACCUUAAAUCAUUUUGAUUAAAAUAUGUUUAUAUUUUAUUAAUAUAUUAAUAAAAAUGGAAUAUAUUUUAAUUAAUACAUGAUCUUAUUUAUUAUUUAUUAUAUGUUAUUUUUAGACAUUAAAUACAUGACUUCCACACGCAUAUGCGUCUGAUAAGAUUUCUAGCGUUAUUUGAACCUUUCAGACAAUAAAAUUUUUAAUUAUUAGACUCUUGAUAUACUCUUAAAAACAAUCUACAUUUUUUUUCUAAAUCUAGACCCAUUUUUGGCCUAGCUCGGUCAAUCCAAAAAAUAACUCAUUUUCCUGUUCAAAAAUAAUAAAAUAAUUUUAUAUUAAUAUUUUUAUAUUUAAAUAUAAAUUUAAAAAUAUUUUUAUUAUUUAAAUUGAAUUCGAGUUGUACCGUCUCAAGACAUGGAAGGGUCUAUAGCCAACUUCUAUACCAUAUAUAUAUUUUUUUACUUUUAAAAUUUGAAGCGAAUAUAUAUUAUUAUAUAAAAUUGAAAUUUAUAAAAAUUUACGAAAUAAUAUAUUAGUGUUAAAUGUGAUAAAAGAUCAUAAUAAUAUCAAAAUAAGUUUAUAACUUAAACGUUUUAAUUAUAAAUAUAAAAAUUUAGAAGAUUAUUUUGGGAAGUACAUAUAUAUAUAUAUAUAUAUAUGAGAAGAAAAUGAGAAUAGAAGAAAUGGUAAGAGAGGGAAAAUGUUUAAAAAGUGGAGGCAGUUUGAUUUCUUAUUUACCUUUGCUUCUUAACCUCUUCCUUCCAUCAUUCCUUUUCUCCUCUCUUUUGCACUAUCCUCCCCCCUCCACCAACCCUUUCAUCUUUCUCUUCGCCAACAUCAAAAAUAUACAUCAAAUUUUAUUAAUAUGGAGAAAUUAGAUUUAUCAAAAUAAAAAAAUAAACAAAACCAUAAAUGGUUCAUACCUCUUAUCCUCCUCAGGGGCUGAAGCGAAGAACAUUUUUAAAGUUUGGAUGGUCAUCCCACUCCAACGAUUCCCACCAUUCUAUGUCUGACCAGAUGGUAAGAAAAGGUGGAGCAUAUGCAAAUGGCUGCCCAUUGCCAACAAGGGGAACAAAUGGAGGAAUUCUCUUCAGUUUAUCACAAUAUUCAACAACUUGGAUAAGUUGGAGAGAAUCACAAACCAUCACUCCACUUUUGCUGCAUAUGCUCUUCAAAUUUGGUAAGUUAUUUAGUCUCAAUUCUCUCAAUUUGGGAAGAUGGAAUUUGAUUAAUGCAUCAUUCCCUUUUUCUUCAACUUCUGAUGUUGCUGCUACCAAUAUUUCUACUAGCUGACUACAAGCACCCACCUGUUGAAAGCUGGACUGCAAUGCAACAUGGAACCAAAAGCUUGCUACUGUCGAGACCAGCAGCUAUCGAGCUCAGCUCGUUUUGCUUGGUGCACAAGAAUGGUUUUUGAACUGAAUGAAGCAACCAACUUUGCUGUUUUGUUUUGAUGUAAUUUGAUUCAGUUCAACUUUAGUUUGUUUGUAAUGCUAGUUAAACUUAAGUUAGUGACAAGAUCUUUUGAUGUAAUGGCUGAUUGGUCAGCUAUGUUUGAUUAUUUUUUGGCUAGUGAUUAGGUUUGUAUUAGUUGGGGCAGUUAAAUACAUUAGGUAACUGUCAAUGUACAAUUGUAACUCUUUUAUAUAUUUCAAGUUGAAUGAAAAAUGAUGUAUGUUCAGUCACAAACAUUGCUGAGUAUUUUGAUUUUUGAUGCUUUGCUUGCCUUGAUUCUUCUUGCUUCAGUCUUGCAAACACUGAGUUGCAAAUUUGCUUUGAUGUUUGCUGCUGUCAUUGUUCCUACAAAUGGUAUCAUGAGCCCGAGUCUUUGAGGGGCCUUUGUAUGCAAUCUGUUGUGUUCGAAACAAAACCAACAGCAAGUUCAAAAUUUGGUAAGAUUGAAGCAUUUAAAAUCAGUUUAGCAGAAUGAGUUUCACUCCACCACCUCCACCAGUGUUCACUGGAGAAAACUAUCACAUUUGGAUAGUUAAAAUGAAGACUUAUCUCCAGGCACAUGAUCUUUGGAGUGUGAUCGAGAAUGAUGCUGAACCACCUCCAUUGAGAGCCAAUCCCACCAUUGCACAGAUGAGGCAACAUACUGAGGAGCGAGCCAAGAAGCAUAAGGCUAUGGCCUGCUUGCAAAAUGGAGUCUCUGAUGUGAUAUUUACUCGCAUCAUGGCCUGUGACUCACCUAAGCAGGCUUGGGAGAAGCUGAAGGAGGAGUUCAUGGGGACUGAUAAGACAAGGCAACAGCAAGUAAUCAACCUCAGGAGAGACUUUGAAAACUUGAGGAUGAAGGAGUCUGAGACCAUCAAGCAGUACUCAGACAGGAUAAUGGCCAUUGUCAACAGCAUUAGGCUCCUGGGAGUGGACUUCACAGAGAGCAGAGUUGUUGAAAAGGUUAUUACAACUCUUCCUGAGAAAUUUGAGUCUAAAAUCUCUUCACUUGAGGACUCGAGGGACUUAUCAGCCAUUUCAUUGUCUGAGCUGAUAAAUUCCCUAUAUGCACUUGAGCAAAGGAGGGCAAAUAGGCAGGAGGAGAAUCCUGAAGCUGCUUUCCAGGCUAAAGCCAGUGAAGGCUCGAGUGUGAGUGCAAAAGGCAAGAAGCCUUGGCACAAUAGAAGGGUCAAGUCAGGAAGAGAUGAAGCAAAAAGGGUGUUCCCACCAUGUGUUCAUUGCAAGAAGACAACACAUUCAGAAAAGUAUUGCUGGUUUAGGCCAGAUAUUCAGUGUAGAAAAUGCAAACAGUUUGGCCAUGUGGAGAAGGUGUGCAAGGGCAAACCAAGGGAGGCUACCUUGCAACAAGCUAGACCUGCUGAGGACAUUCAAGCUCAGGAGGAGCAAGUGUUCACAGCAACUUGUUUUGCUGGCACAACCAAGGCCAGCAAUGAUUGGCUACUAGACAGUGGCUGCUCACACCAUAUGGCAGCAGAUGAGAAGCUGUUCAAAAGCCUAGACAGAAGCUUCCACUCGAGGAUUAGAAUUGGAGAUGGUAGGCUGAUUGAGGCUAAAGGCAAGGGCAGUGUGUUGAUUAGCACUGGUUCAGGUAACAAGCUGAUCUCAGAUGUGUUUUUUGUACCUGACUUAGACCAUAAUUUGCUUAGUGUGGGCCAAUUAGUUGAAAAGGGCUAUACAUUGGUUUUUAAGGAUGGUUGCUGUAUUGUUCAAGACAUGAAUGGUCUGGAGUUAGUCACAGUCUCUAUGACUGAUAGGUGCUUCAUGCUGGAUGUUAGCCAAAUAGAAAGAAAGGCAUACACCAGCCUUGUUGAAAGCACUGACUUGUGGCAUAGGAGACUAGGCCAUGCAAAUUUUAGAUCUAUUGAUCUAUUACAUAGGCUGAAUCUGGUUGAUGACAUUUCAAAAAUUGAAGCUAGUGGGAAUGUUUGUGAGGUUUGUCAGCUUGGUAAGCAGGCUAGACUGCCUUUUCCUGCUGACAGUGCUUGGAGAGCUCAAGACAAGCUCGAAUUGGUGCACUCUGAUGUUUGUGGCCCUAUGAGAACACCUUCAAUCAGUGAGAACAGGUACUUUGCCUUGUUUAUAGAUGAUUUAACAAGGUUAUGCUGGGUCUACUUCUUGAAGCAAAAGUCAGAAGUGUUUGAAGUCUUCUGUAAAUUCAAGGCUUAUGCUGAAAAUCAGUCAGGCUGCAAAAUUAGAGCCUUGAGGACUGAUAAUGGAUCUGAAUAUGUGUCUGAGAGAUUUCAGAAGCUUUGUGACAGUGCUGGGAUUCACCAUCAGCUCACAACAGUCUAUUCUCCUCAACAGAAUGGAGUCUGUGAGAGAAAGAAUAGGACUGUAUUGAACAUGGCCAGGUGCCUCUUGUUUCAAGGCAAGCUUCCAAGUCAGUUUUGGGCUGAGGCAGUCAACACUUCAGUGUAUCUGCUCAACAGACUGCCAACUAGAGCAGUCAAGGAUAAGACUCCUUUUGAGGCUUGGCACGGAGUCAAACCUGUGGUAACACACUUAAAAGUGUUUGGCUGUGUAUGUUAUGCACUUAUUCCAGUGGAGAAAAGGACCAAGCUUGAGAACAGAGCAACUCCAGGAAUCUUUGUUGGCUACAGCAGCAACAAGAAGGGCUAUAGAGUGUAUGAUCCUACAGCAAAGAAGGUUUUAGUCAGCAGGGAUGUUAAGUUUGAUGAGGAAAAGGUGUGGAAUUGGAAUGGUGUUGUGGCUAACUUGUCUGAAUUGGACCAGUUAGACUUGGUUGCUGAACCUGCAGAAGAAGGACCAAGUAAUGAUGCUGUCGAUGAUAUACCAGUGAGGGGCACCAGAACUUUGGUUGAUGUUUAUCAGAGGUGCAAUGUUGCUGUGAUUGAGCCCUCAGACUUUGAAGAAGCUGCUAAAAACAGAAGCUGGAUGAAAGCUAUGGAAGCUGAGUUGGAAAUGAUCAACAAAAAUCAGACUUGGGAGUUGGUGAGCAGACCAGAACACAAGAGGGUCAUAGGAGUUAAAUGGGUGUAUCGGGCCAAGUACAAUGCUGAUGGCUCACUGAACAAGCACAAGGCCAGGCUUGUGGUGAAGGGCUACAGUCAGCAGUAUGGUGUUGACUACCUAGAAACUUUUGCUCCAGUGGCAAGACUGGAUACAAUUAAGCUGCUGUUUGCUUUAGCAGCUCAGAAGCAGUGGAGAGUUCACCAAUUGGAUGUCAAAUCAGCAUUCCUGAAUGGUUUUCUCAAGGAGGAGAUCUUCAUCGAGCAACCUGAAGGUUUUGAAGUUGUUGGACAUGAAGACAAAGUGUAUAAGUUGAGAAAGGCCCUCUAUGGCCUGAAACAGGCACCAAGGGCCUGGUAUGACAGAGUUGAUGCCUACCUAACCAAACUUGGAUUUGUAAAGAGCCUUAGUGAGCCUACUCUAUAUGUUAAAAAGUCAGAACAUGAAACCUUGCUGAUAGUCUCCUUGUAUGUGGAUGAUUUGCUUGUGACAGGGAGCAAAAUCGAGCUCAUUGAUCAGUUCAAGGUCCAAAUGCAGCAAGUGUUUGAGAUGACAGAUUUGGGGAUCAUGACUUACUUCCUUGGCAUGGAAGUGCACCAAUCUGAUCGAGGUAUCUUCAUCAGCCAACAUUCAUUUGCUUUGAAGAUUCUAGACAAAUUUUGCAUGCAUAACUGUAAAGCAGUCAGCACACCUGUGGCUCAAGGAGAAAAGCUGACUAGCAGUGGUGAUCAGCAGAGGGUUGAUGAGAGGCACUAUCGAAGCCUGGUUGGUUGUCUGUUGUAUCUAACAGCAACCAGGCCAGAUAUCAUGUUUGGUGUCAGCCUGUUAUCAAGAUUUAUGCAUUGUUGCAAUGAGGCACAUUUGAAGGCAGCAAAGAGGAUCCUUAGAUACAUCAAGGGCACUGCUAGUUUUGGUGUAAUGUUUGAAAGUCAGAACCAACUGAAAUUAGAAGGUUACUCUGACAGCGAUUGGGCAGGAUCUCUCGAUGACAUGAAGAGUACCUCUGGAUACUUCUUCACACUUGGAUCGGGCAUGUUUUGCUGGAGUUCUAAGAAGCAACAAACUGUUGCUCAGUCCACAGCUGAAGCAGAAUACAUUGCUGCAGCAGGAGCAGUUAAUCAGGCCAUUUGGCUAAGAAAGCUGCUUUAUGACCUUAAUGAAACUCAAGAUGAAGCAACUGAAAUCUGGGUGGACAAUCAGUCUGCAGUUGCAAUAGCCAAGAACCCUGUGUUCCAUGGCAAGACUAAGCAUUUUAAGAUCAAAUUGCAUUUUGUUAGAGAGGCUGAACAAGCAAAGGAAGUCAGCCUUGUGCAUUGCAGCUCAGGAGCACAAUUGGCUGACAUAAUGACCAAGCCCUUAGGGGCUGCUCGAUUUGAAUCUUUGAGAAGUGCAAUUGGAAUGUGUUGCAUACAGUCCAAGGAGGAGUGUUGAAAGCUGGACUGCAAUGCAACAUGGAACCAAAAGCUUGCUACUGUCGAGACCAGCAGCUAUCGAGCUCAGCUCGUUUUGCUUGGUGCACAAGAAUGGUUUUUGAACUGAAUGAAGCAACCAACUUUGCUGUUUUGUUUUGAUGUAAUUUGAUUCAGUUCAACUUUAGUUUGUUUGUAAUGCUAGUUAAACUUAAGUUAGUGACAAGAUCUUUUGAUGUAAUGGCUGAUUGGUCAGCUAUGUUUGAUUAUUUUUUGGCUAGUGAUUAGGUUUGUAUUAGUUGGGGCAGUUAAAUACAUUAGGUAACUGUCAAUGUACAAUUGUAACUCUUUUAUAUAUUUCAAGUUGAAUGAAAAAUGAUGUAUGUUCAGUCACAAACAUUGCUGAGUAUUUUGAUUUUUGAUGCUUUGCUUGCCUUGAUUCUUCUUGCUUCAGUCUUGCAAACACUGAGUUGCAAAUUUGCUUUGAUGUUUGCUGCUGUCAUUGUUCCUACACCACCCUAAUAUCUUCCAGGUUUUGGAGGUUUGGAAGCAACCAAUGUGGAAGCAACGUCUUCAUACUUGAGCACCUGUAUACUUCAAUUCGCUUAAGAUGGGAAAAGGUGGCAGACGGAGCCACUGUUGAUGUUGUUGCUGAACCAAUUCCUGAAUCUUUCAUAAUAAGGGCACUCAACUUUGGCAGAAAUUGAAGAUCCAACACCUCGAGGCUCUGAAAUGGAUGAGCGGAAGAAGAGGCAAAAGAGGACAAGGAAACAACACACUCUAUCCCUUCACAAUCAUAAAUCCUACAAACCCUCAAGUCAAUCGCAUUUUUGAAGGAAGAAUUAUCAUCGACUAAGUUUCUCAAAUAGUCGCACUUUAAAAUAUACAACUCUUUAAUUUUAAUUGGGUGCAUAAUUAACUCACCUUCCCAAUUCUGGACUCCUCCAAUUGUUACUGUUUUAUCUCUUCUACGAGGAAUAAAAGCUGGGCCCACCCUAUAUGAGCCCACUUGUAAAGAGUACUUGAUGAGAUUUUUUUUACUUUGUUGCAUUGACGAGAUGAACUUAUUCAAUUCCUUGAUGUCUUCGAAACGUCCGGUAAAACACUCCAACUUCUUCAAUGGUUCCAUCUGCUCUGCUUUUAGACUUAUUUGUCUAUUAAAACCCAAGUGCUGAAGGUGAACGAGUUUUGGCAAAAGUCCAGCGGGUAUCUCCUUCAGAGUGCGCACACUAAGAUCAAGAUAUCUUAGCUUUAGCAGCAUAUCUAUUCCUUCAGGGACUUCCUCAAUUUCUGUCCCAGAAAGAUCCAACUUCUUCAAUUCUUGAAGCAUGGAAAGACAUGGUAGAUCUCUUAAUUCAGAACAACCACAAAGCAACAAUGUUGUGAGGUUCUUUAGUUCAGAGAUGGAAUUUGGUAAACUUUUGAUCUUCGUAGAGGACAAAUUGAGAACACUAAGAUAAGGCAUGUUUAUGAAGAAAGAACUUGAGAUCUUCUUUAUAGGGUUCUCUUGCAAUAACAAGGUUGUGAGCAGUUGACAUUUUGUGGGCAGCACAUCUAUGGAAAUUUCUGAUAUGGAGUUAUUCAUAAGUGACACUUUCUCAAUAUCCCGACUCCAUCGCUCCAUUUCUGGUAAUUCUUCUAAUUGCAAACCUGCUUGUAUCAUAUAUCGAGGAUUCAUUCUUGUGAUCGACAAUGCCAUGUCUCUUACUGCAUCAUGCAUCUUUAUGCAAGGUUGACCACAUCCAUCGGUAAUAUUUUCCAGCAAGCAAUUCUCUGCUAACUUCUUCAAAACAACAUGGCCCUUUUCUUUCAUUUCUUGUCUCGUACCCAUAUCAUCUAUGAAUCCCUCCUCAAUCCAACACUCAAUUAGCUCAUCUUUUCCAAUUUCAUAAUCUUCAGGAUAUAAUGCGCAAUGUAAGAAACAAUAUUUCACUUUCUCGUCCUUUAAGUGAUUGAAGCUAAAUUUCAAACGCUCUAUCACUUUAGCUUCCACUUCUUCCUCUUUUUCUAUUCUCUCUUUCAAUUCCCUGAGUGCGUUUUUCCAAAUAAGAGGGUCGUCUUCUCCUUUCAAUGUACCAGCUACGACGACAAUUGUAAGAGGUAGACCCGCACAUUCCUUGACAACAAGCUUCAGAGUAGGCAUUAUAGUUGGACUUUGAACUAUGUUAGGUCCAGCUUUAUUCAAGAAUAGUAUCAAUGCCUCUUCUUCUGAAAGGGGCUUCACUUUUAUCACCUUACAACCCAUAUACUUACAGACAUGCUCCGAACGGGUUGUCAACACCAACUUGCAGCCAUUGCUGCCACACGGCUCGGGGAUCCCAACUUCCUCUAGAGAGACUUUAUCCCACACAUCAUCUAGGAUUAGAACAUGCUUUCCUGCGUUCUUCAGCAUUUCUGACAAGAUUGCUGCUCGUCUGAGCUUGUCUCCUUCUCUGGGCCAAUCUUCCUUCAACUUCAAAGCAGCUGCAAUAUCAUCUUGUACCUUCAUGACAUUGAACUCCUUUGAUAUGGUAACCCAUAUUACCCUUUCGAAUCUUUGUUCUUUUAAAAGAUCAUUGUGGAUGUGCUUCAUGAUAGUGGUUUUACCCACACCGCCCAUCCCCCAAACCCCAAUCUUGCUCACCUCCUCCAGCAUCAAACAUGCCCAAAUCUCUUUUCUGACAGCUUCCUCUCCAACUAGUUCUGAUGUUGGCAGUGGCAACCCAGCACUUGGACCAUCCAUGGCAAGACCUUCAGAGGCAUUAGGAGCGUUAUCAAGAAAUUCCUUCAUUUCUCGAGUCUUUUCAUCAACCAGCUUCCCGUUGCAAGCACGACAGAGAUAUCUCCCGUUACCGACUUUGUUUUCAACAACUUGUGCUUCCCUAAUCAUCUCUUUCACAGCUUUCAACCAAUUUUCAACUCCCUUCUUCGGUAUCUUCCCUAGAGGACGAAGAAGCUCUGCUUUCAAUUGCAGCUCUAUAUCUUCCAUUUUGCAAUUCAACUCAUCUCUCAUUCUCUUGAAGUUUCGCACAUAAUCAUUGAGCUUUCUGUGAUAUUGCAAGUAUUUACAAGCAGGAGUUCCAAGACAAUUUGCAAUGCCGAGAACAGGCUCUACGUACUCCAUUGCUAUGUCCCUGCAACGCAAUCAUAUAUAACAGUAACAGAUAAUGAAAAUCUGUGAAUGUAUUGGCUUUUUGAUAUGUCAGUGUAAACAUUAAUGCAAGUUUCAAGCAAUGGCGUUUAUUAGAUGGAGCUAUGGAUGGGUGGCAGACAGAAACAUGAUGAAAUUUGUAUAUCCAGAAUUAACCUCUCAAUUAAUAGAAAAUGCUAGAUUCAAGUGUGCAACAGAAUAUGAAGAGGUAAAAUGUUCAAUAGUUUGAGAUUUCAACAUUAUAUUGCUUCUGGGAAGCUCUUUUUGUAUUAAUUUCUAUCUAGAGUAGAUUAUGUGUGCUGGUCAUCCACUCUUAAAAUCUAAAACUGUUGAUAAUCAGUAGAUGAAAUCAUAGCUUCAGAUCUUAUUACCUGACUUAGUGGCUGAAAAGUGUUGAGAGAAUAGAACUGAAAUUGAAGCGGUGAAGUUGACUGUCGUACAAAGCUAGCUGCUAAGAGUAGCAGAUAAUCAGAAACAACCAUUGCAAAGUCAUGAAUGAAGCAAAGAAAAGCAUGUGAUGGAUUAAGCAAAUGAAAGAAAAUUAGCUUGAAAUUUGGUGAUAGACGUUGGACAUCAAAACAAAAUCAUUGUAGUUGUCAAGAAAUAAUAUUUAAUAAUAAUAGUUGGCAUGGUAUAAGAAUGCAUAAUUAUUAUGUAUAGUUAUUCGCACCCUAUUAGUAAAUUAUUUGCAUUGUUGAAGUUGUCAGAAUUCAAUUUUGGACAAUUUCUUACAUAUGGACAUUAGUAAGAUGUGAAUAAAUCUAUUUAAACUUUUUAUAUAAGUAAGUUUAUUCAACUUAAAAUAAAUUUUUAAUUACAUACAAAUUUCUCGAUAUGCUAUAUCAUUGAAUCUAAGUUGGUUUUAAAAUUAAUUUUUUUGUCAUUUGACUGUUGAGUGGUACUUUUUAAAUUGGUAUAAUAACAAUUUUAGUUUUUAAAUUUUAUACUUUCACUCAAUUUGAUCUUGAUAAUAUAUAAAAUAGAAAUAAGCAAAAGUGUAAUAGGUUCCACGAAGGCAGAAUUAUGAUUAAGAAAUCCCAUCUUUCUUUUAGUUUUUUUUUCCUUUGCUGUUCGCCAUUAUAGUUGGCAUUAAACUAUGGGAUACCCUCCUGUUGCUAUUUCAAUUUCAAUUUUUUAUUUUUGUAAUAAACAUAGACAUGCCUGGGAGGGGGUGUUGCACCUCUCGUGAGAUUCCCUUCAAUUGCUAGUUCAAUUUCUUUUUAUUUUUAUUUUUAUAAUAAACAUACACAUGCCUGGGAGGGGGUGUUGCACCCCAUGUGAUCGAGGGUUGCAAUAACGUUACUGCGAAUGUCUUACUUGAUAGUUACUGAGUGGUUGAUGAUAACCAAUUAAAACUCAAAACAUUCUAACAUUUCACAUCAUGCGCAUGUUGACAAUUAUUUUUUAUAAAACUAUAAAAAUGCUUAUCUAUGCUUUUCAUUUUAUGUUGUUCAUCCAACUAUUAAUUUUUUUCGAUUUAGUCAUUAAACUUUUCGGAAUUAAAUAUUUUAAUCAUUCCAAGCUGAUUGGGCUUUCUUUUAUUGGUCUAGUAACUAAAUUAGUCCUCUAAUAGUUACACGUUCUAUUAAUUUGAUCUUAAAUAUAAAAAAUUCAAUAAAUCUAGCCUCAAUGCUCACAAAAUUUAUCAUUUUAGUUUUAAUUCUAAAACUUAAUUGCGAUUUUUAAUUCACUAACUCCCGAUUUACUAUCCCGAUUUUUGGGAUGUGACAUGACAGCAUUAUGUAAAUAUGAUAUAAUAAUAAUCACUGAUAGCAUACAAAUAAAUUAUUGAUUACAUACCCUAUUGCAUAAACUAAAAUAUAAUUAUACUACAAGUUCUAUAAUAUGAUAUCUAAUGGGUUAAUUUUUAAAAUUGCAUAUUUUGAAAUUAAAAAAAAUUAAAAAAGUUAAUUUAUAAUUAUUUCUAACUUAUAUGCUUUUCAAUGUUAAAACUUUUAUUAGAAUUAUUAGUAAAAAAAUGCUUAAAUGAUUGAUAGCAUAAUCAUUUUAAAGACAAAUAAUUAUAAAUUAAUUAUAUAAAAGAGAUAACAUUUUGUACUUUGUUAAUAUAAAAAGGGUAAACACUUCAUAUUAAAAUAAUACGUGACUUCCGCACGCAUAUUCGUGUGAUAAGAUUUCUAGCGUUAUUUGAACCUUUCAGACAAUAAAAUUUUUAAUUAUUAGACUCUUGAUAUACUCUUAAAAACAAUCUACAUUUUUUUCUAAAUCUAAACCCAUUUUUGGCCUAGCUCGGUCAAUCCAAAAAAUGACUCAUUUUACUGUUCAAAAAUAAUAAAAUAUUUUUAUUAUUUAAAUUGAAUUCGAGCUGUACCGUCUCAAGACAUGGAGGGGUUGAUAGCCAACUUCUAUACCAUAUUUUUUUUACUUUAAAAUUUGAAGCGAAUAUAUAGGAAAAAUUGUAAAAAUAGUCACUUUUGUUUACCUCAUAUUACAUUUUAGUCAUUUACGUUAUCGUUUUGUUACGAAGCGGUCACUCUACCGUUAAGCUUUUUACCUCCCUAACAACAGUCCUAUGUGGUAGUCCAAAUGGGUUUUAAAUGCCAACUUGGAUGUUCUACAUGACAGUCCAAAUUAAAAUUUUUAAUUAAAAACUUAUUUUCAUCCCAGCAAAUGGACAUCCAAGUUGACAUUUAAAACCCAUUUGUAUUGCCAUGUAAGACUAACGUUAGGGAGGUAAUGAAGUUUAAUGAUAAAGUGAUUACUUCGUAACAAAGUCAUAACGUAAGUGACUAAAACGUAACAUUUCAAACAUAAGUGACUAAAAUGUAAUUUGAGACAAACAAAAUUGACUAUUUUUGUAGUUUACUCGAAUAUAUAUCAUUAUAUAAAAUUUGAUAUUUAUUAAAAUUUACGAAAUAAUAUAUUAGUGUUAAAUGAGAUAAAAGAUUAUAAUAAUAUCAAAAUAAGUUUAUAACUUAAAUGUUUUAAAUAUAAGUAUGAAAAUUUAGAAGGUUAUUUUGGAAACUAUAUAUAUAUAUAUAUUAGAGAAGAAUAAGAGAAUAAGAGAGGGAAAAUGUUUAAAAAGUGGAGGCUGUUUGAUUUCUUAUUUAUGCUCUUAACCUCUUCCUUCCAUCAUUCCUUUUCUCCUCUCUUUUGCACUAUCCUUCCCCCUCCUUUCCCACCCCCACUUUUAUCUUUCUCUUCAACAUCAUCACAAAAUAUACCUGAAAUUUCUUCAAACGAGACUUCAGUCCACACAUCAUCUAGGAUUAGAACAUGUUUUCCUGCUCUCUUCAGCAUUUCGGACAAGAUUGCUGCUCGUCUGACCUUGUUUGCUUCUUCGGGAAUCUUUCCAUUCAAUGCACUUGCAAUAUCAUUUUGUAACUUCACAAUAUUGAACUCCUUUGAUAUAGUAACCCAAACAACCCUUUCAAAUCGUUGUUCUUUCAAAAGAUCAUUGUGGAUGUGCUUCAUGAUGGUUGAUUUACCCACGCCGCCCAUCCCCCAAACACCAAUCUUGCUUACCUCCUCCUGCAUCAAACAUGCCCAAAUCUCUUUUCUGACAGCUUCCUCUCCAACUAGUUCUGAUGUUUCCAGUGGCAACCCAGCACUUGGACCAUCCAUGGCAAGACCUUCAGAGGCUUUAGGAGCUUUAUCAAGAUAUUCCUGCAUUUCUCGAGACUUUUCAUCAACCAGCUUCCCGUUGCAAGCACGACAGAGAUAUCUCCCAUUACUGACUUUGUUUUCAACAACUUGUGCUUCCCUAAUCAUCUCUUUCACAUCUUUCAACCAAUUUUCAACUCCCUUCUUCGGUAUCUUCCCCAGAGGACGAAGAAGCUCUGCUUUCAACUGCAGCUCUAUAUCUUCCAUUCUGCAAUUCAAUUCAUCUCUGAUCCUCUUUAAGUUUCUCACAUAAUCGUUCAGCUUUCUGUGAUAUUGCAAAUAUUUACAAACAGGAGUUCCGAGACAACUUGCAAUGCCGACAACAGGCUCUACGUACUCCAUUGCUAUGUCCCUGCAAUGCAAUCAUAUAAAAAAGUAGCAGAGAAUGAAAAUCUGUGAAUGAAUUGGAUAUUUUAGUAAGUAUUGAUAUGUCAGUGUAAGCAUGAAUGCAAGUUUCAAGCAAUGGCGUCUAUUAGAUGGAGCUAUGGAUGAGUGGCAGACAGAAACAUUAUGAAAUUCUAGUCACCAUUGUAGAUCCAGAAUCAAUCUCUCAAACUAUAUAACAUGCUAGAUUCAAAUGUGCAAGAGUUCAUUACAGAAUAUUAAGAGGUAAAAUGUUCAACAGCAAGAGAUUUCAACAUUAUAUUGCUUCUGGGUAGCUCUUUUCGUAUUAAUUUGUAUCUAGUAGACUAUGUCUGCUGAUCAUCCUGUCUUAAAAUUGAUAAUCAGUAGAGGAAAUCAUUGCUUCAGAUCGUAUUAUCUUGACUAUCUUACAAAGCAUAGCUGUUUUCGUAUUAAUUUGUAUCUAUAGUAGAUUAUGGCUGCUGAUCAUCCUGUCUUAAAAUCUAAAACUGUUGAUAAUCACUAGAGGAAACCAUUGCUUCAGAUCUUAUUACCUUGACUAUUUUACAAAGCUAGCUGCUAUAACAGAAGCUGAUAAUAAAAAACAAUCAUUGUAUAGUCAUGCAUUAAGCAAAUGGCAGAAAAUUACCUUGACUGGAUGCUUGAAAAUUAGUGAUAGACCUUGGAGAUGAAAAGAAAUUAAAAAGAGUGAAGAAGAAGGUGAAAACAGAAAUAAGCCAAAUUAUGAUAGGAAUUACUGGGAAAGUAUGUGAAGCAGAAGAAGAAAGAGAAAAUAAUUAAUAAUUACAUGUAUAAAAAGACGAAAAUAAUUAAUAAUUACAUGAGUAAGAGAUCCAUCUUUUUUUACUUUUUUCUUUGCUGUCACCCAUUAUAAUUCGCAUUAAAUAAUAAUAAUUAGGUCCCUUCAAAAAAAUAAUAAUAAUUAGGUUUAAUGAUAAAUUUGAUCACUAAUUUUUGCUUGUUUUGUCAAAAUGACCCUAAUUCUAUUUUUGAGCAUUUCUUUACCAUCAACCUUUGUUUCAAUAUUUCUUUUCUUUCAAAAGUUUUCAAUCUUUCAUAUGUUUGUUUACUGAGAAGUUUUUCUACUGAGUUAAAAUUUUUUAAAUAAUUACAUUUAUUUUCUUUAAAUUAAGAUUUUUUUAAUUUAAUGUAUUAUUUAUUUUAAUAUUUUUUACAUGUAAUUAUCUUAUUGGGUAAGUUUUGCAGUCAUCUUGGUGCUCAGUUGUAACAACAACAUCAGCAGCAGCAUCAUAAUGGGAAAGUAUGGUAUAAGAAGGCCUAACUAUAUGUUACAACUUGAAAUAUCUCAUAUUGGGUAUUCACCGUUUUUAAAAAUAGUUGAAAUUCAAAUUGUCAUUGUACUAAAAUUGUUUUAAAAUUUUAGAAUAUUAUAAAAUUAAAAAUUAAAUAACAGUAGAUAAACAUUUCAAAAAUAAAUAAAUUGAGGGAUAAUUAUUUUUAAACCCUCUAAAAUUUCUCUUUAUUAUCCAUAUCGAAAUAUCUAAUAUCCAUUCUUUAAAAGAAAUAUAGAAAAGAAAAAAACAUUAAGCAAAAUCAUUUGUUUUUUGUUUUUUACCUCUUAUGUUCCUUAACAUAACUUUUACAUUACAAGAUGUAAAAAGAUAAAAUUCUAAAUAUAAUUUAUUUUUACAAUUUGAGUUUUGAAAAAUAAUUUAAAUGUAAUGGAAUUUUGAAUUGAGUUUGAAAAAGAAAAUUUGGUGGUAUUUUUUGUAUUCUUUAUACUAUAAAAUGGCAUCAAGUUCAAUUUAUCAUAAGCUUUUGUCAUAUCAAUUACUUUAAAGACAUGAAACUCAACUUGAUAAUAUUACUAAUUUGGUUUUGUUUUGUUAGUGGAUUCUAUUGAAUGAUAAUUUCCUUUAUUUGGUUAUUCAACAAUAUAUUCAAGAUUUUAUUUGCAAAGUAAGAUAUAUGAUUAUGAGGGUGUUUUCGUCUUUUCAUAUAUUUAUAAAUCAAUAAAAAUUUAUCCAUAACAAGAUUUGAACCAAGGGAAACAUGAGAAAUGAACCAACGUUAAAAUCUUACAACACAAUAUUCAUUAUCUCUUCUGAAUAUGGGAUAGUUACAAUCAUCCCUUAAAGUUAAUUCAAUUUCAAUUCAAAAAGUGCGCGUUGGAUUGGAGCUGUUUGAUGUACAGUUGGAAAAACAAUUUCAUGGGUUAAGCAAAUGAAAGAAAAUUACCUUGGCAGGAUGCUUGAAAUUUGGUGAUAGACCUUGGAGAUCAAAACAAAAUCAUUGAAGUUGGCAAUGAAUAAUAUUUAAUAAUAAUAGGUAUAAGAAGGCAUAAUUAUAUGUUACACCUUGAAAUUAAAUAUAUAAGUAAAUGGGUUGUAUUAGGUAGAGUUAUUCGCACCCCAUUACUAAAUUAUUUGCGUUGUUGAAGUUGUCAGUAUUCAAUUUUGGAUCCAACUCUGGACAAUUUCUUACAUAUGGUACUUUUUAAAUUGAAAUAAUAAUAAUUUUAGUCCUUAAUUUUUUUAUAUUUUCAGUUAAUUUGACUUAAAUUAUUUUUAAAAUUUUAAAACAUUAUAAAAUUAAAAAUUAAAUAAAAAUAGAUAAAAUUUUUAAAAUUAAAUAAAGCGAGUGAAAAUGAGGGUAAUUUCUUUUAAACCCUUCAAAAUUUCUCUAUAUUAUUUAUAUCAAAAUAUCCAAUACCCAUUCUUUAAAAAGAAUAUAUAUAUAAAAAAAUUAAAAAAAUUAUAUGUCUCUGUUUUUUACCUCUUCUAUUUCUUGACGUAGCUUUUACAUAAUUUAAAUGUAAUGAAAAUUUGAAUUGAGUUUGAAAAAUGAUUUUUUUUUGUGGUAUGUUUAAUUUGUAUUCUUUUGAUUAAAAAAAAAUAGCAUCAAGGUCAAUUUCAUAAACCUUUGUAAUAUCAAAAUAUCCAAUACCCAUUCUUUAAAAAGAAUAUAUAAAAAAAUUUAAGAAAAAUGACAUGUCUCUAUUUUUUUACCUCUUCUAUUUCUUGACGUAGUUUUUACAUUAUAAGAAACUAUAAAAUUCCGAAUAUAAUUUACGUUAUAAGAAUCUAUAUUAUGUAUUAAGUCUUUUACUGAGUUGGUUUAACCCAUCAAUCGGUCCCAACUCAGUAAGAAAAAUACGAAAAAAUAAUUUUAUUUGUAAAGUAAGAUAUAUGAUUACGAUGGUGUUUUCGUAUUUUCAUAUCUGUAUAAAUCAAUAAAAAAUUAUCUAUAAUGAAAUUUGAACCAAGGACACCAUGCAUAUAAAACUUUUUUGAGGUCUAUUGAGUCAUUCACAAUUGCUUCGCCCCCCAAGGCUCGUAUUCAACUGUUACGCAUAACCAUUUACAUAAUUCUUCAUUUUGAUUUACAUCAGUACACAAGUGGUUCCAUAUCAUCAUACCAUUGCAUUUUGAUAUCAUUUACCAAGUUUACCAUUUAUAAUCCCUAUUAAUAGGCUCGUAUUGUCCCCGGUGAGGGUUUUGUCUCUCAUACUCUGCCGAGAGCCAGUAUUUGGUACAUAUCCCAACUGGUAUUACGGAUGUAGCUAAGCAGUAUAAGCUUUAAGUUGGUGAUUCGAGUCUCCGUACCCAUGAUGAGCUUUAUAAUUGUUCAUACGCCCUAUGCUAGCAGUUUUCCCUUGAGUUUUGUAGAUCCAACAAUUAAGACCCUCCUGGCAAGAUAAACCAGGAACUCCCUUGAGCACCAUCCAAGGUGACCUUAACACUAUCCCCCACGUUAUCUCCAUCCUAAACAACUUGAGAGGUAUCCGAAUGAAGCUGCAAUGGAGCAACUUUCUCAUCACCACCUUAAAACAAUACAAGAAUUUGCAUUAAAAUAGAGAAAUGAGAUUAUAAAGUACAAAUAAAUAAAAAUGUUGACAUUACACAAUUUAUGCCAAUGGGGUUGAAUAACAUUCUUAAAGUUUAAUCAUGCCUAUUUUACAAUUUAUUCAAUUUAGUCCUAAACCUGAGAUAAGAAAAACUUUCGAUUUAAAGCUUCGGAAUAAAAUUUGAUUUCACAUGUAUUCAUUAGGGACCUUAUACUUUCUAUUCCUACCACAAUUUUAUAAAAAAAUUUAUUUUAUUCAAUUUUGUCCCUAAUAUAAAAGGCUAACAAUCAAGUUUUAUAAUUUAGUCCUUUUGAUAACCUAAGCUUAAUUUCUAUCAAUUUCAAGCCUAAUUCAUUCAAUUCUCAACAAUGGUAACUUAUCGAAAUUUCACCAAUUGAACAAAUUGAUACAUGAGCUAGCUUAAUCAAGCUCUCAUUAUAAAAAAAAAUCUAUUAAAAAAAAAACAAAAUGGCUAGAGACUUACUUGUAAAUGUUGGUCGAAUGAACAAGGUUUCAAAAAUGGCAUUUUUACUUGGCUUUACUCCCUUGGCCAGUUGAAAAAGAUGAAUAUUCAUCUCUCCUUCCACUAAAUUUGGUUUAUAUAGCUAGGUUAGUUUAUAAUUAAGCUUAAUUAAUUACUUUAAUCGUGUUUAAUUAACAUUAAUCUUUAAUUAAUAUUAUCUAAUGAUAUUCAAGAUCACACCCCACUAUCAUCUAUUUAAAAUUGGUCUAUUAACCAUUUUAGUCCUUUGGAUAAUUUUUAUCUAAGCCCCCAAACUUUUAUCAAAUUAAAACUCUAUAGCGAUUUAACUUUUACAAUUUAGUCUCUAGGCCUUAAUUAACCACAUUUUCAACUAAAUUAUUUAACUAAAUUUCAAUACAUCUAUAUACUAACUAAAUUUCAAUACAUCUAUACUAACUCUGUAAAUAUCCAUAUUUAAUAGUUAUGGACUCAAUUUAUGGAAAUUUGACACCACUAAAAAUUGAGUCAUUAUAGGGUUCACAGAAGGGGCCGAAUGUAGAAGUUAUGUCUCACCUCUGUCGAGAGCCCAAGGAGUUCACUAAAGGGCUGAAAUGGAAAAGAUAUGUCUUACCUCCAUCGAGAGCCCAAAAGAUUCACAGAAGGGCCCUAAUGUCCUACUCCAAGACGCAUCAAGGGAGGUUACGAAAAGUGGUAAUAAAGGCUCUGUUCCAAUAUGCAUGGGGGGAGACUUACGGAAAAAUGGUGGUGCUUUCUCCACUUAGAACAGAAGGCUUAUGAUAGAUCCUGCUCCUAAACACAUAGGGGGAGACUUACGGUAAGAAUCACAAGUCGAUCACAUUACUGUGGCUCUCGAAGAUCAGAAUUACGUGGAGUGUAAGGCCCUGCCACGUCAAAUCACAACCUUCGACCAAGUUUACUCGACUUGGGUUUACAUAAUGGAAGUAGAAUUACAUAAAUGUAGACAACAAGUAAUCAUUCGUAGGAGUCUUUUGUGGGUUUCCUUUGUGUACCAUAUAUACUAUAUGACUAUACAUAUAUAUGCUAGGUGGUAGAACCACUCGUGGGAACCCCUCAUAGGUUCCCUUUCUGAAACUCGUAUAGAUUUUCAUGUAUAGAUAAGUACAAAUAAGCAUACCGAGUGUUUACUGUCUACGGAGGUAUAAUCGCCUGUUAGUGUGAAAGAAAAUGUUGGUGCAAGAGGCAGCAGCAGACUGCUUUUCAAUCUUGCUUGUAUGGCAAGCCUCGAGCCUUGCUAGAGAAACAAACUCAGAAGCAAGAACAGAAACACAUGCAAAUGGAAAACAAAGAAAUUGAGAGAGUAAUUUUGAAUGAAAAGAGCUGAUGUUUUUUCAUACAUUUUUAGAAGGCAUAAUGCCAAUACAUAUAAGAAAUUACAACAGCAAAAACAAACAAGUUAUCACCUAAUAACUUACCUAACACCACUAAUUUGCCUAGUAACUUGGUAAACUUGUUUGAAUACAUAAACAGCUACCUAAACUUGUCAUUCAUCACUUAGUUACAUCAAAAUGCAGCUACCAACUAAGUUUGAUCCUAACUAAAUACAAAACAUUCAAUUAAGGAAACUAAAUGGAUAGCUUCAGCUUGCUGCACCAGUUUUGCUGUUGAAGCACGUUCCUUGCAUGGCCACCUUUGCUGCUACAUGGGAGCUGACUUCAACACUCCUCCUCAGCUUCUAUGCAGCAGACUCCUAGCUCCCUCUUUAGGCUUAGAAAUCUUGAUACACCAAGAGGCUUUGUGAAGAUAUCAGCAAUCUGAUUUUCAGAACUGCAAUGGAUUAGCUCGAUCUCUCGAGCUUGUUCCAUUUCUCUUAUCACAUGGAGUUUGAUGUUGAAAUGUUUUGUCCUACCAUGGAAGACAGGAUUUUUAGCAAUAGCAACUGCUGACUUGUUGUCACAAUGUAUCACAGUUGCUUCAUUCUGCUGUAGAUUCAAGUCGCUCAAAAUUUUUCUCAGCCACAUAGCUUGAUUAACAGCAUUGGCAGCUGCUACAUACUCUGCUUCUACUGUCGAUUGAGCCACCAUUGUUUGUUUUCUUGAGCUCCAACAAAUCAUAGCUGAGCCAAGUGUAAAAGCAUAGCCAGAAGUGCUCUUCAUAUCAUCCUUUGAACCAGCCCAAUCGCUAUCAGUGUAGCCAAUCAGUUUCAACUCUUCAGCCCUUCUAAACUGUAUUCCAUGGUUUAAGGUACCUUUGAUGUACCUCAGAACCCUUUUUCCUGCUUUAUAAUGCUGCUGAUUACAGCAAUGCAUGAAUCGUGACAGCAUGCUCACAGCAAAUAGAAUGUCAGGUCUUGUUGCUGUCAAAUACAAUAAACAGCCAACAAGACUUCUAUAAUCUGUUUCACAGACAGAUUCAUGUUCCUCCUGGCUCGAUAGCUUUAUGCCAAUAGCCAUUGGUGUGCUCACUGGUUUACAAUUCUCCAUUGAGAAUUUAGCCAGGACUUUCAAGGCGAAUGUCUUUUGUUUCAAGAAGAUUCCUCCUUCUACUUGAUUGACUUCCAUUCCUAGGAAAUAUGUCAUCAAUCCCAGGUCUGACAUCUCAAACAUUUCCUUCAUUCUUGCUUUGAAAUCAGCCAUCAUAAACUUGUCUCCUCCAGUCACUAGAAGAUCAUCAACAUAUAGUGACACAAUAAGCUGUGUUUCAGCUCCAUUCCUCUUAACAUAGAGUGUUGGCUCACUAGCACUCCUUUCAAAUCCCAAACUGACCAAAUAUGAGUCAAUUCGAGCAUACCAGGCUCGAGGGGCCUGUUUUAGGCCAUACAAGGCCUUUCUUAGCCUAUACACCAAAUGUUCCUUACCAGGCAUUAUAAAACCUGGGGGUUGCUCGAUGUAUAUCUCCUCUUCUAGGAAUCCAUUGAGGAAUGCAGACUUGACAUCCAUUUGGUGGAUUGUCCACUGGUUUUGAGCAGCAACUGCAAUCAGCAAUCUGAUUGUAUCGAGUCUGGCUACUGGAGCAAAUGUUUUCAUGUAGUCCAGACCAUACCUUUGACUGAAGCCCUUUACAACUAGCCUGGCCUUUAGCUUGUUUAAACUUCCAUCCGCAUUGUGCUUCACUCUAUAGACCCAUUUUACACCGAUAGUCUUUCUGUUGGCAGGCUUUUCAACCAACUCCCAUGUCUGAUUCUUUACAAUCAUGUUGAUUUCAUCAACCAUAGCUUGUUUCCAACCUUCAUCUGCCUCAGCCUCUUCAAAACUGCUAGGUUCUACUAUUGCAACCUGUGCCCUUUCAUAAAUAUCUUCUAGGGGCCUUGUGCCUCUCACAGGCACAUCAUCAACAUCCAUUUCAGGUCCUAGCUGCUCAAGUUCAGCUUGAUUAGGCACUAGGUCUUCUGAAAUUUCUUCUGGCUCAUUUUUCUCCCAAUUCCAGCAGGCUUUUUCAUCAAAGAUGACAUCUCUGCUCACCUGGACUUUGUUUGUCAAGGGAUCCAGAACCCUGUAGCCCUUUUUGACUGAACUGUAGCCUACUAGAACACCUGGUUGAGCCCUUUUAGAGAGCUUGUCUCUCUUUGCUGCUGGUAUUUGUGCAUAACACAGGCAACCAAACACCUUCAGAUGUGCCAAGGAAGGCUUGAAACUGAACCAAGCCUCGAAAGGUGUCUCGGAUGCAAGAGCUUUAGUAGGAAGCCUGUUCUGAAGGUAAACAGCAGUGUUUACUGCCUUAGCCCACAUGGUCUUGGGCAGUUUCUUUUCAAACAGAAGACAUCUGGCCAUAUCCAUCAGACUUCUAUUAUUUCUUUCAGCUACCCCAUUCUGCUGAGGUGUGUAGACAUUUGUAAGCUGAUGUUUAAUACCAGCAUCAUUGCAAAUGGCUUGAAACUGAGCUGAAGUGUACUCAGUGCCAUUGUCAGUCCUUAUCGAUUUUAGCUUGCAACCUGUUUCUGUUUCUACAGCAUUUUUAAACUUCACAAACACUUGAGCUACCUCAGACUUGUGUUUUAAAAAGAAAAUCCAGCAAAACCUUGUAAGGUCAUCAAUAAAGAGGAUGAAAUACCUGUUUUUGCUGAGUGAUUCAGUCCUCAUCGGGCCACAUACAUCAGAGUGCACCAGCUGCAGUCUUUCAGUAGCUCUCCAAGCUGAAUUUGUCAGAAAUGGCAGUCUUGCCUGUUUCCCCAUUUGGCAAACUUCACACACAUCAUCAUGCUCCACUGAGCUGGUGAAGUUUUCUACCAUGCCCUCUUUGGCCAAUCGAGCCAUUGAUCUAAAGUUGGCAUGUCCAAGCCUUUGAUGCCAAAGCUUGAAGUCAUCAACAGAAGUUGUGUAUGCUGAGUUUGAGUCAUUUGCCCAAUGAACCUCAAAGCAUUUAUCAGUCAUUGUGACUGUCAUAAGGCUUGAUCCACUUGGAUCAGCAAUGUGACAUUGUUUGUCCUUGAACACAACAGAAUAACCUUUCUCGAGCAGUUGAGCUAUGCUGAGAAGGUUUCUGUCAAUCUCUGGCACCAACAACACAUUUGGAAUGAUCUUGUUGCCUGUGGGAGUACAUAUCAGCACUUCUCCUCUUCCUUCAGCCCUUAUAAACUGACCAUUUCCAACCUUGACCUUGGUUUUAUAACUUCUGUCCAAGGUUUUAAACAAAGAGACAUCUGGUGACAUGUGGUUAGUGCAACCACUGUCCAGCAACCAGCCUUUUGAGCAUUUCUUCUCAGCAGCUAAACAGGAAACAGCAAAGACCUGUUCUUCUUGGUCACUACUGUCCUCAGCUACUCGAGCUUCAACCUUGACCUGCUGAAAUUGAUUCUGCCUUGGCUUACUCCUGUUUUUGCAGACCCUUUCAACAUGGCCCUUCUUCUUGCAGUGUUGGCAUACUGCAUCUGGCCUAAACCAGCAUCUGUCUUCUGGAUGGCCAGGCUUCUUGCAAUAUCUGCAGGGCUGGUCAUUGCUCCUUGCAGCAUCAGGCUUAGGCCUGUUUUUCCAAGGCUUUUUGCCUCUUUGAGCAUUGGUGCUCGAGGCUUCUCUGGCCUUGGCUUGAAAUGCACCUUCUUGGUGAUCUUCAGCUCUGCUAGCUCUCCUUUGUUCCUGAGCAUAGAAGGUGUUGAUUAACUCAGUCAAAGAGAUGCUAGCAAGGUCUCUUGAGUCCUCUAGGGAGGAUAUCUUGGCCUCAUAUCUCUCAGGCAAAGUGGAGAGGACUUUCUCCACAAUUCUUGCCUCAUCAAAGUGCUCACCUAGGAGCCUUAUACUGUUAACCACUGCCAUGAUUCUGUCUGCAUACUGUUUCACUGUUUCUUCUUCCUUCAUUUUCAGGUUCUCGAAAUCCCUUCUCAAAUUCAACAGCUGCUGUUGCCUUGUUCUCUCAGUGCCUUGAAACUCCUCCUUAAGCUUAUCCCAGGCCUGUUUUGGAGUCUCACAGGCCAUGAUUCUGGUGAAGAUGACAUCUGACACACAGUUCUGAAUGCAGGACAUGGCUUUGUGCCUUUUGGUCCUCUCAUCAGCAUGUUGCCUAAUCUGAGCUACUGUGGGAUUAGCCCUCAGUGGUGCUGGCUCAGUAUCUGUGUUGACAACUUCCCACAGAUCGAAGGCCUGUAGGUAAGUCUUCAUCUUGACCAGCCAUAUGUGAAAGCCUUCUCCAUUGAAGACUGGUGGGGCUGCUGGUGAAAAUCCUGAGGAAGCCAUCAGGUUCCUUGGUUUGAAGCAACAGGUCCACUAAAACAAGAGCUCUGAUACCAAUUGUUGGUGCAAGAGGCAGCAGCAGACUGCUUUUCAAUCUUGCUUGUAUGGCAAGCCUCGAGCCUUGCUAGAGAAACAAACUCAGAAGCAAGAACAGAAACACAUGCAAAUGGAAAACAAAGAAAUUGAGAGAGUAAUUUUGAAUGAAAAGAGCUGAUGUUUUUUCAUACAUUUUUAGAAGGCAUAAUGCCAAUACAUAUAAGAAAUUACAACAGCAAAAACAAACAAGUUAUCACCUAAUAACUUACCUAACACCACUAAUUUGCCUAGUAACUUGGUAAACUUGUUUGAAUACAUAAACAGCUACCUAAACUUGUCAUUCAUCACUUAGUUACAUCAAAAUGCAGCUACCAACUAAGUUUGAUCCUAACUAAAUACAAAACAUUCAAUUAAGGAAACUAAAUGGAUAGCUUCAGCUUGCUGCACCAGUUUUGCUGUUGAAGCACGUUCCUUGCAUGGCCACCUUUGCUGCUACAUGGGAGCUGACUUCAACAGAAAAGAUGUCGAGUAAUAACUGUUCGUGAAGUGUAAUUGUCCAUGAAAAACUUUCAAUCAUCAUUCUCUCUCUUUUUAAUAAAAUAUAAUAUAUAUAUAUAUAUACAUAGGCGGGGUUAUGCUCGUGGGAGGGUCCCCCUUCCAUUCAUUUUCUUAUUGUUAAUAACACAUAUGCAAGAAACCUUGUGGGAACCUUCGCGGGUCCCUCUAAUUCACCACCAUCGAUUUUUCUUUUUUAUAAUAAACAUACACAUGCAUGGGUGUUGCACUCUGCUGAUAUACAUACGUACACAGGGGAUUACACCUCUGGGAUAAAGAGUUGCAAUAAUGUUAUUGUGUAUCAUGUCUUAGUUGAUAGUCACCAAAGGCUGUAGAUGACCAAAAAAACACAAGCUAUAGGCAAUUUAAACUGCAGUGAUAUUGGUCACAGUGAGACGCAUAAACAAGCAUAGCUUCAAUUAAUUCUUCUAGACUAACAAUCAUACCGGAGAAAAUGAGCCAAACAUAUUUAAAGCACACACAAAACAACAACAACUUCGAAUUAUAACUUAAAACAGUCUAACAUUUGACAUUCAGUGACAACAUUCAAUAAUAUAAAAGCCAACAAUGUAAAAAGGAAAUUAAAAAAAAUUAAUGAUGGUUGUAAAGGUUAGCCGAGAAGCUAUGAACAAGUAACAAGCAAACCAUAUUUUGCAUUUGCAUGUACCAUAGAAUAGUGGUGAAUUACAUUAAAAGCAAUAAGCAAUUUUAACAAGUCUGGUGCAUUAUUUGCAAGCCACGCUAACUUAUGUUGAAGUCAAAGAGCAUGUUAUCAGAAAGAAGCUCAUUAUUCCCUAUCUUCCGAACCUGGCAACUCUUGUAAUUUCUAUUUUUAGGAUAUUCUUCAUUUAUACAUGUUUUGAUAAGUACUUAACAAACGUUAUGUUUGUGUAUUUAGGACAUGUUCUACUUUAAUGUAUAAUUGAGUGGAAUCAGCAUGACCAUGUCUAACAUCCCCCUAUUAUGCUUUUAUUUUAUGUACUAUAGAGGCAAUACAUUUGUUAUACAAACAUACGAGCUCUCUAAGAAUCAACAAGAAGUUCAAUCAAUGAAACAAACUGGGAUCCAGCCCUUGAAUGACAAAGUCAACCGGUGAAUUAUAAUAAAACAAGAGAAUAACCACAAGCAAACAUCAUGAAAUUCUUACUAUGCAACAAUACACUUGAACCCCAUCAACUAUCACAACAGGAAAACCAUGAUCAAAGAAUCAAACCCCAAAUUCCACUAAAAUUCGUACACAGAGAAAAUUAUGUAUUCUAAAACCCCACUCAAAGACCAAUGCACCACAACCGAAAAGAAAAAGAAAAAUGCAAGCACAUACCAUAUGCUACCGAAAUAAAAAUAGAUUGCCCACAAAUAUCCAACUACCAUGAAUCGUGUCAAAAGCUAUGUAUCUUUCAAUCUCCAAAUCUUUUGGCAACGAAUACAAGCUCUUUGAACAUAAAAUUUGUUUUUUUUUCAUUUGUAUAUUGAGAGGGUGAAUUUCUAGGGUUUUGCGCAUGUUCGAUCCACCGCCACCUCUAUCAUUGUUGGUACACAGUAUUAAUGGGAGUGGAGAAGGAGGAAGAGGUAGUGUCGAGGAAGACCAAUUCACCCAUUCUAGGACCAUGCAAGAAUCAGUCAAGUAGGGGGCCUGAUCAAUAUGAAUGUUUAGCAUAUUUCAAAUUUUGAGUCUAGAGAAGACCACUAUAAUAAUGUUGGUACCUUUGGGCAUUUAUAGCUAAGUGAAGAUCCUUACCUAAUUAUGUUACUUGUUAAGCCUUGAUCAGUGGCCUAUUGGAGGGUCCAACUGGAUCGAAGUUGAAGUAGAGAUAUAAUAUUAUUCUAAAAAAGAUUUUUAUAUUAAUAACAUUGUUUCGAUAUAGUAUAAAAAAAUAAGGUUGGAUUACAUUAGCAUGUUGCAUAUCUCAUAACCUCAUUCGUAGGUGGAAUUGAGACGAUCCAUUAAAAAGUAAAUAGAAUUAGAUCGUGAUAAUCUUAAUGACACAAAUACGAAUUCAGAUUUAGAUGACAAUAAACUCAGCGACCAAUUGUUGAUGAAAAAGAGUAAGCGGCCAAUUGUUGAUGAAAAAGAGUAAUAGAGUAUAUGUUAAAUGUUAAAAGAUCAAAUAACCCAAUAGGGAUAGUGCCAAGGGGGUAGGUAAAGGCCCUAUCCCCUUAAAAUAAAAAAAAAUAUCAUUUUAGUCCCUUAAAAUUUUUAAAACUAUAAGUUAGUUUAAUGGUAAAAUACAGUUUGGCCCUCCAAAGAUGAAAAAAAUUCUAGUUUAAACCCUUUACCUUUCUAAAAUAACAAGCAUUAACAAAGAUAAAAUUGUAAUUUGACUCAUUUAAAGGUUUGUAAUUUAAUUGGCCUCACAAAGAUAAAACUUUUGGCUUGUCCCUAUAACCCAACAAUAAAUACUAGAGAAAUUAGAUAAAAUUGCAUAUGAAAUUUAUUUUUCCUUGGUAUUUAAUCGUAUUAUCAACUACCUUCUUGGAACAACAUAUUGCAUAUGAUUAUUUUAUUUUAAUUUUUGAUAUUCAUUUUGACGUUGUAAUCUCAUAUGUGUCGAAACCAUUUUUUUGAGAACAAAAAUUUAGUUGUCGAUUUUUAAAAAUGGAAAAAUUGGGAGUCGCCACCAAUCUUUUAUUACGGUGUGAUUGGAGCACCUGAAAAACGGCUUCGGUCUACGAGUUUUAAAAAAAUGGAUUCGGGAGUCAGUUAGGUACGAGGAAGGAUUAGCACCUUCGUAAUGCCCAAAAAUUGGUACAAAAUUGAAUAAUUAAUGUCUUGAAGUCGAGAGUUUAAAAAAAUGCGAUCCUUAAUUAAAUUAAAUUAUUUAUUAAGACAUUCUCAUUUUGAAAAAAGAAAAAAUAUCACACCCAAUGCGUUAGGGCACAACAUUUUAUUCUCUUCACGAUGAGUUAGUCAAAAACUCGUGUAAUAAAAUUUAAGAAAAUAUCUAAUUGUUUAAAAUUUAUAAUGAAAUCGCAGCCCAAUACAUUAGGGCACGAUUUCUUAAAAUCCCAAACAUUCAAUAUUUCCUUUAUUUUUUUAAAAAAAAUCUUUAUCUCGACAAAUCAACGUGUCACAUCCAAUACGUUAGGACACAACAUACUGAAUUCCCGAUGAUAAGUUUUAUUUUGUUUGAUUAAAGAGCAAUCCUCGAUUGUUAGAUUUUACAAAAAAAUCGAAACCCAAUACGUUAGGGCUCAAUUUUCUUGAAAAUCCUAAAUACGAGUAUUAUCCCUAUUUUGAAAAGUUCUAUUUUUUAAAAGCGAGUAAAAAGAUGAUGUAAUGUUAUGUUGUAUGUAUAAAUGUCACAAUAACAAAUACAACAAUAAUAAUACGAUAAUGGCAUAGAAAUAAUAUAAACAAAUAAAUAAACAAAACAAAUAUACAUAAUGGAGGAAAAGUUAAUGACAUACCAAGUAUUAAAUAAACGAGCAAGAUAAAAAAAAUUAAUGAAAACAUAAAUAAAUAAAAAACAAAAAAAUAUAAAGAAUAAAGGUAUAUAACAUAUACAUUAAAACUAUGAAGAAUACACAUGAAUUUAUAUAUAAAAUUUAGAUUAUAAAAAGUUAUAUACACAAAUAUUUGUAAAAAUAAAGAAGAGUAUAGAAAUAUAUACAUAAAUAUAUAAUUAUAAAAUAUGUGUUAAAAUAUAAGAAGAUAUUUAAGCAUUUUUGAAAAUAAAAAAAUAGAUAUGUGCGUAUAUAUAUAUAUAAAUAUAAAAGAAUAUUCAUUAGGAAAAAAAAGUAUGUAUAUGUGUAUAUAUAAAAUAUAUGUAUGUAGGUUAAAAAUAGUUAAAUAAUAUCUACAUUAUCAAAAUAAAAAAAUAAAUAUGUAUAUAUAUAUAAAUAUGAGAAAAACAUUACUUGAAAAAAAAUAUAAAUAUAUACAUAAAAAAUAAACAUACAUAUAUAUAGAUUAAAAAGAUAAUUACAAAUGAAAAUUAAAAUAAUAAUAAUAAUAACAUUAGAUUUAAAACUAAAUACAUUAAAAACAAAAAAAAAUCUAAACAAAAUUUCAGUAAAAAAUGAGUAAAUUGAAAUAAGGAUUAAAUCGAAUUUUAAAAACAAAUUUAAAGGAAAAUCUAUAAAUAAAAUAAAAUUUAGGGGCAAAAUGCAGCGCGCGGGUAACAUGGGGGACUUAGUGGGAAAUAUUCCCUUUUCCCCUAAAACGCAGCGCUGCAAUCUGGGUUAAAAUGAAACAAAAAACCAAUUGCAGGGUCAAAAUUAAAAAUAAAAAAAUCAAAUUGAAUCUGUUAUGGAAGUGAGAGGACCAAAACCGUAAAUUUCCCAUUCAGGCUUCAAAAACACGCGGACAGGUCGGGUUGCGCUAGUUAGGGCCAAUACGACGUAGUUUCAACACCUAUAGUCCUUGUUCAAAACGGUACAGUAUGGUACCACUAUUUAAAUCAAAAUUUCCCCCAAAAUCGUUAUUUGCAGCCCUAAAAAUAAAAAAAAAUUUGAUGUUUCUCUGCUAGGGUUUCGACCCUAGUCUUGGCCGCCACCCUUCCGCCAUAGUUCCACUGUGACCAGCGACCGGAAAUGCUCUGAGUUGGGUUUUUAACCCCUUUUGAAACAGAUCCAAGGGCAAAGGUAAGCAUCCAUUUCCCUUUUUUUUUAUUUUUCCGCAUAUAUAGAAAAUGAGUCAUAAAUCGAAGAAAGAAAAAAAAAGCUCUAAUAAUCACCUUAAAAGGAAACUGAUAUUUGAUUUAUUUUGUAUCAAUCCCCUCUUUCUUCCCAUAUUACAGUAUGUUAAGAUGGCUUUUAUAAUCGAAAUGAAACAAGAAAAUAAAGGAAAAAAAAUCAUUCUAUUCUCUGCUUGAUUUGCGAUUUUUCUAAUUUUCUUGCCUAUAUUGUUUGUUGCCUUUUGCAGGUACAUGCUUGGAGGAGUGCAUGCGCGCGGAGGCACAGCACUCGCGGGGAAGGACUCAGGUUGCGGUGCCAAAUGCCACUGUUUCUGUCCUAGGGUUUCAAAAACUGUUUUGGGCAUUUGGGCCACAUUGUAAUCGGGCCUUUGUUUUUAGAUUGGGUCUGGGGUUUAGAGUGUACUGGGCCCGGGCAAAAAUGGGCUAUUACAGCUGCCCCUCUUUGCUUGUUGUUGUGUAACAGGAACAGAGCAAAAACUUUAAAAAUGCCCAAUUUUGCCCGGUCUUGCUGGACCUUGGAACUCUUCUUCUUUAAGUAGCCUCAUUCCUUCCUACUGCAUCUUCAGAAGUAUAGGAGCUAGUGCUUCAAUCUACUCCACUACAAUAUUAGGGAGAUGUAAUUUCUCAAGAGAACAAGAUUUACUAUCUUCGAUCUGCUCCACUAUUGUUUAGGGAGAUAAGAUCUGUAAUUUUUAACCUACUCCACUGCUGCUCAGGGAGACAAGGCUGGGGUCUUCGAUUUGCUCCACUACUGCUUAGGGAGAUAAGAUCUAUAAUUUUUAACCUACUCCACUGCUGCUUAGUGAGAUAAGGCUGGGGACUUCGAUAUGCUCCACUCCUGCUUAGGGAGAUAAGAUCUGUAAUUUUCAACCUACUCCACUGCUGCUCAGGGAGAUAAGGUUGGGGACUUCGAUCUGCUCCACUACUGCUUAGGGAGAUAAUAUCUGUAAUUUUCAACCUACUCCACUGCUGCUCAAGGAGAUAAGGCUGGAGACUUCGAUCUGCUCCACUACUGCUUAGGGAGAUAAGAUCUGUAAUUUCCAACCUACUCCACUGCUGCUCAGGGAGAUAGGCUGGUCUCUUUGAUCUGCUUCGCUGUUAGUACAGGAAGGCAAGAUAUGCUAUCUUCAGUCUGCUCCACUGUCAGUACAGGAAGGCAAGACUGGCGUUUUCAACCUGCUCCGCUGUAACCCAGGGAGGCAAGGCUUUGUGAUUUCGAUCUGCUUCGUUGUCAGUACAGGAAGGUAAUAUCUGCUAUUGUCAACCUGUUCCGCUACAACCCAGGGAGGCAAGGCUGGUGUCUUCGAUCUGCUACGCUGUCGGUGCAGGAAGGCAAGAUCUGCUAUUUUUAACCUGCUCUGCCGCAACCCAGGGAGGCAAUGCUGGUGUCUUCAAUCUGCUUCGCUGUCGGUGCAGGAAGGCAAGAUUUACUAUUUUUAACCUGCUCCGCUGUAACCCAGGGAGGCAAGGCUAGUGUCUUCGAUCUUCUUCGCUGUCGGUGUAGGAAGGCAAGAUCUGCUAUUUUUAACCUGCUCCGCCGCAACCCAGGGAGGCAAGGCUGGUGUCUUCGAUCUGCUUCGCUGUCGGUACAAGAAGGCAAUAUCUGCUAUUUUUAACCUGCUCUGCCGCAACCCAGAGAGGCAAGGCUGGUGUCUUCGAUCUGCUUCGCUGUCGGUGCAGGAAGGCAAUAUCUGCUAUUUUUAACCUGCUCUGCCGCAACCCAGAGAGGCAAGGCUGGUGUCUUCGAUCUGCUUCGCUGUCGGUGCAAGAAGGCAAGAUCUGCUAUUUUUAACCUGCUCCGCCGCAGCCUAGGGAGGCAAGGCUGAUGUCUUCGAUCUGCUUCACUGUCGGUGCAAGAAGGCAAGAUCUGCUAUUUUUAACCUGCUUCUCUACAACCCAGGGAGGCAAGGCUGGUGUCUUCGAUCUGCUUCGCUGUCGGUGCAAGAAGGCAAGAUCUGCUAUUUUUAAACUGCUCCACUGUAACCCAGGGAGGCAAAGCGAGUGACUUCGAUCUGCUUCGCUGUCGGUGCAGGAAGGUAAGAUCUGUUAUCUUCACUGAUCUGCUCUCUGGGGAACAUGACCUGUAUAAUGAACCUAAUUAUGCCUAAUGACUAGGAUGACAUAAAAUGAAUCAAAUGCUCCUAACUAGACAUGUGUGAAUGGUGUUUGCACGAAUGUGUAAUUUUUUUUAAGAAUGUUCCCACUUAGGUUGUCAUUGUUUGAAGUUUAUUAAGGCUUUAUCACUGAUGUGCUACGACGUCUUCUUGCUUAGCUGUCUUUUCUGAAGAAACAUUUAGUCAAUUUGCCCCUCACUGUAAACCUUAAAGUUCAAUCCAUUAGGGCACAAAAUUUGUACCAGCAUUCUCCCACUAUAACCCAAAGGUAGGAAUAUAUGGCUUUUUCUCGAUCCUCUCCUAUCACAAUUCAAGGAUACAGGAUCUAAAUCUCUCUGCUCCCUUACACCAUUCCCAGGGUAUCGUACCAAAGGCUCAUGCAUAAAUGAAGGCUUUCUUCUCUGAGGAAACCUCUUCCUACUGUCUGGUGAUCAUUGCUUACUUGUUUAUUUAAGCUUUGUCAUUUUGUUCAAUCAAUGUUUUUAACAACAAAAUCCAAAGAGAAAGUCCUAAUUUAGACUCUUUCUUUUCAGAUUUCCAACCUUUAAACAUGGUGCGUUUUAAACAAUAGUCCUGUUUCAGGUUCCUGUAUUAUUUAGAUACUUCUAAAGUAAUAUGCAAAACUUCCCUUGUGAAAGUUUUAUUAGUCGAUUAUUCAUUAUUCCAAUGCAACAUGCUUGCAAAAAGGUCAUAACCUCGGAUAAGAAUAAAGUUAGUUCUGAGUAUAGCUCGAAAGGAAUAAAUUAUCAAAAAUAGUAAAGAAGGGUAACAAAGAAAUUGAUUGGGAAUAUGUAUCUUGGAAAAGAAUGAAGUAUUCCAAGAAAAAAAAAUUCAAUAGUAUGAAAAUUGGGUGCCCCAGAUAUCGCAGCUUGAACUUCUCUGCACAACUAAGAACCAUUUCGAGUUUAACAUGUGUUUAGGAGAUCUGCAAUACUUUGUCGAUGCCCCAAGAUGUCGCCUACCCUUUCCUGUUGAUUCAGAUAUAACUAGAUCACCACAUGCCCCAAUCUGAUCAAGAUUCGAAUUGCUCUGAUCACCCCAUGCCCCAUUUUGAUCAAUAUUUGAGCCGCCCUUUUCGGGUUUUCAACUUAAAUUCCCUUUGGUCUCAAGCCGUCCUUUGUGGAUUUUCACCUUGGCCUCUCACUUUGCUUUUUCUUUUUCUUUUUUCCUUUUCUUUUUUCUUUUUUUUUGAAAUAUUUUUUGAUUGAAUCUGAACUCAUAAGAUUAGGCAUGUCUUUAUUAUCCCUUCUGAUCAAAAUCAACACUUUUCCAGAUAAUGCAUUCCACAUAAGGUCCUUUCCAGCUUGGAAUGAAGUUCUUUUUGUAUGGGAAGGAUCUUCUUCAAUACCAGGUCCCUCUCAAAUAAUUCUCUAAGGCGAACCUUUUUAUGAGCUCGUAUCAUUUGUUUUUGGCGCAUUUGACCAUGAUGGAUAACUUUGAACAUUCUUUUCAAUCGGAAUUAAUCUAAAAACUCAGAGAGAAUGAAUCUUAUCUUCAAACUGCGAUGAGCCCAAGAGAAAGAUAUUGCCCCGGUAGAGUUUUAAAUGCAUCGUUCAUGAUGUUAAUCUUGAACAUACUAUAAAUUUUUGAUAUCAUAUUGUUGUUCAGAUUACAAUGUCAGUGCUUACCCAAGCAUAUCCUGAUAUGACCAUACGAAGACAUCUUUGAACUCUUUGAAGUAACUCAACAAGGUCCUGCUUUGUUUCUUCGGUUAUGCAAGUUCCCUUAAGGUCACAAUCUCCAUUGUCUCAUCAUGAGGUAAGAUUUCAUUCCUGUUCUACCAUCCUCAACAAGUCUGAAAAUAGGCUACAAUCUAUGUCAUCUUCAAAGUCAUGAGAUCCCUCUAAACACAUACCUCGCUGAAAAGGAAGUUCUAAGUUUGUAGCAGCGUCACUCAUGUCAUUGAUAUUUGGGGACCCAUAGUAAGUGCAAAAGAAUAUACAAAAGAAUGUGUGAAUUUACAAAUAAUUAUUUGUGCAAUAGAAUUAUGAAUGAAAGAAAUGAUAUGGAAGAAAAUCCAAAAGAAUGAAAGUAUAAUUACUCACAAAGAAUAAAAUAAUAUUAGCUCAAAAAUAAAUGCAAAGAUGUAUUUUAUUAGAAUAAUGAUGUUCAGACAUGAGCCUAUUUCACAAAGGAAUUCCUAUCAUUUUUAGGCUAAAAACAACAAGAAUGUUCUGAACAUUACUCUAAAUAAGCUCUAAAGACUACAGAGAUUUCUUCCGCAAUCCAAUUACUUAGAACACUCCCAAAUUAUAAGGGCAGACAUCUAACAAGGUCCCUUAUCAAUUGUGUCUUCGUAUGUGAACACUUAUCAACACCUCUUCAUAUAUUGCAUUCACCCUAUUGUCAAUCAUGAUUGGGUAGCAAAUUUUCUGCAUUAAAUGAGCCAUCCAACUUGACAAUACCCAUGUUGAUGAAUUUUUCAACUAGCUUUUUGAAGGUAAUGCAAUUCUCUAUUGAGUGUCCCGUAAUUCCCGCAUGAUAAUCGCAUUGUGCACUUGCGUCGUACCAUUUGGGAUAUGGAGGCUGUGGAGGCUUCACAUGUAAAGGAGAAACAACAUGUAUAUCGAAUAAGCUUUGAUACAGCUCCUUGUACGACAUUGGAAUUGGUGUGAACUGGAUUUUUUUAGUACCUUGCUUCAUACAUGAUUCUUGUCUUGAUGAACCCUGCUGAUUAAUAACCGAUUUGCUAUACGUAUUCACGCUGUUCACCUUAUUUUUUUCUUUUAAGGCUUGCCUUCUGUUAUUUCCUCCAGCAUCAAUCUUUUCGCUCCUUAUGGUGCUUUCAAUCAUUUCACCAUUCAUGACUAUGUCAGAAAAGCUUUUUUUGGCACUCCCUAACAUAUGUGUGAUGAACGGAGCUUUCAAUGUAUUUAUGAAUAGCAUUGUCAUUUCCCUUUCCAGGAGCGGUGGCUGAACUUAGACGGUGAUCUCUCUCCACCUCUGUGCGUACUGCCUAAAACUUUCACCCGAUUUCUUUUCCAUGUUCUGUAGAGUGAUUCUAUCAGAUACCAUGUCAGUUACAUGAUUGUACUGCUUUAUGAAUGCCUGUGCUAAAUCUCUCCAUGAAUUAAUCUUGGUACGGCUCAAUUGAUUGUACCACUUGGACGCUACCCCUGUGAGGCUAUCCUGAAAACAAUGUAUUAGUAGUUGGUCAUUAUUAACAUACCCAGUCAUCCGCCUACAAAACAUGGUAAUAUGAGCUUCGGGGCUACUAGUUCUGUUGUACUUCUCAAACUCAGGCAUUUUGAAUUUAUAAGGGAGUACUAAAUCCAGAACCAAGCUCAAUUCUUUAGCGUCAAUUCCAUGGUAGCUCUCAGUACUUUCCACCGCUCUAAGUUUUUCCUCCAGCCAUUUAUACUUUUCUUCGAGCUGUUUUGGCAAUUCACCAUUCAUUUUCUUUUUUUUAGCUAUUUUUUUGAAGUUAAGGAUAUUAGGAUUAACAAGGUCGUCUCCGGGGUUAGGGCCUGAUCUAGCUCGAAAAUUCAUUGGUGUUAUAGCACCGGCCUGAAACUGUUGAGGCUUGAUGGUGACAGAGGAUUUGUGUGGAUAUACCUCUACUUAGGUCUGCCCAUGCUGAGGGGUCAAGCUUGGGGGAUAGAGUGGUUCAUCCUCAUUACCCUCUUCGACAUCAGCCAUGGGACCCUUUCCCUUAUCACUUCCUUCAGUCAACAGUUGGGUUAACUUUACCAUCAUACUCCCCUGAGAUUCCAUUAUUUUAUCUAUCAUUUUUGUUGAAUCUUCUCAAGCUGCUCAUUCAUUUAUUGUUGAAGCUGAUCCUGCAUUUCUUUUUUGAACUGUUCUAGCCUUUGGUCCAUGUCUUUAGUCUUUGAUCGAGUACCGCAUCAGUGUUUGGCAAGUUGGUUGGUUUCCAGAUUAACUGAGGAAUUAUUUUAAUCAAUUAGGCUCUUUUAGUGGACUUUAAUGUUUAUGAUGUCAUGCAAUGCGAAUGCAUGCAAUGAAUGCAUAAAGAGAUGUUGAUUCUGAUUCAAUUCCAUUUAGAACACUUUACUAGAAAACAAAUCUCUUUACAUAAAAUGGAUAUUUAUACGGCCUUGCCCUCAUAGGCGGAGAUAUUCAAUCCUCUUCUUUAUUCGAGCGUUAAGAUAAAUCUCACGAACUCUUCAAAAAAUGUCUCUUCUAUCUCCUUUUUGCUUGAUCCGGGCCAUAACUUGUUACUCACUCAUCCUCGUGAUGCUCGUUGGCUUCUCUUUAAGAAGGUUCAGCAGCUCUCGAAUAAUCUUUGCCAUCUUGAAUCCUUGGGCAACAGAGCCAUAGUCGUGUAGUCCUCCAUUAAAUUAUCAUCUUCUCUUAUCACGUGUUCUUGGACCAUAUUCGGACAACCAUAUUGUCAUCCACUUUAUCAAGAAACCCAUUUUCUUAUGACAAGCUCUCUAUUUAGUAACUGAAUGUGAAUCAACACCUCUUUUUCAAAAAGAAAAUGCAAUGCAAUCAUAAUAAAAACAACAUAAAAAACAAGUUAGUACAAAGUAAAAGCAAAUAAAUAAAGUACCUACUCGGGUGACCUCUAGGGGUUUGGCAUAGUUCUACCUAGGGCAAGUUCCUAAGGUUCAUUAUAUGAGGUUUGGCUUCUAGAGCAAGGGUACCCGAACUAGCAGAUUCCUCAAUCCUCACCCAUUAUAGGCUCAUAUGGACCGAGUUCAGUUUAGGGGAAUACAUUUCCCUAUGGCUGCACGGAGAUGAAAAUCUCACGAAGACAUAGGUACGGAUGUAUCCCGGAAGCGGUCCACUACCCUGCAUGGAGGUGAAAACCUCACGAAGGACUAGUUUCUCGCUCCCACUUAAAGGGUAAAAAUCAUUCAACUCAUAUAAUGUGUAGUGCAAACAAUACUUAAAUACAUUAAGCAAGAAGAUAAUGAAUGCAAAAAGAUAUCAUGAAAUUUUUUUUAAAACAAAUACUUUCUCGACCAUAAUACAAAAAUUAAUCAACUUUGUGGCUCGACUCUCUUAUUUUUUUUUUAAAAAUGUCCCUAGUGGAGUCGCCAAGCUGUCGAAACCAUUUUUUUGAGAACAAAAAUUUAGUUGUCGAUUUUUCAAAAUGGAAAAAUUGAGAGUCGCCACCAAUCUUUUAUUACGGUGUGAUUGGAGCACCUGAAAAACGGCUUCGGUCUACGAGUUUUAGAAAAAUGGAUUCGGGAGUCAGUUACGUACGAGGAAGGAUUAGCACCUUCGUAACGCCCAAAAAUUGGUACCAAAUUGAUUAAUUAAUGUCUUGAAGUUGAGAGUUUAAAAAAAUGCGAUCCUUAAUUAAAUUAAAUUAUUUAUUAAGACCUUCUCAUUAUGAAAAAAGAAAAAAUAUCACACCCAAUGCGUUAGGGCACAACAUUUUAUUCUCUUCACGAUGAAUUAGUCAAAAACUCAUGUAAUAAAAUUUAAGAAAAUAUCUAAUUGUUUAAAAUUUAUAAAGAAAUCGCAGCCCAAUACAUUAGGGCACGAUUUCUUAAAAUCCCAAACAUUCAAUAUUUCCUUUAUUUUUUUAAAAAAAAUCUUUAUCUCGACAAAUCAACGUGUCACAUCCAAUACGUUAGGACACAACAUACUGAAUUCCCGAUGAUAAGUUUUAUUUUGUUUGAUUAAAGAGCAAUCCUCGAUUGUUAGAUUUUACAAAAAAAUCGAAACCCAAUACGUUAGGGCUCAAUUUUCUUGAAAAUCCUAAAUACGAGUAUUAUCCCUAUUUUGAAAAGUUCUAUUUUUUAAAAGCGAGUAAAAAGAUGAUGUAAUGUUAUGUUGUAUGUAUAAAUGUCACAAUAACAAAUACAACAAUAAUAAUACGAUAAUGGCAUAGAAAUAAUAUAAACAAAUAAAUAAACAAAACAAAUAUACAUAAUGGAGGAAAAGUUAAUGACAUACCAAGUAUUAAAUAAACGAGCAAGAUAAAAAAAAUUAAUGAAAACAUAAAUAAAUAAAAAACAAAAAAUAUAAAGAAUAAAGGUAUAUGACAUAUACAUUAAAACUAUGAAGAAUACACAUGAAUUUAUAUAUAAAAUUUAGAUUAUAAAAAGUUAUAUACACAAAUAUUUGUAAAAAUAAAGAAGAGUAUAGAAAUAUAUACAUAAAUAUAUAAUUAUAAAAUAUGUGUUAAAAUAUAAGUAGAUAUUUAAGCAUUUUUGAAAAUAAAAAAAUAGAUAUGUGCGUAUAUAUAUAUAUAAAUAUAAAAGAAUAUUCAUUAGGAAAAAAAAGUAUGUAUAUGUGUAUAUAUAAAAUAUAUGUAUAUAGAUUAAAAAUAGUUAAAUAAUAUCUACAUUAUCAAAAUAAAAAAAUAAAUAUGUAUAUAUAUAUAAAUAUGAGAAAAACAUUACUUGAAAAAAAAUAUAAAUAUAUACAUAAAAAAUAAAUAUACAUAUAUAUAGAUUAAAAAGAUAAUUACAAAUGAAAAUUAAAAUAAUAAUAAUAAUAACAUUAGAUUUAAAACUAAAUACAUUAAAAACAAAAAAAAAUCUAAACAAAAUUUCAGUAAAAAAUGAGUAAAUUGAAAUAAGGAUUAAAUCGAAUUUUAAAAACAAAUUUAAAGGAAAAUCUAUAAAUAAAAUAAAAUUUAGGGGCAAAAUGCAGCGCGCGGGUAACAUGGGGGACUUAGUGGGAAAUAUUCCCUUUUCCCCUAAAACGCAGCGCUGCAAUCUGGGUUAAAAUGAAACAAAAAAACAAUUGCAGGGUCAAAAUUAAAAAUAAAAAAAAUCAAAUUGAAUCUGUUAUGGAAGUGAGGACCAAAACCAUAAAUUUCCCAUUCAGGCUUCAAAAACACGCGGAUCCGCUUUUGGAUUGGGUUGGGUUGUGCUAGUUAGGGCCAAUACGACGUAGUUUCAACGCCUAUAACCCUUGUUCAAAACGGUACCAUAUGGUACCACUAUUUAAAUCAAUUUUUCCCUCAAAAUCGUUAUUUGCAGCCCUAAAAAUAAAAAAAAAUUGAUGUUUCUCUGCUAGGGUUUCGACCCUAGCCUUGGCCACCACCCUUCCGCCACAGUUCCACUGUGACCAGCGACCGAAAAUGCUCUGAGUUGGGUUUUUAACCCGUUUUGAAACAGAUCCGAGGGCAAAGGUAAGCAUCCCUUUCCCUUCUUUUUUUUUAUUUUUUCGCAUAUAUAGAAAAUGAGUCAUAAAUCGAAGAAAGAAAAAAAAAAGCUCUAAUAAUCACUUUAAAAAGAAACUGAUAUUUGAUUUAUUUUUUAUCAAUCUCCUCUUUCUUCCCGUAUUACAGUAUGUUAAGAUGCCUUUUAUAACCAAAAUGAAAUAAGAAAAUAAAGGAAAAAAUCAUUCUAUUCUCUGCUUGAUUUGCGAUUUUUCUGAUUUUCUUGCCUAUACUGUUUGUUGCCUUUUGCAAGUACAUGCUUGGAGGAGCGCACACGUGUGGAGGCACAGCACUCGCGGGGAAGGACUCAGGUUGCGGCGCCAAAUGCCACUGUUGCUGUCUUAGGGUUUUAGAAACUGUUUUGGGCAUUUGGGCCACAUUGUAAUCGGGCCUUUGUUUUUAGAUUGGGUCUGGGGUUUUGAGUGUACUGGGCCCGGGCAAAAAAUGGGCUAUUACAAUAUGAAAUUACACUCUGUCACCCAAAUAUGUCUGGAAAAUUAUUAUUCUUUGUAAUUAAAAGAGGGUGAAAUUAUUACAGUAGUAAUUACACUUUCAUCCAACCAAUCUAUCAUAUCUAAACACAUACUACAUUUGGACCAUACAUAUGUUUUUUUUUUUUUGAUAAAAUUUGAAGUUUACUUAACAUAAAGUUUACGAAAUAAAAUACUGUUGUUGAAAGUGGUAAAGGAUCAUGAUAAUAUUUGAUUCAACAUCAUAUCAAAAUAAGUUUAUAAUGUAAUUGUUUUAUAUAUAUUAAUUAAAAUAUUUUAAAAAUAAAUAUUUUAGAAGGUUACUUUUUGAAGUAUAUAUAUAUAUUAAAAUAAAUCAAGUUAUUUUUUAGGGAAGAAUAAGAAAUUGUUUAUUUAAAGGGGAAAUAAAUUUUAAGGAUCCUAAGAGGAGAAAUGUUUACAAUUGCAUCCUUGAAUGUGGGAAACAAAUUUUAAGAAAUCCUAAAAGGGAGAAAUAGUUGGAUUUGCAUACUUGAAAGUUAGAACAAUAUAAGGGAUCUCAAAGGUAAAAGUAUUAGGAAGAUUGAUGUGCUUAGGGCGGAUUGCUUUUCCAUUUCUUUAUUGAAAAAACGAGUAAAUUAACCCUUAUUUAUUUUAAAAUGUGUAAAUUAGUUUCUCCAUUAAAUUUUAUCUAUUAAAAGAUUAUGUGAACACGUUGAAAAUUAUUUUUUAUGCGUAAACUGUAAAAAUGAUUGUCCAACUAUGCUUUUUAUUCUAUUUCGGUCACCGAACUAUUAAGUUUUUUUAAUUUAGUUGCUAAACUUUUCAAAAUUAAAUAUUUUAGUCACUUUAAACUAAUGUGGGCUUUUCUAUUGGUCUAGUAACAAAAUUAGCCCUCUAAUGUUUACACAUUUGAUCAAUUUGAUCCUAAAUAUAAAAAAUUCAACAAAUUUAUCCCUCAAUGUUUACAAAUUUUGUCAUUUUAGUUCUAAUUCUAAAAAUUUCAAAAAAUUUGACCCUCAAAAUUUACAAAAUUUGUGAAUUUAAUUCUAACUCUAAAAAUUAAACAUAUAAUUUUUAAAAAACAAUCAUUUUUAGUCUUGUACGUAUAACCCAUCGGCUAACCCAUGUGAGAUUAAAAUGAGAAAAAGAGUACCCCCUUUCAAGUCACUUACAAAAGAACUCUAAAAAGUCGGGAUAAAACACAAAAAAAUUUAAGGGCCAAAAUAAAAUAAAGACAUUAAAAACAUUAUUUGUUCGAGUAGUAAUGCAACCAAUUAUUCCAAAAAGGUUUCAAAUCAAUUAGUUUGGUUUGGUGUGAAGUCUAAGUUAGAGUAAAAAAAAUUUGUUGCAAGUGACUUGAAAAUAUGGGAAAAAAUUGUUGCAAGUGACUUGACCCACAUAACCUGGCACACGGCUGUGUGACGUCGAUAGUGGGUUUUCCUUUAAAGUACACUAGAAAUUUUGAUCUUAGAAGUCGAAUGGCGUCAAGAACAGUUGCCAAAGAUAUAACUACUCGAGAUUUUAUACAUAAUUUUGAGAUUUUUUUUUUAUAAUUUUUGUAUAAAAUCAAUGUCAAAUUGAUAGAAAAUAUAAAAAUUGAGGACUAAAAUUAUUAUUAUAUCAAUUAAAACAAGUGCCACUUAACAGACGAGUGAAGAAAAUAAACAAUUUCGAAAACAUUAGUGACCAAUUUAUAACAGGAGUUUUGAGAAACAUGUAGAAAAUAUGGGAAUGCGAAAUAUGACUUAUCUACUUCACUAGGUCAAAUGGGAGAUUGUUGGAUCUAGUGUCUUUAUUUUAGUAUUUUCGUCAAUAUAUACUUAUAUUUUUCGAACAAAUUGAUUUAAUAAAAUAUUCAUUCAUUACAUUAAUAUCCUUUGUAUAUUAUUCUUUAUGAUUUUUGCACGCAAAGCAAAUAUUGACCCAAUAAUUAUCUAACAUUUAACUAAUACUAAACGGUAUUACAUGGUUGGAUCAUAAUAUGGAAAAAUAAUUUAUAUUAAUAGAUAAUCUAAACAUGUUUUUAGUCUGAUAAAAAAAUAAGCAAACUGAUUGAAAGGAUAACAUGUUAUCUAUCCAAUCCAAUUAAGGAAAUACUUUAUCUUCGGUAUUGGAGAGAUUGAGUUUUAGAAAAUAGAGAUAUAGAUGUAACUCACUUGUAGAUUUAUUCAUUUGUGACGUUCAUUGUGACAUACCUUAAUCUUGAGUAGAUGAUGGACUAUGUAUGUGUGAUUCGUAUACUUUGAUAUAAAUGAAAAUUUGAGUUUAAAUAGAUAAGGAACUGAAAGUUGGUACAUUAGGUAUAUGACUUUUAUAGUAUGUAGCAUCAUUCCUCAGCAAUGGAAUUCAUAGCUCAACUAAAAGGUAAAUGAUAUUCUCUCAUCAGCAUUACAUGAUAAAUGAAAAGUAAAUACGGUCAUGGAUCACUUGUCUUUGUGAUAAACGGUUUAAUUACUAGUUGAUAGUAAUUGACUUUUCAAGAAUAAAGAUAAAAAAAUUACCAUGAGAAAAAUGGGAUCAUAUUGAAAAAACAAUUUUAUCUCAAAAAGAUUAAAAAUAUCCCAUAAAUGUAAUACACUUCUGACAAAUUUGGUGACAUUAUAAUUUUAUAAUUUUUAUAUUAAAUAAUUUGAUUUACUUAAAUUUAGUUACUUAAUGAUAACAUUUCAUAUUCUUAAAAAUUUAUCUUAUGAAUGUGCAGCCUUGUUAUUCCAAGUGUGACAAAUUAAAAUAUGAUCAACAUUAUUUUGAGAUGACCGUGGGAUCAGCUUUAGUGCAAAAUUCCAUGUUAAAUUAGCAUCGGAGCCACCAAUUGCUACUCUCAUUGGACCAUUCAAAGUACCAGCCCAUUCCUCUGUAUUUUUUAUACGCUUUUUAAAAUUAUGGGUAAAUUACAUCUAGUUAUUAUCUCUUUUCCUUUCAAUCAUUCAAUUAUUAAUUUUUUUUAAUUUGAUCAUUCAAGUAAUCGUGAUAUUUUUUUAUCUAUUUCCGUUAAGUGCCUUAAACCUCUCUAAUGGGAGGAUGAUAUGUUAGUUAAAAAAUUAAUAUAAUAAUAAAUUUAUUUCUCAAUUUUUACAUAUUAUAUCAAUUUAAUCAUAAUUUUAAAAAAUUAGCUUUCAAAAUUUACAAAUAAUUUCAAUUUAUCAGUGGUGGGAGUGGCUGGAAAGGAGGGUUGCAACCCAUUAGUUGAAUACACAACAGGGUUUAUUAGGCUUUUUUCAGGCCAUUUUCUAUAAAAGAAUUGGGGGCAGCCUGCACUGAAGUUUGAGCUUGAGAUUCUAACAACGGAAUUGGGAUUUCAAGCAGUGGACGAAAGCAAGUUGUUGCUUUGGUGUUGAAGAUAUUGAAGAAAGUUCCAAGAGAGAGCCUUGUCCUUGCGCUGCAGCUACCCCACUUUUCUUCUUGCCUGUUUUGUGUUUUAUUCUGCAAAUCACUCAUUCUUCCUGCAAAAUAACACCAUUUCAAUCUUAUAGUAUUGAGUAUUUGACAAUUCAGUGUUGCAUGCUCAUGCUUUUAGCCUUAUUCAAAUCUUGUUUAAUCAGUGCAUGAACAAUAAACAUGCAACUAGUGAGUGAAAUGAAGGCCAUCACAUCAGAAAUUACUCCACUGUUUCAUCAUAUUAUUGUUAUUAUUAGCAUUCAGCUGAGAAGAAUAUGUCAACCCAGAAAUCAUACAAACAGAACAUAUCUGCUACUAUUGAACGAUAAAUUAGGUUCAUAUAAGAAAAAAGAGAAGUUUUUUUUUUUUUGUUUUGUUUUGAGAAGGGUGGAGGAGGAUAUGGAGGAAACCAUAGUAGUGAUCGUGGGGAAGCGGAAGAGGUAGGUAAAAUUUGAUGAUCAAAUUGAAAUCAUUUGUAAUUUUGAAGGUUUUUUUAAAAAAAAAUUAUGAUAAUUGAUAUAAUAUGUAAAAUUUAAGAGUAAAAUUUUUUAUUAUACUAAUUUUUUAAUUGCCAUAUCAUCCUUUCAUUAGAACUUUAAUGCCAUUUAAUGGAAAUAGACCAAAAAAAAUAAUACUGAUCAGUUGGGUGAUCAAAUUUAAAAAAAAAUAGUUAGAUGACAAAAAAGAAAAAUUAAUAGUGACCACAUUAAAAAAGUUGAUAGUUGGAUGAAAAAAAAAAAAAGAAGGUAAUAGUAGGAUAGUUUGUGAUGUGAUUUACCCAAAAAUUAAAAAUAAAAAACCCAACACAUCAUCAAAAUCAUUUGUUGGACCCAUGCCCAUUUGGCUUUUAACGUCACAUUCAUGAGUAAAUAAAUAAUGGUAAACUAGAGGUGAUCAUGGGCCGGGCUAGGUCUAGAAAAAAAUUUUGGCUCGCGUCCUAGGCCCGGCCCGAAAUAUGGGCCCAAAAUUUUAUCCUGGCCCAGCUCGGGAAAAAAUUCUUAAGCCCGACCCAUUUUUUUAAUAAACACUAAAAUUGUAUUUUAAAAAUAAAAAAUAAUUUUUUAAAAAAAUACUUUAAAAUUAAAAAAUAAAAAUAUAUAUUUAUUAUAUAUUCAGGCCAGGCCCGAGCCAAAAAAGUUUUGCCUGAGGCCCGACCCAUUUUCUAAACGGGUCUCGUUUUUUGCCCAAACACAUAUUUCAAACCUAUAUUUUUACCUGAACCUUCCAUAUUUUGGGAGGGCCAUUGGGCCGGGCCGGGCCGCCCAACCAUGAUCACCUCUAUGGUAAACUACAUAACAAGUUAUUCUGAAAUAUUUUACUCACUGCAUUUUUUUUGGUUAAUUUAGUCACUAUAAUUUAGAUAAUAAUUUGAAUUGAUCACUUCUGUUUAAAUUUUUGUUAACCCACUAAUUGAUUAUUGACAUGACAUUUCUUUUUAAUUUUUGACUAAAAUUAGGAACCUCUCUAUAAUUAGUCCAAAAUGCUUUCUUGUAGCAAAGCCUCAAGGGUAAAUUUAUUUCAAAGCUCCUUUAUUUGAUCUUUUCUAGCUAAGAAAUUUUGGGUUCCAUUGGUUUUUUUCGUUUGUUCUUAAAGAUAGAUUUUUUUCCCUUCCCUGGAUCCCGAACUGAGUCCAUGAAGAAGUCAGUUUCUACUCAAUCCUUUCGCAAGCUUGUUAUUGUUUUAGCUUCCUUGUUGCUUCUCUUUCACCUUGUUUAGCUAUUGACUAUGUUCUAACCAAGAAGAUUCUCGGUAAAAAAUCUGAGCUAUUCAAUAACGAUAAGUGGAAAUGGACUCUAGAUAUCGGAUCCAAGUUCCUUGUCGAAAAAAUCCAUCUAUCUCCCCAGUCGCCAUGUAAGGAUAUGCAAGAUCCAAAGAUAGCCAUAGGUCCUUACAUGACGGCUUGUGCUUUUCGCUCCAACUUCACCUAUAGUUUCCCAAUAGUAUCCACUCGAAAGUUUGUCCGGUUGUAUUUCUACACUAAUUUGUACGAUAGUCAAAACACAACCAACACUCUUUGUACACCAUUGUAAUGAAACGUGGUUCUUAUGGUGCAGUGAGGAGCAAUAGAGAUGGAAAGCAGGGGAUAAGUGGUGACAAGGAUAUGUGGUUCUUAUGUUGCAAAUAAACAAAAAUAAAUGUUUUGGGCUAAUAGAAAAGUCCCUAGCUUUAGUCAAAAGUAAAAUAAAAAAAAAAGUCAUGCCAAUGUCUAAUUCGAGUAAUUAUUUUAAUUAGAGUGACUAAAUUGACAAAAAAAAAUAGAGCGACCAAAAUAGAAAUAAUGUUAUUUUAGAAUUACCUACGGUGUAGUUUAUCCAAUAAAUUCUAUAGUAAUAAUUUCAAUUCCAUUUUAAAUCUAACUUUUAUUUAAAUUAUUUUUUAGUAAUUUAUUUAAAAUUUCAAAUAUUUUAAUAUUAAUCAAUUAUAAAGGUUAAGAAAAAUAAUUUCAGUUUAGAAUCAAUACAAACAUAUCUAAUUAAGAUUAUGCCAAUAGAUUAAUAUAAAUAAUAGAAUUGAGGUAUUAAAGGAUGUGUUGUUUUAGAUUUAAAUUUUAAUAUGUAAAAAAAUAAAAAUAUUCUCAAAAUAAUAUUUGUUAUUUUAUGAAAAUAAUAUUAAAAUCCAAUUAACAAGUUACAUCAAUUCAAUUUGAAAUCUAGACUUAUGUUUGGGCUUUUGUUCAAGCUCCUCAAUCCUCCAUCAUUCCUUUUAUUCCCACCUUUUUUAUCCUCUCUUUUGCACCAUCUUCCGCCCUGCUACUCUCUUCUACUUCUUUGGCACCAAUGGAGGCCACAUCAUCUUAAAACAAAUAUAAAAUAAAACAUGAAAUGGUACUAAAAUGGAGAAAUUAGAUUUAUAAACUAAACUAAACUAUAAAUGGUUCAUACCUUAAAAGCUUCCAAAGGGGUUGAAGAACAUUUUUAAAGUUUGGAUCGUUAUCCCACUCCAACGAUUCCCACCAUUUUUUCCAUGACCUGAUGGUAAGAGAAGGUGGAGCAUAUGCAAAUGGCUGCCCAUUGCCAACGAGGGGAACAAAUGGAGGAAUUCUCUUCAGUUUAUCACAAUCUCCAUAAACUUCUAUAACUUGGAGAGAAUCACAAACCAUCACUCCACUUUUGCCGCAUAUGCUCUUCAAAUUUGGUAAUUCCCAGCAUGUCAGCAGUCUCAAUUUGGGAAGAUGGAAUUUUAUUAAUGCGUCACUCCCUUUUUCUUCAACUUCUGAUGUUUCUACUCCCAAUAUUUCUACUAACUCACCACAAUGAUCCACUGAUAUUUCUUCCAGGUUUUGGAGGUUUGGAAGCAACCAAUGUGGAAGCAACGUCUUCAUACUUGAGCAGCGGUCUAUCUUAAUUUCCUUAAGAUGGGAAAAGGUCGCAGACGGAGCCAAUGUUGAUGUUGUUGCUGAAUAAAUUCCUUCAUCUAUCAUAAUAAGGGCACUCAACUUUGGCAGAUCAUGAAGAUACAACACCUCGAGGCUCUGAAAUGGGUGAGCGGAAGAAGAGGCAAAAGAGGACAAGGAAACAACACACUCUAUCCCUUUACAAUCAUGAAUCCUCAAGUAAAUAGCAUUUUUGAAGGAAGAAUUAUCAUCGACUAAGCUUCUCAAAUAGUGGCACUUUAAAAUAUUCAACUCUUGAAUUUCAAUUGGGUGCAUAAUUAACUUACCUUCCCAAUUCUGGACUCCUCCAAUUGUUACUGUUUUAUCUCUUGUAGCAAGCAUAAAAGAUGAGCCCACCUGUAACUGGUACUUGAUGAGAUUUUUCUUACUUUGUUGCAUUGAGGAGAUGAACUUAUUGAAUUCACUGAUGUCUUCGAAAUGUCCGGUUAAGCACUCCAACUUCUUCAAUGGUUCCAUCUCCUCUGCUUUUAGACUUGUUCUUAUAUUGUUCUCAUGAAAAGCCAAGUGCUGAAGGUGAACGAGUUUUGGUAAAAGUCCAGCGGGUAUCUCUUUCAGAGUGAACACUUGAACAUCAAGAUAUCUUAGCUUUAUCAGCACAUCCAUGCCUCCAGGUACUUCCUCAAUUUUAGUCCAACUUAGAUCCAACUUCUUCAAUUCUUGAAGCAUCGAAAAACAUGGUAGAUCUCUUAAUUCUGAACAACCACAAAGCAACAAUGUUGUGAGGUUCUUUAGUUCAGAGAUGGAAUUUGGUAAACUUUUGAUCUUCGUAGAGGACAAAUUGAGAACACUAAGACAAGGCAUGUUUGUGAAGAAAGAAAUUGAGAUCUUCUUUAUAGGGUUCGCCUGCAAUAACAAGGUUGUGAGCAGUUGACAUUUUGUGGGCAGCACAUCUAUGGAAAUUUCUGAUAUGGAGUUAUACAUAAGUGACACUUUCUCAAUAUCCGGACUCCAUUGCUCCUUUUCUGGUAACACUUCUAAUUGCAAACCUGCUUGUAUCAUAUA